CUUUGAUCGUCCUUGGGUUUCACUUUGAGGUCUCAUCUUCGCUAGUUCUUGGUUUUUACUAGUUUGACUGUUGACUGUCUUUCCACAAACUUAUCCUUUUCUUUGUCAGAUAAAUCCCUGGAGGCUGACGGCGUCUAUACGUACGCUCAACAUGCUCGCACUUAUAAAGAGAGAAGGAAAACAUGUCAGAGGUUUUAUCGUUGGACAAAUUUGACCCACAGUAUUCUCACUCACUCUGUCAGAGUUCCAGGCUGAAAUCUUUCAUUGUGUAACUUUAGACCCACAAUAGAAAAAUAGAGAGCGAAGAUAAAAGAAAUAUAGUCAGAAACGAGUUGAAAUGUGGAGAAUGUAUCCCGUCAUUGUUUCCCACCUUUGUGUCUCGGCUUGCUUUAAGAAAAGGCUUUAAAAAAAGAAAACCCUCCCUAGGAGCAACACGGCGUCGAAUCCAGCGAAUCCAGCGAGUGUGUCUGGAGAAGUGCCCUUUAAAAGAUUACUUUGAUGGCAUUUCUUCAUCAUUAGUCUGCUGGAAGUGAAAAGACAGAAAAGCUGUGUGAGAGGGGGUGUGUAACAAAGCGACAACGGUUCCAGGAAAAGCUACCUCUACUUUGUAAACACCUCCUCCAGCUGAGCCUCUGUGAUUCAUUCUCCUCUUUGACUCUAUUUUGGGGUUAUAAUCUUCCUCUUUGUGGGGAACAGCAGCUUGUUUUAUCCUCUUUUCAAAGAAAUAAGUUUGGAUUUUUAGAGGUGACUUGUGAAGACUUCUUUUUUCUGCCUUUUGAAUUCAUUUUGCGUUUCUUGUGGCGGGUCUCAGGCACGGCGACCUUUGAUAUUUACAGGCUGUAGCCUGUUUGGUCUGAUUUCAUUGAUCCGCAUUGAUUGGUUCCUCAUGGGACGUCUCUCUGAGCGUGUUUACUUUGAUCAAUGGGCCUAAUGGAUAAAUACAAAUAUCUGCUAUCUCUCUCCUGCUCCAGCUGGUCCAUACUAAUCUCCUUGUGUCGUCUGGAGGUGUUAAGAUAUUGCUAAGACACUAAUCGCUCAGACCUGGAGGGUAAUUCUCUUUUCUUUCCGUCUAUAUCCUCUUCACUUUUCUGUCUCCCUUCCUCUCUUAAAGAUGGGCUGCAUUAAGAAGAUAAUACUCAAAGAUGUCGUAGUCUGCGUGGUGAGGGAUUGAUUCAGUCUGGGAGAUGUUCUGCACGGACACUUUGAGUGGGAAAAUCCCAGUUUAAGUCCACCAUAAGCUGCAUAGGAACUUGUUGUUGUUUGCAAACAGCCCUGUGGUGGCACUGUUUUCCCACCAUAGAUCUCUUUAUGUCUUCUCAGAUCAGACAUAAGGGAUGCAAAGAGAGAGCAGUAUGUCUAUAUUUGUGGAUUCACACUGAGAGGGGAGGGUCUGGAGUGCUUCAACACAAUAGGACACAAAUAUUUUAAUCUCAGCCUGUUUGUGUCAUUAACAUUUCACCAAAACCUUUCAAACACUCGAGCACGUGUGUUCGUGGAUGAGCCCAAUCUGUCAAAGACAUGCUGGCGUUUCGCUGUGACUGCUGCCACUGAGGGGGUUCCUCUCAAACUCAAACAACUUGAAUGAAAUAUAAAAAAUUCACUCUGGCACAACAGCUCAAAGCACUUCUAAAAUUAACGCGGCUCAUCGGGGGACUUGAUUAAAGAGCACAAACAACAGACUGUAACACGGAGUUUGUCAGGUUUAUGAUGGUCCUGGACUAGAAUGAUAAAAUAGGGAUUCACCACCGGAACAUUUUGAGAUCAUGUAUUGUGCAUUUAAUAAAACUACAAACACACCGAGAGUCGAGUGAGAGAAAAUAACCGACCAUAUGUUUAUUUUGGCUGGUAACUCCAGCUGAAUUUUGUUAUUUCAUUAGAGAAACCAGCGAGGACGCAAGUUCUGAGUUUGUAAAGAUCAUUUCUCCACAAAACCUGAACAAUUUUUACAAACUCUGACCCAAACAUGAACGUCAGUGCGCUGCUAGUAUGAUGCAUGUUUAAGAACAGUGCAAAAACACUGAUAGGCUAACAUUGUCUUCAUUACGUAGAUGGCCUGAUUGCAGGGGUAUCGUAUUGUUUCGUAUCAUUUCGUAUCGUUUUGUUAUUGUUUUGUAUCAUAUUGUUUUGUUAUUGUAUCGUAUCGUUUCGCCUUGAUUCAUUUCGUAUCGUUUCGUAUCAUUUUGUUAUUGUAUCUUUUCGUUUUCUUUCGCAUUGAUUCAUUUCAUAUUGUUUCAUUUUGUAUCGUAUCAUAUUUUUUGGUUAUUGUAUCUUUACAUUUUGUUUCACAUCGCAUCACUUCGCAUAAUAUAGUUUUGUUAUUGUAUUGUAUCAUAUCUGUAUCGAUUCAUAUAGCAUCUCAUCUGAGUCAUAUAUUUGGUGUCAUAUCAUUUUGUUAUUGUAUCGUAUCUGUAUCAUGUCAUUUUGUAAUUGUUUUGUAUCGUUAUUCUUAUGUGAUCGUAUCGUUUCAUUUCGUAUCGUUUCGAAUCGUUUCCUGUCAUUUCACAGCGUAUUGUUUUGUUAUGGUAUGGUAGCUGUACCGUAUCGUUUUGUUAUUGUUUUGUAUCGUUUCAAAAUGUUAUUUAAUUGUUUUGUUUCGUAUCAUUUCAUAUCGUUUUGUGUCGUUUCACAUCCUAUCGUUUCGGUAUUCUAUGGUAUCUGUACCAUAUCGUUUCGUAUCGUUUUGUUAUUGUUUUGUAUCGUUUCAUUAUGUUAUUUUAUUGUUUUGCUUCGUAGUGUUUCGUAUCGUUUCGUAUCGUAUCGUAUCGUAUUGUAUCGUUUCGUAUCAGGCCGAGCUUACCAGGAUUCUCUCUGGGUAAAGUUUCUUGCGUUGAUCAUUAAACCUUUCUUACAUCUUUUAGUAUGAUUGCAUGAAAAGCAGGUUUAGGCUUGAGUCCAUGCCGCCAAAGCAAACACACAAUACCCAUAUAAAAGAGAAGCUCCUCUCUGAAUGGCAAACAUGUACGUUUCAUUUAUUUUUACACACCAGAAAGGCAGAGAGGGAAAGCAUGCCGUACUCAACCCUGUCCAACAGACACAAAAGCUGUCAUGAUCGCCCCAUACAGCAUAAGGUGAUUUUACAUACACCACUGACGUCUCCACUGCUGCACUGGUGAGAUAAAGUCUCUGUUUAAAUUGCCUCCAAUUCUAAAUUAGCUCCAAAUCUAAUAACAACUUCCAUGAUUUCUUUUCUCCACAUGAGGAAAGUCAUUAUCCGGUAUCAGCACAGUAUGUCAGCAAUAUUGCCAGCAGUUACACUGCAGCAGUUUGGAGAGAGGUCGGGGACAUUUGACAGCGUCUGGGCUUGUCAGCUAUCACUCUACACUUUUAAAGAUUAAAAAGACCCACAGGGGCAUUUUUAGACCUUGUUCUCGCCCCCCCGAAACAUGGCAGAGCGCGACAAACAACAAACAGCAGCAGCUCCAGCAUGUGUGCGACCUCAUUUUAUCAUAAUCCGCCCUUCACUGAGCCAGCUCCCAAAAGGUGCGGCGUGUUUGCGAACAUGGAAAUUGAAAAGCUGCCUAAUUGAAGGUGCGGCGCAGAAAGUGCUCAUCUCAACAAGUCACUCUCUCUUGUUUUGAAACAUGUCUCUCUGUUUAACACAAGUGGCCGGUGUCACUCGUUUCCAAGGCAAUUUAACUUGUGUAAAGAGUUCUCAUGGAUCGAUUGGGAACUUGAAACAAGUGGAGCGGCUUGUUUCUGGCUUUGAUUUCCCUUGUUUCAAAAUCCUGAUGCUUUAUUUGAGAGCCUUUCCAACAAGUAUUUAAAGUUUCAGACUUAUUGAAUGCUUUUUAGGCUUUUCUGAAGGACGCAAAGCUGUGCUGACACCGACACCUGACCAAAAUACACAGAUAAACACGACUCAGCAGAAGCUAAGGAAAUAUGGCGAUUUUGUGUAUUUUACCAUUAAAAAUAGUGACAUGGUGCACAAAAACUGGCAUAAAAAGGCUGUAACAUUGAAUUUUGUGUUUAUUAUUUUUUGAAUGGUCAGGGCUGAAGUUGUCGAAGAGAUUUGAGUCAAAAAAAGAUUAUUUUAUGAACACUUAUCUGUCCUCUUUGAGGACAAAGUAGGCUGAAUGGAGCUUAAAAUUUACAGGAACCGCGAGUUAAAUAAAACCUCCUUAACCCUGCUCAUAAAUACUUUUAAAAAUCUCGCUCCCGUUAAGAUCAGCAUUGUUUCUGCCUCUCCGUUUUUUCCUGGAGAGUAUCUUAAAAGAGACCAAUAAUGAAGCUGCCUCUGACAGUGUCACCACAGCCUUGACUCCUCAAUUGCCGAUUCAUCUUCCCACUUUUGACAACCUCAACUCAGGUAAUUUCACAGGACUGUUGCCACAAAUCAGCACAAAUGGCCUUGAGUGGGUGGGGAGUGGUGGUGGGGGGAUGCAUAUUCACAGCCAGUGUGAAAGUACAGUCUUUAGCCAUGACCCAUUCUUCUCGGCCAAUGGGAAAGAGAAGUGUGCCAGCAUGAUUAAUGGUCAUGAUUACCUUCUCAGAAAAUGUGGUUUUCUGGCCCAGCAGCUUCACUUUUAUGACUUAAACCCGGGGCGAGAUGCUUCAUCAUGUGGCGGGCGGAGCUGUGCGCAGACCUCCCAGACAGCGUGUUGUGAUGGCCAAACAUAUCACUGCUGAAGUGUUUACCAUCAGCUGUUUGAAUACGACUGUGAAGCCUCUCAACGGUCGUAAUGUGGACAGCUGUUCGACUUAAGACCUGAGAAUGAGGAUAGAUGUGGACGAGGGGCCAGGAGGGCACCCAAAAGAAAAAAGGAAAGGAACAAAGAGUCUGUAGAGAUAUUAGAUAAAAGUCUGGGGAAGAAGAGCCUAAAUGAGCUUUUUUGGGGGGGCUUAGACUCACCCCGUAUUCCCAGUUUCAAAAAGACAAAAAAAAAAGAGAGAAAACAAAGAGGAGAGUCGGAAGAAGACAAAGGAAGCAAAAACAUCCCAAGAAAUCCGUUUUGGCAAGGACUCACCCCUGCUGCUGCAGGUACCAGAUGUGUGAAGACGUCACACUACGACAAGUCCAUACAGACAAACAAACCACAUUGCACUUCAUUCAAUAAGUCAAAUGUGCUCAGUUUAAAGCCCCUCACAGUUUAUUUCCGUUUGAUCAUUCAAUUGACCUCGAACCUUUGUCUCCAUUUAAUACAGAGAAUUACAACUUACUGUUCUGCAGGGCUGCCAAGUUUCAGAAAAUACGAUACGUGAGAGUUCUGAUGUGUUCAGGAAAAAAAAAAGGCCUUUUUUAAUGUCGAUUUGUACCUUCAGACUGAUGUCCUCACCUCCAUGCCAGCUGCUCUCCCUAAUGCUCGUCUUAAUGAACCAGAAUUUAGAAAUUAGAAAGUGGGUUUUAAAUGUCGGCGCUGUUUUGUCUGAAAGAUAGUUAGAGAUGCCAAGACCCACCGUAGGUUGCUUCUGAUUGGUUUGUAUUGGGUGGUGCCUUCAGUAGUUGGUUAGAUUUAACCACAAAGGACUGAUGGAUUUGUUAUCUUGGUCAGUCAAUCUGAGUUACUCAAACUACGGCAAGGUUUCCCCUUCUCUUUAAGUAAUAAUCAUCAUAUUAAUCAUUUUGCACUGCAGACGCGGUAGUUCUUCUGUCUUAGCGUCUCGGUCUGAUUGUAUUUCCAUGAAGAAAUGAUCAUAAAUGUUCUUCCUUAAGCUGCGUCACCCCGCUGUAGUCCGUAAUGGACUGGCCUGAGGUCUCGCUACAAACAAACGGCUGCUGGAAGAGAGUAGGUGAGUUGUGUUUAGUCCCUUUGCUAAAGAAAUGAGUCAAAGUUAAAAAGAUGUUUGGUGUCUAGUACUAUGUCUGUGACCCUAUAUGUCCUGUUGAUGAAGUUAGGUGCUGUUCUGAGCAUUAUUUGUGGCUAUAGAGUGGUGUUUUGGUUGAGUGUGUGUCUCUCUGUAUUGCUUUCUGCGGUUGUUACUAAAGUUGGUAUAACUAGAGGAGCAAAGCGGUUAACAUUCAUCUCUCGAGGGGGUGUCUAAAUCGGUUUUACGGUGUGUUUGACCCUAGCUUAAUUUUACGCCAGAAUAUCCCUUUAAGUGUACACUAAGCCUACUCCAAUUUCCCCAUUCCCUGCUAGCUAGUAGCUGCCCGCCUGCUGAAGCUUUGUUGCACCAGAAUAAAAAAAACGCUCAGUUUUUACCAAGAGCAUUUGAGGUUUUUCUUUUUUUCAUUUUCUACUUUGUUUUUUUUUUUCCUGUAAAUAUUUUCAGAAAAUCAAUUUGAAGAUAGGAGUGGGGGGAUCUACGCCGGUCUGAGGAGGGAGCUCGUAACUCUCCAAGCCCCUCCCUCCUGUUGCCGUUGAUUACAGAUUGUACAGAAGCGUUCAGCCGGAGAGCGAAAAAAAGGCUCUGAGGUGAAAAUGUUUUCGAAUCUCCUCCGACACCUGAUGUGAAUCUAAAGCGGCUGGUCGGUCGGUAUCACUGAGAAGCGGCUGACCAAAUGAACCUGGAAAACCUCGAGGGUUUAAUUGACGAAACCUCAAGAUUAAUACCGUGCAUUUGCAGGAGCAAACACCCCCGCUGUGUCUGUAUGUUUUUUCCUGUUCGUGCGUGAAGGGAUAAGAGCCUGUGCAUCUGUGGGGGAUUGUGUGUGUGUCUCUUUAUUCUCACUUUUGCAGCACUCAUGUGCCAAGAAGCUCCCAGACGACAUUCUCUAAUCAUUAACCUGAAGUUAAUUUCUGUCACAAACACUACGGCGGCGCUCAUUACAACUCGACACUACACUACCUCUGCUCAAUGACUUUAUAUCUCACCGCUGAGCCUCAAAGGUUAGCCCCUCUAAAAGGUUACAGCUCCCUGUGACAUUUCCCUUGAUGACUUAUUUGGCCCUUUUGUUUUUGAUAAAUAUCAAGCAGCUUGUUGUUGCCACCAGGGAUUACUUACAUAUUAAGUCAUAAAAAAGGAUCUGCCAUGGAUUAGAAAAGGCUCUGCUUUUGAUGGUGGUGGUCCUCUGAUUAAUUAAUGAUCAAAAAGGACAAACAAACAUGAGACUUUCAGGGUUUGAUUCAUGUGUAAAAUUAAAGUCAGUGUCGGUUCAUUUCUAUGAAGUUGUUGACUCCCCUAACCUUCAAGCAGACGGGGACAACUCCGCUGUCAUGGUUUGAAUAUAGUUAAAAAAGUGAAUAAAGGUUUUUUUUUUUUUCUGCCGGAGAUGAAAACACAUCCACUUCAAGGAAAAUGUGCCCUUUGUGAAGUUUAAAGACGAGCAAAUGUAAAGAAGGUCUAUGGGCGACGCUUUCGUACAAUCAAAUACUGCUGCUUGAUCUCUCGCCCCAGGCAUCAAAAUAUGAAGAUCAAGGUCUCGCUCCGGCAUCCAAAACAAGAUUUAACAACCACCCCACAAACUUGUCGGACCUCCAUAACAAACAGCAAAGUCAGGGGGUCAGGUUUGGAUUGGAUCCGGGUCGAUAUCUGAACAAAAGCUGCAAACGUAUUUUGACUUUUAGGGAAACUUUAACGGACACAAUAAAGAUCGCAAUAAUUGAUUUUUUAUAUAUAUAUUUUUUGUUCAAACAUCAUAAAUAUCUUGUUAUGUGACAAGUUAUAUGGAGCAGUUAAAUAAAGCAAGUUUCCUCUUUAAAUUCAGCUUAACCUGCGUUUGUGGAUGCAGUGGUUUUAGUGAUUUUGUGUCUAUGCGGUGAUUUCCACUACAGAGUUAUAUCAGUUUUUUGUUAUGUUGUGGUUUUUGGAAGUGAUUUUAAGUCGGGCUACCAUGAAUAUUCAAUUAAAUUUGUAACCUUUAUUUAACCAGGUUGGUCCCGUUGAGAUAAAAAAAAACGUGAAUGCAAAAAUUAAAAAUAUACGAUCCGAUUAAUCGAUUAAUCACAACAAUAAUCGUUGUCUUGACGAUUAUCAGAUUAAUUUUAGUGGAAGUAAUUUUGAGUAGGGCUGCCACGAUUAUUCGAUUAAAAUUUUUAAUGUUUAUUUAACGGUGUUGGUUCUGUUGAGAUAAAAAAAAAACGUGAAUGCAAAAAUUAAAAGUAUACGAUCCGAUUAAUCGAUUAAUCGCAAAUAUAAUCAUAGUCGUGUUGAUUAUCAGAUUAAUUGUUUGGGGCAGUCCUAAUUUUGAGCCUGUGUGAUGAUUUCCACUACAGAGUCAAGUCCCUGUUUGUUUUAUGCAGUGCUUACUAAGCGCCAUCCUGUGUCCUCUUGGCACAGAAAUUUCUCCAGAUUCUCUGGGAACUUGAAUUGUUGAACUUUGCUCACACUAAGGCUGGGCGAUAUGUCCUCAAAUCAAUAUCACGAUAUAUUGAUCAGUUCACCUUGAUAACGAUAAACGGACGAUAACUACUCCACAAGCUGCUCACCCCCUCACACAUUAACUUUGUCUACUUCAGCUGCUACAACUUUUGAACCGUCCUCCAUCUCCUCACCUGUCUUUCCCUCUUUGUUACAGACUGGAUGGGGUGGAGUCACGUCUCUGAUGUAGGACAGCGUCUUAAAGGGACAUGAGACCAUAGCCUACCUACACACAUCCAACAACAACUUUGAUUUAUUUAUUUAUUUGACACAGAAUAUAUCGAUAUGGGCAAAAUGACGUCGGUUAUUGUGGUAAAUUUUGGUAUCUGUAAAUUUUCAGUUUAUUGCCCAGCCCUAGCUAAAUAAAAAACUCCACACUGGAGUUUUAAAAGAAAUAAACCACCUUAUAAUUUGAGUGAAUGUCCAGUGUUUGUUUCACCGAUCUAUUCCCUCUACUGCCUCCUACAGCUCCUCUUAUACUCAUCAUCCUUCAUACCUGGACUCAGACAUCACAUCUAAAGAAUUAAUUAGAGAGCAGUGUGCAGAAACUCCAUACGAGGCACCUGAAGCAUAAAAUUUUAAAGCUUUAGGCCACUGUCCAGGCCUCCGAGUUUGAUGGGUUGGGAGUGAGAAGCAGCUGUUUUCACUGACAUAAACAUUAAAGUCACAUUAAUUAGCAGAGAUAAGAGAGGCAUCAAAUGAAGAGGAAGUAUAUCAAUAGCUAAGCACUUUAAUAAUCUCCCAUUUGUGUUUUUGGCUGGAGAGCAGAUUUUCUUGUGGCGCUCACUCUCUCAUCAAUCACAGAGCUGCUGCAAAUAUGAGAACGGCUGAGGUUGUCCUAACAUCACAGUCUGAAAGUGAGAAAUCUCAGUGCCUGGCUGGGUUGCCGCUGACUCACCAGUAAUGAUCAACAACCCUUUCCAACCCUGCAGAUAUAUCAUGGUCUUUUUUGUAGUACGGGGACCUUAAAAUCUCACUUAUUGCAGUUUUAGCAGCUUUAAAUAUGUCCUGAACCUCUAUUACAUCAGUCAUUUGAAGCCUAUGCACAUAAAAAGCAGCUACAAAUCCUCCUAGACAAACACAAAUCCUAUCUCUUAAAAGCAGAGACCCACAGCCUGUCUGCGUGGAUGUCAGUCUUUACUACAGAGGUGGUUGAAAAUUCAGCUAGGCAGAGCAUAAGCCGACGGCAGCCCCUGAAAAUCGGUUGAAUCGGGGUGACCACCAGUUAAGUUUGGUGGAAAGCUUCUUUAUAACCAGACAUCUGCAAAUGCAUGCCAUCUAUUUAGGGCAGCGGCGAUUCGCCAACGUGAUGACGUAGGCAAUGGCUACUUCAGGUGACGGUAGAGGCACGGACGGCGAACGAGCUCCACCUAAUGGGGUCGAUUUAAAACCUACUUUAGUGUGAUCUACGAGCAGCUCCUCUCAAUCAAUGCUUUUGUUCUUCCUCGUUCAGAUUCCCAAGAUCACGCUGCUUUCAUUCAAGGAGACCUGCAGUGACCUGUCAAUCAAAUAACCCACUGUUGGUGCAGCCAACGCCACAGUUGACGCUGCAUCAUACGCCCUGCAUCCCAUAUCUAAUUUAUUGACUUUAAGCAGCUAGCUCGGAGUUGAAGCAUCAGUUUUGUGCUUUUAUUUCUCCGAUAACUCGCUAAUUAAUCAGAUGUGUGAUCCGUGACGAUAGCUCGCUAAUGCUAAUACUCGGCGCACGUGAGCUCCGCUGCACAUAUGUAUACUGAUACACGAGUCCGAGGUAGAGACACGUAAGAAAAAAACACGUUUUAAAAGUGUGGCGGCUUUUAUUUAACCGUGGCGGUGUGCCAAGAUCGAUUGCAUGAAGGCGAAAUGCUGUUAUCUAGCGCCGUGUCUUACUCAGCAAUGUAAACAAACACUGUUUCCAGCAUUAUGCCGACCACGGCCCACAAUGCAUUGCAAAGUAAUGUGCCUCUUUGGUUGGUUGAGUGGCACUGACUUUCUCACUAUUGAUAUAAUAAUCGAUUAAAAAAUAAUCGUUAGGUGCAGCCCUACAUCUAUUGCUUUAAACCGUGUGAGCUCUAGCGUAUUUCGUAAGGUACGUCCAGCGAGUGGAUCUGAUGAGUCAGAUAGUGAUGGCAGCUCAGGUCCCAACGCCAUGGUACACCAUGAGCCUAACCUUCCGCCUGUCUGGCUCUGAGAAAAGAGGGACGUUAAUAGACUAUUUUUGUUCUCCGUCUGGGUCAACUUGUUCGUUUUGAGAGUCAAUUGCCGUGGCCAAAACACGUCACAGUCGCAGACAUGGAAGCACCUGUACCUUCACCAAAUGGGGACAUCAUCAAGCAUAAAAUGUUCUUACCACCCAGAUCCUGACCAGAAGCAAUAAAAAAGAGCUCCGUGGAACAGCAUGGGCCUAAUCCUUCUUCGGUCUGGUUUUAGGGAACAGAUAAGUCCGCGGUCUCUGAUUGUUCCCUCACUGGGACAUCAUGACCUUUUUUUGAAGGGAAGUGUACUUUUAAGAGCGCUCGUCUCGUGUGCAACAGGAGACUCUCCUUCUGGCACACGAACAUUUUCAGCAUGGCGUUGAACAGAGUUUUCAUCGGACACACUAAUCUCGAGGUGUCAGACGCCAAAGCUUUGACACGUCAGGUUGUCUCAUUAGGAUGUACGGGGCGCCAUUCAGUGUUUGCACCAGGCUUGGAGUUGUUGUGUUAGGUUAUCCGUCUGUUUGACCAAGCCUGAGAGUGAGAUAACCUCGUAUGAGAAUAAAUUACAUUGCUCAAAUCAACCAAAUGAAAGGACUCGAUUUCCUGCGAUGGUGCUAAUUAUUUCCCAGCCAAAGUGUCUUUUUCCAUUCGAUUAUUGCGCCGUCCCAAGUGGUGUGAUUGUAGAAUGACAUCUGUUCCGCCAUUAUAUACCACUGGCACGUACCGCCCAUGUGGAACGUAACCAUCAUUGGGAAAAUCAGCACACAGCCCACAAAGGAGAGGCCUCAGUCAUUUCUGUUCAGACUCAGCCAUUCCUCUUAUGACUGGCAGCUCCUGCGUCGCUGCCAGGAGGCCGACUGCGGCAGCUCAGCACCGGCUUUACGUGCUGCAGAGCCUCUAGAGCAAUAGAGUUUGUUGCCACCAUGCAUGUGGUGUGUAAAACCCCACUGGCCAUGUUGUGGUCUCACCCCUACCCGUGCCAGAAAGUCAUUGUGGCCCUGCUGUUUGUUUUCUACUUCUCACUCCUGCUAGCAAAGCAAAAAAUAUUCCAAUAGUGCCACUCAGCAGAAUGAACCAGACUGUUGGAUGUUUAGACUAAAGAUUAGAGACAAGGGGUUUUCUGGCUUCAAUCCUCAGGCUAGAAAGAGUGAGUUAUACGCUCUUGUGCAAGGCAGGAGUCCCCAAAGGGCCCUGUGUUUCUUCAACUCUGGUGCGUAAGUCUUCGGUUUUACUAAAGAGCUCAUGAGUACAGUGUGCUGUGUGAUUGUGAAGCAGGGCGACGCUAAAAAACAAGAGUGCAUCCUCAGCAAACCUUCCUCAGAUUAAUAAACGUAUUAUGUCGGGGUGUUUAAUUCUUGAGCCCAUGCUGCUCAAUACAGUCUGUGUUCCUCUGAGCCACAUUACUGCUCCAAUUGAUGGUCUGGGAAAGUUUUAGUUUUUCAUGCAGUAGAUUAAAACCAACGCUGCACAACAGUGUAGGUCGAAUCAAAGCUAAGAGAGAAUUUAUGUCCUUAAAAUCAGAGUAAUUUGCUGCUUUUUGAUCAUUUCGGAUUCACGCAAAGCUGCUCUUGCUUGAAAUUAGAAUCAGAAGACAUACUGUAGUCUCUGCUGUUAGCUCUAAACAAAGACUGGAAAAUAAAUGCAUGAUGGAAAUGGAUGCAUAAAAGAGCUUAAAUUAAAGCUGGAAAAAUUAGACGAUGUGGGCUGGAUCUACUCCUACAACAGAGCUCUAUUUGAGUGACGAAAAGCUUUAAACCAGCGAUCAUCUAAGAAAGUGUCAGGUUUAUGUAUUUCUCAAACAGUGGCACUAUGACCGAAUCAGCAGAUGAGUUCAGGCUGAUACUGCUGUUGAACUCACAAACACCGCAUGUAAUACCAUGUCUCUCCACAGGGUGGCACUGUGACUAAAUCUGAUGAAUCGCCAUGUAGAUGUGUUAGGGGAGGACCUUGUGCUGCGUUUGAGUUACUUCGGAAGUCAGACGUCCUGAAAGCGGUAUGUUACCAAGUUUGAAAAAAGUAAAAUCGGAGGCCUGAAACAAGAUUGCUACAUCUACGAAAGUUAUUUUAUUUUCGCCUCUGAUUUUGCUUUUUUCCAUCUUUAAACUCAAAUGCUGGUAACUUGGGUGUGACGUCAUUUUCAGCUCAGACUUAUGACUUCCGAGGUAACCUGAACUCAGCGAUAAAUCACGUAAAUCUGUGGCAGAUCCAACCAUGUAUGAAGGAGUGACAAUUACCUCCUGUUUCGAGGCAAGACUUCAAAGUUUGACGAGUAGCACAAAACACAUUUUUCAGGGUUAGCCAAAUCCUUUGAUACCCUCUAAUCCUCAAAGUUGGACUGGGCGAUUAUAUGAUCCUGAUUUGUAAUUGUGAUAAAUUUCAGUUCGAUCACGGUGAUCAGCUGUGAGCAUAUUUCCUGCUCACUUCUGUAAGUUGCUGGAGAAGUAAACAGAACAACAGAACGUGGAGCUGAACGUAGAGCUGAGGGCAGCAAAAAAGAUGUCAGCCAUGACUUUGAGUUAUCCUCUGAAGACGCCAUUGUUGAGAAGAAAAGUGACUUAACAUUGGUUGUGUGGUGGUGCCGUGGUUCGGGUAUCUCCAAAGUGACGUCGAGCAAUUUAGUCGAUGUGAAAGGCGGGCGGUUCCCUUAAAACUGGCAACACAACAGAUCUGUUUAAUCAUUUGAAGUUCUUUCUGAGUGAUGAUGAGGAAAGCAUGAGAAUGUGAGCGUAGUCUGCACAGCCUGCCACUGCCGACGGCGUAUCAUCUACGUUUACAUCAUCUAAUGUUUGAAAAAAAAGAAGAACAAAAAAGUCAUGAUAUCGAGAUCAGACGACAUGACAAAAUAUGUCGUGAUCUUUUUUUUGCCAAGUUGCCCAGGCCUACCUCAAAACAAUGAGAUGAUCGGACAAAAUCCAAGACAAGGUCUAGACCUUGAACUCAACCUCAACGAUGGCGCCGUUUGUGUGCAACUGGAUCUGAUGUAUAUGUGAUGUUUGGUGGGUUUGGGUCGUGCUGAAGCCCCUUGAGACCUGAUUUAAUGUGGACAUGAAUAAAUACUAAUCAUCGCUCAGUCCUCAGAGGUUAGAUUUAUGUGACUGAUCCUAAAGACACUAGCUUAAAUUAUCACUCCUUUACUUUUGGCGAUGAUGGGUAAUUACGCAUAGGAUUACACUAUAAUCAUCAUCUUUUUAUGACCCGUGCUUUAAAACUGCAGUGCUACUGUAUAGGCCACACACCAUUGCCUCCUAUGCAAAGGUAUGUUUGACCAGGUUGUGAUGCUGAUGUGGGAUAAAAGAUGUAUAUGUUGCAGGAACCUCUGGCCCAUCUGUCCCUCUGUGUGCUAGUUUUAACCACACUACAUGGAGCGUGAAGUUAGAGUCUGUUGUUAUGGCUUGGCUGUUAUGUCUCUAAUCCCAUUACAGAGUGUGAUCACGUCUGAGGCAGCAAGGUUCAUCUCAGGCGCCGGGCUGAUUAUGUAGUAUCCAUGAACAUGUAGGUGUUUUACAGCGCCAUAAAGCGUGUUCUGGAGGCCCUUUUAUUUUAUGUUAUGACAUGCUGACAGAACAAAUUACAUACUGUGGUGAAGACAUUUGACAAGAAAUCACUAAAACGUCGGCAUGUCAGGCACCGAGACAACCCCCCAUGUUUUUAGUUCAUUAGUGAGCCUUGAGUAAUGAGUAAUCAGCCGUCCGUCCAUUUAUUUUCUGAAGCCCUUAACCCGUCCGGCGCAGUGUGAUACUUUCUGGACAGGUUUCACGUCCAUCAAAAGGUAAUUUCUGUUGGAAUUAGAAAUGUUUGUCAUGCUGAAUUGAAACCAAUUAUUCGGAAAAGUUCGGCCUCCCUCCCGAGAGUUCAAGUGUUCCCGUGUUGUGCUUUCUCGGUAGAAUAGGACAAGAUGUCUCGAACCCUGCAACACACUGUUCACAUCUGUCUGAUUCGACAGCAGUGCUCUCUCCUCCUCGGCAAGUUUGAAAUGAUGUAUUUUUCUGACCAGAAGAUUGUAGAUCGGAGUAGCUCUGAAAGCAUACCAAUGAUUGCAGCCGUAUAGAGUGGAACAUUUGGCAUCUUACAUUUGACACAGGUGUAUGUGUGUAAGUACAGAGGAGAGUAAAUCCAUGUGUGGCAACAAGACAGCGUGAAAUGAUAAGGAUUGUGUGAACAUGUUUGUAUCUGUUUGUUUUUUAACAUGAUCCGUAAACUCACCUUUACACUGUUGUAUCCUAUUUUUUGGUCAUGUAUGUUUAACUUUAAAUGUCCUUAUUCUUAAACAUGUUCAGUCCAAACUGUCAGAGGAUGUUUGACAUUUCUAGGCUGAGGCCACGAAAUAACUUUGAGUUAACAAGUCAGUCCAGGACUGAGACUUGAGUCUGAUUUGAUUGAUGAUGUUUGGUUUAGUUAAAAUUCUGAUAGACAGCAGUUGGGCUCAACUUGGGCUUGGGUGACAAGAAUCCAUAAUGGAUUCAAAAUUGGUAACAGAGACACAAUUUGGUUAUGCUCCUGGGUUGUUGGGACGAAACUUGGACUUGACUCAGAGUCUGACUUGGGAAACAGUCACUCAACUUGGACUUAGUUAACAGGGAUUCGACUUGGGCUGGGACAUGAGUAAUGGAGACUUGGACUCGGGUUCCAGGGACUUGGCUCUGAUUUGACUUGGUCCCACAUAGUCAGUCCAGGUAUAUACCCCUGAGUUGUGGGGACAAAACUUGGACUUGACUCAGAGUCUGACUUGGGCAACAGGGACUCAACUUGGACUCUUGGGUAGCAGGGAUUUGACUUGGGCUGGGACUUGAGUAAUGGAGACCUAGUUUAUAGCACUUGGACUUGGGUAACGGGAAUUUGACAUGGGCUGCGACUUCAGUAACGGAGACCUGGGACAUUGGACUUGUACUUGGAUAACAGGGAUUUGACUUGGGCUGGGACUUGAGUAAUGAAGACCUAACUUGGAUUAAGCAUUGGUUAUAAGGGGCUGGAAUAGGACUUGGACUUGGGUUUUAGGAUUGGCUCUGAUUUGACAGUCAGUCCAGGUAUGACAAGUUUAGGUACAAACCAGGGCCCUCCUCAUUGGUCCUCAAGCUAUGGUGACUUUACCUGACUUCAUGCAUAAGCACUGGGGACUUGACUUGGAAAGGACUUGGGAAAUCAGAACUCGGCUUGGUCUUUGACUUUGGAAACAAUGACUUAACCUAGACCUAGACUUCACUUGCCCUGGAAUUAGCUAACAGGAUCAAACUGUGGAUUCACUUGGUCCACAUAGUCAGUCAAGCUGAGUAGUUCUGAAUUACUGACUUGGAUUAUUCUCUGGGGACUCCGAUUCAACUGUAUCUCUGGGGGACCUGAAGUUUGGUGGCCCGACUCCAACACUGCCUCCUUUUUCAUUUCGGUGAGGUGGAACCAUCUCGGUGCGAACACAUUGCUUAAUUGCGGUAUGAUGUAGUUUGUAAUUACCUCGAUCAGUUUCUGACUCAGAAACUUCUCAUUAAUCUGCAUCAUAAUUAUCUUAGACGUUAUUAUUAUGUGUUUGAUAUCUUUACAAACAAACACGCCUGCUCGAUGGGAGUGAUUUCUAGACCAAUUUUAUAUCACUGAAGAAAAAAUGGGCACAGAGAAUGAUCAAACUUUAACACAAUGCGGUGCAAGUGGAGUAUUUUUGGAGCUCAACAUCUGGGAAUUCACCCUCAUGUCAUCACGGUUCAAAGUCCUAGAACCAAAUGGGGUUCAAACUCAGACCAUAGCUGAGGAUAUAUGACUCAAGUAAAAAGUCGUGCAAAAUAUGGAGAUUUGGUUGCAUAGCUAGUUAUAAAUGUAAAGAAUUGUAAGUUUUAAGUUCAGAGAAAGUAACUGCAUGAAAAAAGUUCAAUAGCUUCGUGAAAAUCUAAUCCCACGGUGGCAGACUGACCAUCUGGUCAUUGUUGUCACUCACAUUUGCAGAUGGUUUGCUCAGUCAUCCCUGCCUGUUUCAAACACAAACGCCGCUCUGAAUGGUUCCUGAACCCUGGCGAACAUAAGCAGCUUGUUGACGUCAGGGCGGGAAUGACGAAAACCCCUCGUUGUUGACUCACUGCCUCAGCCCUCCGAGUGUUGAUCUCAAAGUUCACUUGAGUUUCCAGGAGAAAUGGGACUUGCACUCGUCAUGGGGUUCCCCUGAGGGCUAACGCUGAGGGGGAAGCCGGGGAGGGUGUGUUUAACGAAUAAUGGAACAGCUUCUCUACCCAUGGCACUGAGACGUUCAGCAUUCGAGUCUUGUCUCUGUUUGUUUCUUUCGACAGCGCAGAAACAUUCGAACCUCAUCUGGCUGCAGCGUGUGUCUCUGUCCAUGGUGCUGAAAAAUUUAGGCCCAGCUGUCUUUUAAGUUCAAAUCCUCUCUUUUUCCAUCAUGCAUAAGCAUAUUCAGAUUAUCUCUUCUUUUUAUCACUCUCUCACUUUGGUUUUGAGGAUAUAACCGACUAAAUUCAUACUCUAUUUGUUCACAAAUAGCUUUGCAGAAUCUUUUUUGUGCACGGUACAAAACUCUGAAUUCCUCCUGCCUUGAACUGCUGCUUCUGUACAGGGUAUGUGGAAGCCUGUGGGAUUUGAAGAAAAUGUUUAAGCUCACAUGCCUCCAGGAAACCAAUGGAAGGAACAAAAAAUGUGCUUGGCAGCUUGUGCACUUCUUUGAACAAUAAAUAGCCGGCGUUUGCAGGCUUUUCCCACAAAGAGUCACUCAAACUACUCAUGUAUGACAGCAAACCUUGUUGUCUGGGUGCGGAGGGGGAACCUGUGUUUGUCAACAUUUAACAAUGAUGGAUCUGAACUUUGAUGGAGAAGUCUCUAUUUAAGUGACGGAUGAAUGAAAGAUAGUCUGUGAAAUAUGUUUCUCGCCCUCUUUUGGGGUUUAUUUUGAGGAUUGUGUGGCACACAUUUAUAAGGAUUUAGCAGGCCUCUAUUCUUCAAAUAUUACGACUUUCUUUGUACCGAUUUGUCUUUUUUAAAUACUCAGUUCAGAAGUCUGUUAAUUCUUUAAUGCCAAGGACACUCCUUCCUGUAAAAAAGACAAAUAAAUAAAGCUGCAUUCAUUUAAAGUGGUGGUUCCUUAAUGAAGUAAUGAACCACUUGACAGGCGCUGUAAGACAAAACACAAAGCAAUGCUUCUUCUUGAAUGGAUAUCUCCCUUUGAAACCCGUGUUUAAGGCGUCUCAGUGUCAGUUUGGACUCUCUUAAAUGGAAAAUAUUACAAACAUACAAAAGAGCUCCCUCAUGUAAAGACUUUAAUCAGAGCUGAGCAGAGGAAAGGCUCUCUAAAAAAAACACAAAUUAACUUUACGGCUAAUUUCCGACUGAAAUCUUGACAAAACAGUUGAUAUCAGGGGCAUUGCUGCAAGAGUGCUGAUGUGGCGUUUCCAUACUUGUGAGGUUUGGGGACCUGAGGUGAUAAAUGAAUAUGAUGACCCAUGCUGAAAUUAUUUGGACAUAAAAUAGAGUCAUUACCAGCGGCCUGUGUCUUAGAUGAAUGUCUAUAACAGGCCUAUGAAUGUGAAAGUCAAGGUUACAUUAGUUAUGAUUAACAGCCACUCUGAGGCACAGUGAUCUGUUGCCUUUGUGUAGCAUGUUAAUGCUCAUUAUAUACGACGACAUGACUCCUAUAUGAACGCACCAUUAAUUAUGUUGUGUAAGUUGAAGAAAGCCUCAUUAUAUUUUCCUUUGAUUUCCACAGAAAGGUUACACUAAUUAAGUGUGUCAUUCAAUUUCAAGGAAAUACUAAUAAUACAUUUUAUUCACAUGUAUCGAUAAAAACUGUGUUUCCACUGCAGGAACUAACCCCAGAGAGGAGGAACUGUUUCUCCACUGUAGGGAGAGGGGUCUAAAUGAACUCUACAUGGUCCCUGCUCGGAUUACGGUACUUUAUCAAGACACAGGAACAAUCACUACUUUUUAUUCACACCCUAAAAAGUCUCUGCCGCUGUGGUAGUACUUUUUAAAGGUCAGGGUACUUAUGAGUUAGCCCUGAAGUGCCAAAUAUGUCUGAUUGGAGAACCAGAUUUUUGGAGUAGCAUGUGUUUGCAGAAUCAAGACCAUAUUCCUGGGCCCAAAUCCUAACCCCCAAUUUUCACCACGUCUGGAAUGGCAGCCAUUUUCGCCGUACGCCAAUUCCUAUCGGAUUCGUUUGUGAGGUGAAUUUCAUGAUGGAUUAUGGACAGCAGGAAUCGCGAGAACUCAUGAGAACCCAUGAAUUCACGCACAAUUGCGCCAAAACAAGUUGUUUCUAACCACAGAGGUUAACCAUAUAAGCAGUAGAUCUUCUAGACUUCCAGAAUCAGCAUCUCCUCAUCCAUGUUGUCCAUCGGGAUGAAAUGUUGUCUAAAAACCUUUCACUUGUUCGUCUCUGCUGGUUUGCAUGGUGUGAAGUACGAUCUGCUGGAUGUUUUAUUUUGUGUCUGUGCCCGACUUCCUUUCCAGCAUGGAAAAAUCUGUGCUGAAUUUAUCCGGUACGCUCUUGCGUCCGGAAAAAAAUUGAACAAUUGGAAUCAGCUGCGGAGUCCUGCAAUCUGCAGAGGAAUGGAAAGAAGCUAGUGGAAAUUGACACAAUAACUUGAAUAGUUACAAUCAGCUGCGAUCGGAAGAUACAACUUUUUCGUAGCCGUGCCGGAUGCGGUGGAAAUUGGCAGUAAGAGGCUACAGAAUCAAGACCAAGUCCCUAAUCCCGACCCUUGCUGUUGCCAAGACACAGAGAUCCUCUAGAUUUACUCUCAGAUUAUUCCCCUGAAUUUGUAGCUUCUGUUUGGUUUAACAAGUACUGAUUUAAACUCUGUAGAAACCUCGACAGGAUAAGAAGCUCUACGGACUAAAAGUACCUCUUGUGGAACUGCGAGUGAUAAAGUGAUGGCCUUUUCCUGAUAUAAUUCAUAAUCAACCUUUUCCUGCUCUGAAAAUUUGACUUAAGGGACUCAGGGUGUACGUGACCACUCCAAGACAGAGAGUCUUUGUCAAUCUGAGUCAUUCCCAGCUCCAUGAUUGUCCCCUCUGGUCUUUGAGCAGUGAAAAUAUUUCCCACUUUAUUACUCAUAAAGCACUACAGAUUGUAUUACUCAUAUCUGGACAGAUUGGAUUACGGUUAAGCCCCUUUGACUCGAUCACUGUUGAUUUCCCUUGAGGCCGUAGAACGAGCUUUAAUGAAUCUCCAUUUUUACCAAAACCCCCGCCGUGAGGCGCUUUCAUUCGACACGCCACGGGCAAUAAAUGAGUCAAAGGCCCAGACAUCUCAAAUGACCAGAGGUGGCAGGUUCUGACCCGAGUCAGUGCGUUCUGAUUAAGAUCCAUCAAGACGGAUUCCUUCAUCAAAAAAAUUACAUGAAGGAAAUUCAACAUGUCCAGAAGUGACUCAGAGUAUCGAGCUCUGCUGGUUUGUUCCAGUUGGAGAUGGUUUAUUAACAUGUGUGAAAUCAGAUUCUGUUCAUUAGGUUAAUAAAUGAGGAGUUUAAGUGAUAAAUAAAAGUAAAUAAAAGUCAUGAACCUGAGAUAUGUAUUAUCUUUUUCAUAAUUAAUCCACACUCAGCAUCUUUUUUGUGGGGUAUAAACAAAAAAGAUUUUAAUAUCAGUCAAUAGCUAUUAGUAAUUGAUGAUAUUUGGGAAUAUAAGGAUAUCUCUGUGUUUUGUUACGUCUUGAAAGUCAACAUUUUAACAUUUUUGAGCGGUCCGUUCUUUCUGACUGUAAACAAAGCCGUUCUCCACCUCCCCCAACCUGAUUGGUUGUGAGGCAGACGCUGCUCCCCCGUGUCGUUCAGGAGCCCAAACAAAGUUAGCGUGCUACAAUAUCGGACAGUAGAAACCAACCAGAAAGUUCGGAAAAUUGUCUGAAUCCUCCUUUGGCCACGACUGCCGACACAAGCAAGAAAACAAAGUAAAUACCAGAGACUCUGGAGGAAUAACGGGCGCUUAAAACGGAGGUAGACCGGACAAGAGCUAAAAAGCCGGGUCAACAUAAACGAUGGGGGACGCUUGGGGAUCUUGGUGACCCUGUAACCUUUCUGCUGGACAGGUAAACCGCUUUAACAAAGUAAGACAAGUGUCUGUAACAGAAGUGUUUCUUGUCAAACGGACCUGCUGUAGCGUGUUGUAGCGCCAUCGCUAAACUGUCCUCCCUCGGGUCCUGGACUACGUCACUUUAUCCUCGUUGUAGAAGUCCUGCAAACAUUGUGUUUGCUGGUAGUCUGUUGGCAUCUACAGUAGCACCAAUGCUUUUGACUUUCACCUUGACUGGGCCCCAUUUGUAAUUAUCUGAAGUAAUAAUAAUCUGACCCAUAAUAAUCUCAAAAUUUCUCAAAAAAUGAUCAUGGUCAUUAAACAGAGACAAAAUCUGUGUCGACAUUUUAAAGUUUAAAUGGAGUCUCUCGGUGAAAGUAUGCAGAGCUGGUAGAUGUUUGAAAAACUCCAAUAAUUUCUCUUUUUUUAUGCGUUCCAUUGACUUCAAUGCAAAAUUUUUCAGAAGUUUUUCGCAAACCAUCAAGAUUGUACAUAAAAACUAAAGGUUUUGUAUCUAAAGGUCUGUGGAUGCAGGUUUCUAAAGGCUUUAAGAAGUGUGCAGAAUCUCGAUUAUUAAUGAUGAAGCUAUUUCUUCAGUAAAUGUCAGAACUUGGACAGUUUUGGGAAGGUGCCAGCCGUGUCUUAAAAGCGUUCCCUUUAAAAUAAAAGCCCCACUCUCGGUGAAAACUUCUACCUCAUUAACUCAGUAAGUCAGACUUUGAAGGCCAACCUCUCCCUCCCCCUCAGUCGAUUCCUACUUGUGUACCCGCCACAUAAUCCUUUCAUUGUAGGGAAAUUUAUUCCUCUUACUUAUUCCUCUCUAUGAUUUGCAUUUCUAGGCUGUUCUUAUUUCACAUGUCCUCAAACAAACGAGCGUUUGCUUUACUCCACAUGUUUGUAUCAUACAAUAUUUAUAUCUGGCACAAAGCUGCUGAUUGCUGCAGGAAAUUCCCAAGGUCCCUCGUAGCUAUUAUUCAUUUUAGAGCAUAUUUCUCUCACACUUCUUCAGAAAGGAGGAAUGUUUGUAACAUGUUUACACAGAAAUACAGAUUUUUUUUCUUUUUAUCUCGUUAAAGUUUCUUUUCGGUGAUCAGGGAGGCCAAUCUUUUUACACUCAGCUGCUUUGGUAAAGAGCAUCGACUUAAUUCUUUUAAUGUAAAAUGCAACUGUGGGAGACCAGCACUGAAAUCCAAACGAAUAGACGGGGUGAUCCGACAUUAUUCUUAAAAACUGAUGCAACUUGGUUGCAAUAAGAGUUAAAAUUCAGCAUGCCUGAUGCAGGGAUUAAGUCAGCACUGCGUGAACCAUCAAUAGCAACCCCUCCACUGACCUCCAUGAUGCCCGAUAAGGUUUAAUGGGACAGUGUUUGCUGCAAAAGUUGGACCAAAAUCCCAAAUCUUUCAACUCUCCAUUGACGGUGUCUUUACUCAACAUCUCUGGGUUAGUGCAUCAUCCUUUUGGACUCUAGACCCACUCUGCAUCAGCGCGCAAAGGACUGCAAAACCAAAUCCUAUUGGUAAAUUCUACGCUUCCCUAUAUAUUUAUAUAUAUAUAUAUAUAUAUGACUGUCACAGGCUUGAUGUUCCAGACAGCUUGUUUUUUCUUCCAAUAUUACAUUUUUGACAAGCCAUCUUCAACGGUGGAGAGGAGAAGCUUUCAGAACCAUCACUGUCACCGCCGAAGACCCCCGGGAACAAAUACGUUCAUGUAUAUAUUCAAUACAGUCUUUUCAUGUCGACAGAAAUCAUGUUAGCUAUGUUUCUUAAUGAUUGUGAGACAGGAAGGACAAAGCAUGUGGACACAUUUUUUAAUUUCUCUGCAAAAUGAAUGUAUCCAUAUUUAAUUUCCAAUCUUAGAUUUAUUUACAGUCCGCGGGGAUUACAGCUCUGUCGUUUUGACCUUGAAACAGCUUGAAGACAAACACACCAGAGAAAAAUAUCUAUCUCUAGAAAGAAGACUAAAAAAGAGACGCAUUUUAAUAAGAUCACAUAGUUAGUCUGCCUGUCUUUUGAUGCCCUGAUACGUGACACUCAAAGUGACCUCAGGGAAAAUGAAUAAAUGAUUUUGACCACUUUAACUCGUCAGGGCGACGCGCCGUCUCUCCGACACUCUACCCACACUCGCACCUGUGAAACCUCACCUUCUCAAGGGUCCGAGUUUUUCCUCCUUCGUUUUUCUUUCCAGGGUACUUACUUUUCAAUCUGAUAACUUCAUGGAAAAUAAUCAUUUUUACCAAGUUUCCAAGCCGAGUGUGCAGAAUUGAUUAUUCUUUUUUUAGGCGGCGCAUUUGUUUAUCUCAAUGGAGUGGGGCCCGGUUGUGGUGACAGCAUGUCAAUUUCAAGAUCAAUUGUUGCCUCCUUGCCUCUGGCCUUUGCAUUACAUUACCAUAGUAAUGACUUUUUGACCCUCCUUUUUAAAGCAGAGAUCUACAUUCCUAGUUGUGGAGACAAAUGACGCACCUGAAAGUCAUUUGUGGAGUGUAAUGAAUUAUUCUCCGCAGCGCCUUGAGUCGUCACACAUCGAGCAUCAUAAAGUGAUUGUCAGUAAAUGUGAGAGCUGCAGAGGAGGGGGGAAUAUCUCCCAUUAGAAACACACCGCAGAUAACUGUAUUUAUGCUUGAAAUAGACUUUGCACAAAGUUUAUUUGGACUAAAAGAACAACUGAACACUUAUAUUCAAGGAUUAUACGUGUGAAUUAUAUCUGAAGUACGGUGCUUCAGACUUUCUCAGUAUCAUUUCCUUUGUUUAUGGCGCAAUAACGGUUUUCUUAACGGUGAACUUCUGCAGGCUUCCCGACACAUUCUUGCACAAUUGUGUUUUUAAACAAAGCAAUAAAUACAGGUGUGGAUUUUUGUUCAUAUACUUGUGAAUUAUUUUAGUUUCUUCUUUUUUAUCCUUUGUCGUAGUGUUACAGCUCUUUGUUGUUUUUCCUCUCUCUGUCCUCCUCAGCACUGCCCAGGUAAUGUCGGUAAUCAGCUUCCUCUUCUCUGCCUGCAGCUCUUCUUUGUGUCGUAGUCGUCUUGUUAAUUUGUUCUUUAGUUAAUCUUCGGUAAAUGAAUCACACGUUAACCUUUUAGGGUGUUUUAUGUUACUUUAUUGGGUCAAAAUGUGGACAGUUGUUAGCCCCUUAGAGCAGCAACCCAAGCGUUUGAGAUAAAGUUUGCAUCUUGAACAAUUUAAGCUCAAAAGCCACGGUCCUACAAUCACAGAAUAUAUUCACUAAAAUUAAAUUCUGGCUGCUAAUUGCACAAAAUCAAAGAAUCUGAUUCCACUUCAGUGUUUUAAUGAGCUGUUAGCAUCUCCCACAGAGCUGCACUGUGCACUCUAAUCCUGACGACACUAAAUUGUUUCCACAGAUUUGGUGAGAAGAGGGAGAGUCCUCGCUAGUGCUGGACGAUAAUUCGAUAACAAUAUAUAUCGAUCGAUAGACGUGUGGUGCGAUAGAAAAAAAACGGGUCGAUAAAAAGUUCGAUAGAAAAACACAGUUUCCCUUUCUUUUUCAUCAUAGCCUAUCAUGUAGCUUUUACUACAGUCAUUACUUCCUCCCAACCAAUCACAAACGCAGACCCAGGUACGCUACGGCACCAAGCCCAGCCCCUCUCAAACCACAACAGACAGCACGUGUAUUAGAAAAAAUGUUACAGCAAGGAGAAGCGGAGGAAAUUGUCCCGAAAAAAGGUUUCAGUAGUUCACCAGCAUGGCAAUGUUUUGGUUUUUACAAGUCUGACAAAAAGCGAACAGCGGUCGUUUGCAAAAUUUGCAGAGAAUUAGUAAAAACCAAGUCUGGUAACACAACCAACUUGUUUUACCAUCUAAACCGAUCGCACCCGCAGGAGUACGAGCUGUGUCGGCCGCGCCGCGGCUCCACGUCGUCGGAGGAGGAAUCCUCUGGAACCGCUGCCAGCACCAGCACAAAGCAUGUGAAGCAGACCAAACUGGACUUCGUUUCUUGCCAAAAUACGACAAAGCGUCCAAGCGGCAUAAGGACAUCACCCAUGCAGUGACAUGCUGCCAAUAACUACCGUUGAAAAGCCUGGCUUCGACCAGCUUCUAGCCACUCUCGACCCGCGAUAUGAAGUGCCCGGCCGCAAGUAUUUCUCAAACACAGCGCUUCAGGCAUGAAAACGGUUCAGGGGUUGAAAAGCUGAGAAGGGUGCGGAGGAAAUACGUUCCGGUGUUGUGCUGUAGAAUGCACCCCUGCAUCCCGUCCACUCAUUAGCUUCUUAAAGUGGAAGAAAAUGAGCUCAUACGCGAGUAUUUGGAUCAUGGCUACUAGCAGGGGGUGCGUUCGGCAGGGGUGCAUUCUACGACACAACACCGGCGUGGAUAAAUCCUGCUUCUCGUGCUCAGUUUGCGUAUUAAGUCAAUCAUAUGAUAAUUAAAAAAAAGAAAUCUCCCGACCCCGGGAGACACCAGGCUGUGGGCAGUUUCCCACAAAACUGGUAGUAUGCUAUUCCCACCUAAAGCUAUUCUGUUUAUUUAUAUAUUUGUUUGUUUUGUUUAUUUUCAUCAAAAGACUAUUUAAAUAUUUAUUUAUCAGAUUUUCUGGUCACUUUAGUCUUUAUGUUUGUCAGUAUUUACUGACGUCACUCAGGCCACUUAAGUUGAUUUCUUUUCUUUUUUUUAAGUUCUUUUUUAAAAAACUUUCAGUUGUGGUAAAAAAAUAAAUAAAAAGGUGGUUGAAUAAAGGUUUGAAUUUGAUUUUAGUGCUUGUGUGUUCUUUAUUAAAAGUAGGUCAUUAAGCAAUAGCAUAAAACAUCCAGGGCUGCAAUUAAAAUAUAUGUUAAAUAAUUAUAGUAAUUAUAUCGAUAAUUAUCGAUAUCGAUCAAUAUGAUUUAUUUUUUAUCGAUAUGCUUUUUUUCUAUAUCGUCCAGGCCUAGUCCUCGCCAUCAUUUACCACCAAACACUAAAACUACACUCUUACUGCUGUCAGUGCUGCUCUGAGAGAAUUCAGUGUUUAUUGGAAUAAGGUUUGUUUGCAUCAAGAGAGGAAUAUUCACCCCAGUCUUAUUUCAAUCCAUGCAAAAGAUGCUAUUGGACACCUUUCAUGUGCUUUGUGAAUUAGACAGUAUUUUUGGUUUGUUUGCAACAGAUAGUGGGAGCAGAAGUUGCAUGGUUCUUUGUGAAUCAAGCCCUGAGUGUAAUGCUUAGGACCUCCUGGAUAGCUGUAGCUUACCACUGCUCAUGUUAAUUUCUUGAAGUAUAACCACUUUUCGUCAUAUUCAGACAAAUAAUCCCUAAAAAGAAACAUCACAAAGUUCUUCUUUUGACAAGAGCCGCAUCAGCCGCUGAUAUUUAGGGCACAAAGUCUUUCAAUAGAAGCUCCGUCCUUCCAUAACAAUGCUGCUGAUUGGCUUUUGUUAAAUGUAAAUGUCUGCCCCUGCAUGAUUGAAAUACAGGUCACUGCUGAACAGAACAUGCCUGCUCAGCAAGCGUUCCCCGGCUUUACAGAGCAGGUAGACUAUUCUAAUCAAGGGAUUUUGUGGAUUUAAUAUGUUCUGCAAGUGUGCGGCUUACACAUGCCGCCCGAGUGUUUCAUUUAUCCACUCAGAGGGGGAGUCGCAAACAUGCUGAUGGCUUUUAUAGAUCUAAACUGCCGAACGUCAGAGAGCCUAUAUAAUUUUGAAAAACAUUUAAAGUAGAAUGCUGAAGUGAUGAAAAAAAGGGGGUAAUUAUAUGGAAAAAUGCAGAGACUACGCCUUUCAUCAGGAUCAGGACAUGUGUGGAGUGACCGACUUAGGAGGCAACCUUGAGUACACACAGCAGGACAAGUCCACUUCAGAUAAUGACGAUAACGGCAGUGAAACCCUCCAGGGGGUCACAACAUACAGAUCAUGAUUCUAACCUUUAGUUUUAUAUAAACAAUUUCUUUUGUUUGCACAAUUUACCAGAAAAUCCAGGUGAGCUCCUAUUUAUCUCUUUGGUUAUUAAGUGUUAACAUCACUAGAGGAUCUCUGUUCCAAUUGGCUAUCCUGGCACGAGUUUAAAACCUUCACCUCUCAAAAAGUAAAAAGGCAAAUAAAACAGACGUGGUGCGAAAAUCGUCUCAUUCAUACGUAUACUCAACUCCAUUUGCACCACCUCCUCUGUGUAAUUUGUGUUGCGUGUGUCAUUGUGCGUGACAUUUCCCUGUUGUUGUCCAAUCAGUGAGCUGAUCUCCUUACAGGUCUCCAAUAUCCUCCUAAACCACACCGUGGAUCUUACUGUCAGCAGGAACUUCCUAAAAAUAUCACCUCUCUUUGUUCAUCUUUUAAACCUCAUCUCUGUGAUUAUGUCUGUUGUAUAUCGUGUACAUACUUGCACAUUAUCUCUUUAUUAUGUUACUUAUUUUAUCUAUUAUUUAUCUCCUCUUUCUACUUAAUUUGCACCAGAGUUUCUGUAACGAAAAGAAUUUUACCCCUGAUUCUGAUUCUGUUAAAGCUCCUGUCAGGGACUUUCUAUUUGUGUCGAUUUUGGCGCCCCCUGUGGACAAAUGAUUCCUCCCUUGGCUUUAAGGUCGUUUUCACACCUGACCAAGCGGACUCGGUUCGAUCGUGGAGCUGAAAGUCGCAACAUUGUUUCAUUUAUCACUUGUUUGGGUUCUGCUUUCACACUCUGAUUUCUAAAGCGCACCGAACUUUCCGAGCAGCAUCACGUAGUUGAAAGGGGCGCUCGUCGAUUGGACAAAGUAGGAGGGGUAUGCAACCUCAUGGAUUACAAACAGGGGGGGACUAGCCGUCUUGUAUCGUGCUUCGUCACAUUAUUUCAUGAAAUGCUACAACAUUAGUGAACGCAACUGUUCUUAUAAUGCUAUCGUAGCUUGUCAGGGAUUGAUCCUGCAACUUUGACGAUCGAACAUGUGACGACAUAUGAGCUCAGAGUUUAAGGACUGUGACUGUUGGUAGUUGCCAAAUUGUGAAUUUAUGGGUUAUUGUGGUUCAGACGAUUGAGCUAUGGCAACAAGUGAUGCAGUGCUUCCUCUACCCAAGAUUCACUGCGUAUAGUGUCAUAACGUACAUUUGGUCCUGUGUUUGGUCCGGUGAACUUUCACACUGCAUACAAACCGAACCAGGGUUCACUUGCAAGCGAACCGAGACCCACAUUUUCAGGCGGACCAGAGUUCGCCUGUUUGGUCCGCACCAGAGUUCGGACGAGCUUUCACACCUGCCCAAAUGAAGCGGACUAUCUGAGGAAACGAAAUCUGGUCCGUUUGAAGCGGACCAAACAGCUCUGGUGUCAAAGCGACCUAUUUGUGUCGAUUUUGGCGCCCCCUGUGGACAAAUGAUUCCUUCCUCGUCUUUAAAUCUUACUCCAUACAUUUAUCGGUUCUGUUUAUGUAAAGUUCUAGAAGUUGUUUUGGUUCUUAAAAGCAGCAGGUUCAACAGUUGAUAUGGGAAGCAUGUCUUCAAACUCACUUUAGUCUGUUUGGACUCUUGGUUUACAGAUUGCGUAGCUUCACUGUCCUUGUAUUGUCUGUUUCUUCACCCACUGAUGAUACUAGAACUGUUUUGUCUUUAACAGAAGGAAACACAUCCAUCAUGUCCUGUAAAAGAACAAUUAUAGCCUAAAGAUAUAUGUCAGGAUAGGAUUGGCCCACUUACCUCCUUUAUUGGGGUGUUGUUAAUGCUCCUAAUAUUUUGUCCGUCCUACCUUUACAUGCCUUUCAGUAACUCUGUUGAGCCUUUGUACCUUUUAAUUCUGCAUCUAUAGAGGAAGGCAGGGCAGUUGGUGGAGUUUGGACAGUUGAAAAAGUGCUGGCACACAACAGCGAAAAGUGGCCCUAAUUAAAUAAAUAACUAUAUAAGCGCAUCGCCUAUUCACAGAUGGCUGAAAGGCUGCCAUGCAAGAUGUCCCUUAGGAUAGAAACUUGUCUUCCCUGCCAGGCAGAUAUUUGGCAUUUUACAAACUGUCAGCAAGCCUCAUUUGCUCUCAAGCCAUCCUGCGCUCGCUUGUUUCCGCGGUCACAUAUCUGUGCAGCCCUGGCUGGCUUAAGGUAAGUCGUGCCUUAGCUGGGUGGGAAAAAAUAAGCACAAACAGUACUUUGUGCCAGAGAAUGUACUGAGAGCACAAAUAGCUGUGAUCAGAGCCUCAAAAGACAACAUCAUAGUAGAAAGCAAAGCCAUACUGUAUGUGAGGACUGAACAUGGACUACCUACACACAGCAGAUGGACGACGAUUAUUUCCAGUGAGGUAAAAGUGCAGCUUUUAGUGCUUUCAACAAGAAAAGGAGAAGAAGUUACUUCAUUACUUAGCAUCUUCUGAGCAGAUAACACUCUUCUUUCCUUAGACAGGCGUUUAUUCUGCUGAUUAACUGAACCUUGAAGCCAAAUGUUUCAUAACCGUGUCCAUGGAGACUCGCUUUGGUUCAGUUCAACCAGAUUUAUCCAGUCAGGCUGUCACAGACAACUAAGAAGAUAAUGCGAGCUUAAUGUAGUCCGACAGAUCUGAAUAUUCGACUUCUUCUGAGGCGAUGAAUCGGCAAAAUUGUUAACUUCACGACACUAUUGAUCCUUCUUAGACUCAGAUAUUCAGGGAGACUUUUUAACAUUGUCGUGCACCAAAAACAAAAAAGUUGCUAGCUAGUGUGAUCUAACACGUCCACCGGGUGGGGGAAGGUCCUACCUUCUUCACCACUAAUUGGCUAGAAGUGCUUGGCUCUGAUUGGUCCUUCCUUAUGGCUGUGAAACGUCAUCGUCUGUUGGGUUAGGUCAAGGAGAUUCAGAAUCGUGUUCGUUGUUCGAGGUACAGAGCCGACAGCCUGCGCUCGGCUUGAGCGUGUGAUGACGUUUCACAGCCAUAAGGAAUAACCAAUCAGAGCCCAGCUUUUCUAACCAAUCAGAGGUAAAGGAGGCAGGACCUUCCCCUACCAUCCCACCAAAAAAAAAAAAUCAUGUCCAGUGGAUUGAUUCACUCCAGUUAAGCCCCGCCCUCCAAAAAUUGUUACUCAUAUUCAAAAGGGUCCUAACGUAAAUACAGGGACUCCUGGGGAAAGCCUGGUUUCCCUCUUGCUUCUGAUUGGUCAGAUCUCCUUCUCUAAUGCUAACUGACACCUCAAACAUAGACAUACAUGAUCCUUUUCAAAGCAGCAUUUUUAGCCCGAGUGUAAACAUGAUCUGAGUGGAGAAUGACGGUGAUUUUCUCUUCUUUAACUGAUUACCUGUCUGCAUCUCUGCUCAGCCCGGCUCUAAUAUCCACCGCGCUGUUGUCGUGGACUGAAAGGUGACUGAGGCUGUAUUUUCCAGCUGUCCAAAGAUAUCACCUUGUGUCACCUUAAACCAGCGUGACUGGCUGAUUGAUUCCCCCCCCUGUUGAAUCGAUGCAUUCCUAUUCAUCCGGCCCUGGCAGACGUCGCAGAGCUGUUUUAAGGAACUGUUCACCUCGAAAUUGAAAUUCUGUCAUCACGUAUCCAGGCUCAGGUGAAGUUUGUAAGGGCCACCAAACACGUAGUUACAAGCAGAAUUGACAAAAGCAGAGGUGUGAUCUGAGAGGCCCUCUCUCUUAGAUACAGAGCGGUAUUAAAAACGGCAGGUUACAUGUUGAAAAGGUUAGAGAAAAGGUUAGGAGAAGUUUUAACUGCUCACCAAAAAGGCUUAAAUUUACAGUAAAGAUUUGUAACAAGCCAACAGGAGUUUUUGCAAAAAAAAAAAGGCUAAUAAUUUUUUAUAAUUUUACAUUAACAGAAAAGAUAAAUGUAUAUGAUAAGAUUUACAGACAAGGGAGGAAUCAUUUGUCCACAGGGGGCGCCAAAAUCGACUCAAAUAGAGAGUUCCUGACAGGAGCUUUAACAGAAUCAGAGAGACGAGGUUCAAAAGGUCAAAGGAAAGGGGAUAUUUGUGGUUACUCUGAAAAUGGACCUGUACACACUAGAGCAUGACACAGGAGCAGAUUUUCACUCCUGUCCCGUCCCACUCCCACUCAAAAUUACUCCCACUCAAAAUUACUCCCACUCCUGUCCUGCUCCUUUUUGAAAAAAACCAAACAUGUUGAAAAAACGUUAUAUUUUUUUAUUUUAGGUAAAAGUUGCAGCCGAGUCGGAGCGGCAGUAGAUCCCGGCGACAAUACGUGUGUCGCCGUCAGCCGCGUAGAGUCGCUUUUCACUUCGGGUGGUGACAGGAAGUCAAACCACUGUUGUAGUUCUUUUGUGUUGCUAGCGCAGUCAAGAGUGUUGGCUCUCACUGAGAGAUGACUACAAAAAUGGACGCAUCUGUUCAUCUGGUUGUUUAACACGGCUGAAAAUGAUCAUCCUAUAUUAUCACUGGGUUGUGCUGUAACAACUCUCUUGUUUUGUGUGUUAAUAAAGGGUAAACUCUGCAUGCACGUUGCUGUUUGAACUGCUACUUUGAUCCGCGCAUAUAUGAUGUAUUUGGGCGGCGGCGUUUGCACAAUGCUUAGCCUAAAGAUACUGAUAUGACAUUUAAAGUUCAAGUCUGAAAGCCCAUUGGUUUGUCAGGUUGGAUCAUGUGUCGCUUUAAACUUGAGAUGAAAAGUUUUUGCUUUACGAAGCAGAAGCCGUUCGUCUCUUAAGUCUCUGAUUUAUCCCGCCAACACUCGCUGCUGCUGCUGCAUCCAAAGAUCACUCCUUCGUCUAGCGGUGAGGUCAGGUGUGCUGCACCUUUCCUUUCUGAUUGUGCGAUCAUAUUAUGAAGGUUUUUGUCGGUGGUGAUCAUUUUGUGACAGUUCAGCUGCAAUUCAGAUCCUCUUUUAGGCUCUCUAGAAUAAAAUAAUAAAUAAGGAAACCCUGGCUGCUGCUGCUGCUGCUGCUGCUGCUGCUGGAAGCAUAAAACUGUUCAUUUCCUGUGCACCGGAGGAUUUCUCCUCCUGAAAGACCCAGCAGACAGUGGGUGGUUCGAGCAGUAAAUAAAAGCUUUUUGAAAGCUUUAAUUUACUCGGGCUGCGUGUUGAACUGUCCUUCCUGACAGUACACUGGCCUGAAACAGCCUUGCGCCUGCAAAUGCCUUUCUGCAUGUGUGCAACCAUGUGUACAAUCCACAUCAGUAACACUUUGCCUCAAAAGCCGGUGGCAAAUUUUAAGAUCCUCUCUGCUCCACCAUCUUUCUCUCUUUUUUUGUUUGAGAGGAUUAGGCUCACUGCCCCUUGAUAAAAGCUUAAAGUUAAGUCUUUGACCAUGAAGCUAGCCACGGUCAGAGCUAAAUGAAGCCCUGGUGGCGAUGUUUCAAUUCACUAAUCAAGCCGGUACAGUGAAUUUUAAUGAGCGUACCUCACAUUUUAGGAGCACUUCACCACCUCAGGCCUGUAUUUACUGUGUCAUGAUUGUGAGAAAACGCUACCCUCUUUGUUUGCAUGGAUUAUUGAGCUCUUUCAAUACCAAAAAGAAAAAGGAAAAGCAGCUCAAACUGGCACAGAGAUAUAGAUUGUUUCCAGCUGUGUCUUGAUAAAUAAGUAAUACACUCAAAUUGCCAUAAUAGCUCACUUUCUGCAAAACAAUUCUCUCUCAUUACAGCUAGCAUAAUAUCAUUAAUGAACAUUAUCUACGCCAUGUUAAUAUUCCAACAACCACACUACACUUUCACUUUGAAUUUUAAUCAUCGUUCAGUUUAUUACGACUCAACCUUGGAUUGAAAUAUAGAAACAUUGCCCAGGAACCCUUAACUAACAUGAUUUUUAUUUCAUUAGGUUAUAAAUAUGUGCUUUCUUUAAGUAGUUUUCAGGGCAGCGGUUCAGUCUGGGGUCUUGUAGAGAAAUGAUGUUGCAGUGUAAUGAGAAAAUAAGGAAAAGAAAUCCAACUCCGAGAGAGAGAGAGAGGGAGAGGGAGAGAGAGAGAGAGAGAGAGAGAGAGAGAGAGAGAGAGAGAGAGUGCCAAGGGCAAAGCCUCUGAAGUCUUCUAUGUAUAAACUGUGUUUUAUUUGAGCGUUUACAGAAUACAGACCCAUCCUCAUAUUUAAAUCUCUUUCAUAAACGACAUCUAAGACUUGUGAUUUUAUACACUUACAGCUAAUUCAAGGAGAAUGAACUAAAAACGGUCAGCUUGACCAUAAUCCAGAGCGCCAAAAUAUGACACUGAAGGUGCACCAGGAGAUGUCAAACAAUCAACAAGUGUUUUAAUUUUCUGAGUAAUCAAAGUUCACUUAAGUACGAGAGAAGAUUAGGGCAACAUGGAGAGAAAAAAAUUACAGGAACGAGACUAAAGUCGAAAUUUUGACAUUAAAAAAUAAAAAUUAUGUCAAUAAAGUUGAAAUUUUGAGAUUAAAAUCUUGAAAUUUUGACUGUAUUCAUUCAUGUAAUUUCAAAAUUAUGACCUAAAUCUCUAAAUCUUGAUUUUUUUUUUUCAUUUCGACUUUUUUAACUUUUGACUUUAAUCUCAAAAUUUUUUGCUUAAAUCUCAAAAUCUUGAUUUUUUUGGUGACUUUUUUAAAGUUUGACUUUAUCUCGACAUUUUUACUUAAAUCUCAAAAUCUUGAUUUAUUUUCAAAUCCCCUUUUAAAAUUUAGAUUUUAAUCUCAAAAUGGAAAUUUAAAAAAUCUCCCUCCUGUAAUUAUUAUUUUCUCUUCUUGUGACCCUAAUCCUCUUUCCUACUUCUGGGACUUUUCAGAAACCGAGGAUGUAUUUUUGGUAGUUUAGCGGCGCACGAUCCUGGUACUUAGUGAGGUUGGAUUGUGUCUCUCGAUUAUUCACAUGAAUCAGAGGAGGUGUGUUUUAAUUUGCAUGGCGGGUUUAAACUGCCUUAUACUUUCCUGGUGAAAUCAAAUUUGAAAAAAUAAAUAAAAUAUAAUCUAGUGCACAUGAUGGAGAGCUGAAUGUGACAGCCUCGGUGCAAAAAGUGAUCAUAGCUUUGCGUAUGUUGGGCGCUGGUUUGGCUUAGCUAGCAUAGCAGAUGCCACAUGUAAGAGGCCACGGUUCUGGUCCCCCUGGUGGUAGGAUUGGUUCUGGUUCAGUCCCCCACACUUCCUUACCUCACCUGUUUCAAAUCUGUCCUAUUGAAUAAAAGAAAAGAGCCUCCGUAUAAUGAUUCAAAUAAAUAAAUAAAUAUAUACACCUGAAUAUUGAUCGUGUUACCCUGGAGCUGAACUCAGAUUUACCCAGACUGUCGUAAUUAAAGAAGUGAGAUCAUCACUGAACAACAUUUUCAUCAAGCCGUUAACUUUGAUGUUUUUUAACACAAUCAGCUGAUUUAUUGGAAAGAUUUAACACCGAACAUCUACAGGAUUUGACUUUCAGGGCGAGAGUUAGAGUCAAAAAGUCUUUGUACUGAAUGUUUCAUUGGUUAUGAAUCAGACGGAGAUUAAUAUUGAUUGCUUUUUAAAUCUUUGAAAAGCAAAUGAGAUCAUCAGCCGAAGACCAAUUAUUUCUACAAAGUCAUAUUUAGCGCCUGUGCACCGCCACAGAGGAGAUGUCAGAGCGGAUGAUUUACCGUACGCCGAGGAAACAUUUUAUUCAGCAGUUGUUCUCUCUGAUAGAAAUCCAAGAGAAGAUGUUAAAGGUUUGAAAUGAUCACAACAACAAAAAGUGUCCACAGGGGGCGCCAAAAUCAAUACAAACUGAAAGAUCCACUCAGGAGAAAUUCAGAGAAAAACAUUUCAAACAUUUCAGUCUCCAUCUGUCCAUGAGGGUGUCGGUUUAAACAGCACAAAGGUAGCCUUUUACCGUCUCGAUAACGCAGAUGGAAACCGAGCCUCGACUAAAAACCUGAAGAAGUGAGCGGCGCAGCGCUUUCCUCAUAUUUAUUGAGACAGUGAGAUGAGCUCAAGAGUUCAUAACCCACAAUCCUCUGCUUGUUACACACUCUGAUGCACCGCGACGCCACAACUCAUAAUAAAUAUCAGUGUUCGUGCUGAUUCAGCAAAAGUUUGUAAGCGUGGACAAAGGAGAUACGAGUAUUUGUCCCUCAGACUCCGAACAUCAUUGCUGCUAUAGGGAAGAAACCUUGUAUCUCCAAUGUAAACAAAAAGAGGAUAGAUUAUGGAGAUACAAGGUUUCUGCAGAGGACGUUAGAUCCUGUUCAAUACUGUUAGUGUGUCCUAAGUUUUGUUACUGAGUCAACUGUCCAUGAAGAUACUCAUGCAGAGUUUGAAGAGCACUGUGUCGAAUCUAUAUUAAUCUAUGUCUAUGUCGGUCUUGCAUGCAGGUACAGCUGGCUCUGGUUUUAGUCAGGUUGAAGCUCCAGUGAGGAGUUUUUUUUCAUGUUGAUGAAAUAGACUGAAAUUCAUAUGGAAGUCUUAUUGUGAUAGACAAAAGCAAACAAAACCAUCAAUGACAAGAUCUAUGUUUUUUUAUGUCGUAACUUUUAAAGCCUGAAAUCGAUGCAAGGGAUGUCGGUGUUGGUGUCGGCCCAGUUUCAGCAAAAAAUAUUUAUAACAAAAGAUGCAUUUAACCGUCAAAAACUAGCAGGGUAAGGUAGAAAUAAGCUAAUGAGAUAAGUAAAGACAGGAACUUUAAGCCCAAAACACGCAUCUAAAUAAUCAUGAAGCUUAACCAUCCUCUUUUUGGUGUGCGCCGCCUAACUUGCAAAAUUCAGACUUAUUCGUUGUGCAUUUGCGCCUUUUUUAUCCCGUAUAAUUGAAAAAGAAGAAACAUCUUACGUAAUUUAUGCACAGCUAUAUAUUAAUCUACAUACAUGUGCUGUACCUGUCUUUGUUAUCACGCUGUUCUCAAUAAAAGAAAUCCUAUUUGUGGAAACGGCGUAUUUCAACAGGUUGCCAGAAGAAAGUGCUAAUUAGCGAGCAACUCUGUCAGAAUUGUCAGCACUGAAAUAUUACAAUAAUGUUUAAUGUAAAGACUGAAUUUCAGUCAGCAGACAUGAUGUAUACUUUAGAUAAACGAGGCUUAAUGUUUGCUUCAACUUGAUUACUGUUGAGGAAUAAAUUAGCUCUACAUCUAUCAAGUUUCUCCAUGAUACAUAAAUAUCUCUUUUUUUAAUUGCUGUUGAGCAAUAUUUCAUCACUCUGUCAGAAUAAGUAUUUAUAAUCACUUCUAGAGUGCAAAUAUGAAGAAUAUUCAGUGUUUUCUCUGUCAGGCCUUAUGACUCAUGAAUCACUUAAACAUUAUAGACAAGAAUAAAAAAACAAACGAGUUAAUAAUUUCAUAUACUCUCAGACUGAAACAAUGCUUUAUUAUUCCAUUGUGUCCACAUGUAUUUAUUGAGACUCAUAUUUAGUGUCCUCGCAGGACUCGAGUGGAGAAGCAGCUCGCAGAUUGUCAUCAGGCUGCCGGCCGGGGACACAGGAAAUGAAACAAACAUAAAGAAAGAGGAACAAAAAAGUCUGUAUUUGCAAAAACAAGAUGUGCUACUUCACAAGUUUGAAAAGUUAAAUGCGAUUUGUGUUUGAGGGAAAUACAAACUGUGAAGCAGCUCAAACUGUAGUGGAUGCAAACAUUCAAUUUAUCUUCAGUUCUUCUAAGCGGCAAUUCAGAAAAUAAUGUUUUCUCUUCCUUUCGCCUCCUCGUUGAACUUGUCGAGUGGACCCUGUUAUGAUUAUUUCAGGGUAACGGAUGAUUCAUGAUAAAUAGAGCUUUUUUCUCUUCCUCAGGACAAGGUUAUUUUUUUAAUGUUUGUCAAAGCCCCUCUUUUUUUGCAAAUGUUCUGGGUCUCUACGUGUGGCCUUAAGUUUCCCAUCCAGCCAAAUAAAACAUUAUCCUUUGAAAGCACAUAUAUGACAGACUGGAGGGGAAAUAUGAACCCAUAAAAAUGAUGAUCAUGGGCCAACGGGGACGAGUAAACCCAGAGUAAGAGUCUUAGUGAGGAAAAACUGAAGCUGAUCGAUGGUGGUCACCGUUGGGAACACGCUGACUCACCCACGGAGGAAAUGCUGAGUCAUCUCAGUCAACCGGGCAAAGACACCAAGUUUAGGUGCGCCUUUAAACUUCUUGCUAUCAGAUGAAGUAAACCUGCCUGUUAGUAAAGUUAGCCUCGGGCCUAUUUGUGCAAAACUGAUGACGAGAAAUAGUAACUUUUUAAAUAUGACCCUCUGUUGAAUACAACAAAGAAUAAGAAUAACUUUAUUAAUCUCUGAAGGGAAAUUCGACACGUGUGUGCAGAUGGAGGAAUGAUCUAUUUCAACCAUAAUCGUUUUUUAAACCAAGCUGCGAACAAUUUUAUUCUGCGUUUAAGCCUCAAGUGGACACUCUGGGAACUGCAGUCUUUAGCACGUCUGCAUUGGAUUUACACCGUAACACCGAGUUAGACACCCGCCCGAGAGUUGAAGGUUGCUCACCGCUUGCUUCUGUAGUUAUACCAGCUUUAGUAACGACCGCAUGAUAGCAAUACAGAGCGGUCUAAGGAGCCAUAAACAAACCUCAACCAAAACGCCACUCUAUAACCACAAAUAAUGCUCAGAACAGCACCUAACUUCAUCAACAGGACAUAUAGGGUCACAGCCAUAGUACUAGACACCAAACAUCUUUUUAACUUUGACUCAUUUCUUUAGCAAAUGGACUUAACACAACUCACCUACUCUCUUCCAGCAGCCGCUUGUUCGUAGCGAGACCUCGGGACAGUCUGUCACGGACUGCUGCGGGGUGACGCAGCUCAAGGAAGAACAUUUAUGUCUAACUCGGUGUUACAGUGUGUUUGACCCUAAAUUAAUUUUAACGCCGGAUUAUCCCUUUAACUUCCAAGACCAAAAGCUCUUCCUGGGCUAAAGCACAAUCGUACAGUGGUAUCCAGUCAUUCAAUCUGUUAUGAAAGCCGUGAUACAAACAACAGCCUGGGAGAACUGUUGUAUAAGUCUGUCUGUUUUUUGUUUUUUUUAUUGUCAGAAAUACACAUUCGUAGAGGACUGCAUUUAGACAAAGGCUUGAAAGAUGAGGUCAAAUACCAGACUUGGACUUAUUGCAUGUCUGGGUCUUGUGAGGACAGAACAACAAUCCAUGACCCGAUAGUAUCAUGAAUACUGUAGUUUCUAUAUUUGCUCUGAAUGGACUGUCAGCCGUAAUAAAGAACUUGUUCGGGCCGACUCAGUUUGACAAAUAAAGGCCUAUAGGGACACACCAAGACUUGUGCGGCAGAUUGUGUAACAACACGGCUGAUUCAGUCAGACAUGGACAAACUUUUGCGUCACUGGGCCUGCCAUGCUCUGGAGUUAUGUAGAGGGAAGGGUGAGACUUGUUUUCCAUACUUGGUCUGUAUUGGUACCAUGAAGCUCUUAUGAACUCCAGCAGCCAAGAAAAGUGUCGGACCAUCCUUGAGUGGGCUGCUACAGCGAGCUCACUGUCCUAACAUCACUGCUGCUUAGGGUUGGGCAUCAUUUGAGUUUGAACGAUUCCCAUUACUAACGAUUCUUGAUUUUGAUUCUUUGAAAAGGCAGGUUAAAAAAAUUGCAUGUUUUUUUACUUUUUUGAUGUCAUUUCUGAACUUCUCCAUUAAUUUUUUUGCAGCUAUGGGUUGCAAUGCAAACGCACGCAUUCUUUCUCUUUCUCUCUUGCUCUGUGGCUUCGUCUCAUACGCUUUGUCUUCGUUGGUGUUUGGCGGCUUUUUCCUCGUUGGUGUGCCACGGUUAUUUCUCCCGGUCGGCCGACUCCGGCAUCGAAACUUGGAUUAAAAAAUUUUAACAGUUCCUGGAGAAUCUGAAUGUCAUGGUGCAUUUGAGUUACCGCAGAAAUCAGAAAUCCGAGCUGAAAAUGACGUCACAACUGAGUUCCCAGCGCUUCAGUUACCAAGUCGGGAAAAAGGCAAAAUCAGAAGUGGAAACAAGAUGGCUACAUCUAUGAAAGGGGAUGUUAAAAUAACAUAAAAUAACUAAAAUAACAAGCUCUAAAAUAACUUUGGUAGAUGCAGCCAUCUUGUUUCAGGCCUUUGAUUUUGCUUUUUUCCGUCUUGAUAACUAAGAUGCUGGGAACUCGGUUGUGACGUCAUUUUCAACAUCUGACUUCUGAGGUUACUCGAACAUUAGUCCUGGUUUCCCACUAUGCUUGAGACUCGAUGCCCAACCUUACUGCUUCUUCUUCUUCCUUAUCUUCUCUUAGUUUUGCAGCAGGUGGCCCUUCACAUAAAGAACGACUCUCGCUCCCUACCAUCAAUCAAGAGCUACACUGCAAUUGCAAAUAUUAGACAUCGGAUGUCAGUCACAGGACUUGAAACACGUCAUGCUGAGACCACUUCCUCAUAGUCCAAGAUUAAUUAACGUCUAUUUUAAGAUUAGCCUUCUUAUCGUCUCCCUGAAGGAUGAGAAAAUAAUCAUCUUUAAAUAAACGCCUGUAUGUGGUGUGCCUUAAACCGAAACUAAAAACAAUUUCAGGAUAAAAUCUGCUCCUUCUCGGGGAAGAUUAUUAAUUCUAUUCCAGUGUUUCUGUUGUGUGUGUGUGUGUGUGUGUGUGCACCACCCUCGCUGCUCUCUGUGUCCACCUUCUAUUGUGCAAACCUCUUGUUGGACUCGCUGUAAUGUGCAGCCUUGCUUUUGUACUUGUUGUUAAGGGAACUAUAGAGUCUGAUUGUGCUUCACCCCGUGGUGGCACACACAUUAGUAAACUCCCACAGUGAGUUCCAAUGCCAUUGAUUUUCACCUGUGUGCAAACCUCGGCUUCUAAUAGGCAAUCUCAGCUGCCAUAAGGACAAGAACAUCAUAUUAACAGAAUGAUUUAUGUUCUUCCCACUGCUUUCACAAAGUGUUUUACACUCCGCGUUCCUUUGAAAUAUGUUCCCGCUGUUGUAAAUAUCAAACUCUUCAAAUUCUGAGUGCUGGUUUAACAAUUUGGUUGGUAGUUCAACUCAACAGAAAAACCACUUCUGACAGCCAAAUCCCCCUCAUGAGUUUUGUCUUUGAGCGCGAAAAUAAAGACAAUGACCCAGUUUUUAAGGAGUGUAAAUGCCUCCUCUGAAAGUGAAUCCGAAAUAUAUCUGCUCUGUUAUGGUCGGAGUCUGAAUCUGGAGAUUACAGUUUCAAAAAUUAAGCAUACCAGGAGACAACAAUCGAUAACACACUCUACAUUGUGCACGCCGUGAAUGACAGAAGAAAUAGUCAGCCAAUGCGCUCAAGGGAGAGAGGGAGGCACAUGUGGGGACAUGAGCAUGUUCAUCUCCAUGAAGAAUGAUCCUGUUUGUUGAUUCAAUUCACUCGGGACCUUCUUAACUGUUGGAUUCCAGUUUGUGAUGAGUGGCAAUCCCUCCAUCCACCAAUAUCUGCAUUUCCCAUGAGCUUUAACGGAGAGAAAGAAGAGAUAUACGGCUCAGUUUGACCAACAUAACAAGGAAAAUCUGAUCUUUACAUAGGAGACGUAGGGAUGGUGCAUACAUUUACACAACGCCCCUCUGUGCCAGCGGAUAACAAGGAGAGGGAAAAGUGUGUGAGCUGUGGUGAAGGAGUGUUCAACUCUUCAAUUAAAGAAUAUGGUGAUUGAAGGUGAAUCAGAUGAAUGCUUAAAUUCAUCAAAUCACUCAUUUGCUCUCUAAAAAUGAAAGAUGGCAGAAGUUUCAAGAUUUUAGUUCGAUUUUGUUUAAAAACACACGGACAAGAUUGAUUUGUAGUAACCUCCGUAAGAGAAAUGAGUACCAACGAACAGUACCCUGAACUUUUCGUACAAGACGCAACUUCUCUGGAAAGUUACCCUGAAUUUCUACCGAAUCCGGGCUACAAAAGGCCGUAUCUGCCCAUGGUAGCUGAUCGUAACCAUUCAAGUUAACGUGUCAAUUUCCACCGGCUUCUUUCUGUUCCGCUGUGGAUCGCCGGACUCCUCAGCUGAUCACAAGAGUUCAAUUUUUUUCAGACACCGGAGCAUGGCGGAUAAAUUCAGCACAGAUUAACCCGUGCUGGAAAAGAAGUCGGGCACGGACACAAAAUAAAACAUCCGGCUUCUUUCUCUUUCUUUUCUUUUAGCCUAUAGGGCUAAAGACAACUUGUUUUCGUACAAUUGCACGUGAAUCAGCGGGUUCUCGCGAUUCCUGCUUUCUGUAAUCUGACACGGAAUUCACCUCAGAAACAGAUCCGGUAGGAAUUGGCGUACGGCGAGUUAGGAGGAUGCUGGUAGCAACAGAAGCAGCGAUAUAACUACUAACCAAUCUGGUAGUUUAUUGCGUUCCAGUUGGACCAGAAGCCGGGAUUUCCGUGCUCUGAGUCGUGAAAUCAUCGGAAAGUUAGGCAAUCCUCACCAAACCCCCACUUGACGACAACGUCAUAAUCCAAGAUUGCAGUGCAGUGCGUCAACAGUAACAAUCAACAGGUGAACCUGAAGCCGGUGUUCCAGUCUGAAUGGUUACCCUCUCAACUGGCAGAUAAAUGCAUCUCUUUCAGACGCCUUUGGUUUGUCAUUAAAUACAUAUGUGAUGAUUGUAUCAUGACAUUUAACCAAGAUGAAUUUUCAAGUUUCAACAGCUGUUGUAACCACGACAACGGCUGACACACGGCGUUUGUUUAUCUACACGGUGAGAGAAGGAAGCUGUGAUACAACGAUAUAAAAGCAGCCUAAUAACAGCGAGUAUGUCAUCUGACCUGGAACAAAGCAAAUGAGCCGUAGGUGUGAAAACACCGAGUGUUUGUGUUAUUGUCUGCAUUUACAAAGAGGCCCAAAUAUAUACUACAAGGUGAGACAAUGAGAAGCAGCUGGUCGCCCAGCAGAGAUGUAAGUCACCAUAAGUCCAUCUGACAUAAACGCCGGGCCUCUCUCAGGACGCUCUCACACCUGUGACUUGUUGCUUUGUCCGGUUUCGGAUCAUAAAAUGAUUCAUUGUUUUAGCCUCAGUGCUUUGGCAUAUAUCUUUAUGAAAACAAAAAGACCUAACUAACCCAGGAAACUAGCUUUAAGAACCUGAUCGACCAAUAGGAUGAGACGCAGGGUGACUCAGAGUAGGACGGAGGUGAAACACCUCAUCGACAUUUGGACACGUGAGCAUAUAAGGAUUUUUAUAGACAACUCUCUCAAAAAUAAACUGGGUUAGAGGAGGAAAGGGUCGCUCAAAAGCUAAAAACUGUGACAGCAGUUUGUUGAAGAUUCAAGACCAGUCUGGUGAAGGUGGACCAAACUCUCCUGAUUCAAUGUUCUGCAUAAAGAAAAGCACACCGAUAUCUUUAAAUGAAAACGUUUUUUCCGUGCGUUAAUGUCUCGUCUCGGUGUCAAACAUUUCUUAUUUGGAUGGCCACUUGAUUUGAGAUAUUUGAGCUUUUCCUGCACAUUUCUGAAAGUUGUUGGUUAUUUACUUUUGAAUUUACCUGUCAGGUCUGUUUUAUCCCGGCUCUUGGUAUAAAAAAUCAAGGAUAUGUCAAAGCAGACUAAUCAAAACCAAAUAUAACCGUUCAGCUGCGGACAUUUAAAUAGUGGCUAAAAGGAAAUGACACAAAACUUUAAUUGGCUCCACGUCGUAUUUUGAAUGACCAGGACAAUAACUAAGUAGUUGAAGAAACUUAUUUAUUUCAUGGUAAUUAAUGAAAACAGAGAAGCACCUCAGUAAUUUCACAGAAAAGAAAGACAUCUGACCCGAAAAUCAACAGCUCGCUCUCUCUAAUAGCUCAAACUCAACAAGAUGCCGUACAAACAGCGAUAAGUCAAACCCCGUCAGGAACUUUCCCUGCGGGUCUCACCUUUUCCUGUGAUGGAUGUAGCAGCUGAGUUAUGAUCUGUCAGAGCCCAGAAAUUUUGAUUUUUCCUCAGCUGCAUCAGGUCGCGCCCUUCUGUCAGCGUCUAUGUGAAAUAUUGAUGGCAAUUAUCUGCUCUUGCUGGUGGCCACACGGAGAUCUCGGCCGUCUGGGUGACGGGGGGUGACAACUUGUUACAUCACACGCCGCAGCACAUAUUAAAGUGUUAAUAGGCCCGCGGUGACUCCUCGUUUCCUGCUCUGAUGCUUUGAACUUCAACCCUCAGAGACUCACUUGUCAAUUAAAACAGCGUGGGUUGAAGCGUUUUGUUUUUUCUUCCUUUUUCUCUGGAUGAAGUCUGAGAUUCUGUGGGCGGCAGCAUUUAUUUUCUUUGUGUAUUCAGACUCAACAAACACACCCUCUUAGGCUAAAUAUACUUAAUGUGCCUUUUCUAAUCAUAAACAGAGGGAAUUCUGGGGGUUUAACAGCUGUGUGAUUGGAUCAGAAAUACAGGAUGUCCUGUUGAAGCUGAAGGAACAUAUUUCCUGUAGAUUUCUCAUUUUAAACAACUAUUUUUGUAAAUUGUGGAGUGAAAAUUUAAUUGAGUGUAUGAGUGAAAUAUUGACUUAACAGAAAAAUCUAAUUAUUCGACUUUUACCUUUAAAAUAAUUUAUUGUGAAUAUUUAAUGCAGAAACUCUUACUUCAGCUGCUUGGCUGUUCCCUACCUUUAAGUUCUAGGCUUUAAAAAAUCACAUCCUUAAAAUCAUCAGUCUUGUUUGCUUUUGUAUAUUAGUUUAUGUUAUGAAUGUCAAAAACACUCUUCACUAGACCUAUUUCAGAAAACGUAGCAUAAAAAUACAGUUAUAAAUUACAAGAACUUAAUUAAUCCCCAAAGAGAAAUUAGUUUUUCUUAAUUUAAUCUUCUAUUUAAGGAAGAAUUAAACGGUCUGAUGGCUGCAGGUUUUUUUUUAACAGAAAGUUGAGUUUGUAUCCUCGUAGGGCUACAACUAAUGACUAUUUGAAUAGUUGACUAGUUGCGACUAUGUAAACGAUUAGUCAACUAAUCGGAUAAUAAUGGAUUUUUUUCUUAAAUUUAACAUAAGGUUGCUUUAACCUUGCAUGUUGGCAUUAAUUUUUUUGCCUUAUCUCGGCUAAAGUGCUCCCAAACUUUGGAGGUUUUUAAGCGUGUACUCUACCUGAAUACCCUACCGCUCGGUGGAGACACUAUUGCGCAUUUGUGACCCUGGGCAGAGAUCGUAAUGAAGUGAGAUGCUUCACUCCACUGGAAAAAACAAGUCUGGCAACAAUAGCCAACAAUGGAAUUCAUUGUCGACUUCUUGCAUUAUCGAUUUUUGUCGACAGCUUCGAUUAAUUGUUGCAGCCCUAUAUCCUAGCGAUUGUUUCAUGGAGAACAUCACAUGGAACUUCAGCCGUUGCCUCAUGAGAGUCAAAGCAGGUAGAUCCACACUGGAGAGGCCAGACUUCGUUGAGCUCAGGUUCCAUAAUAUUGUCUUGUUUGGAUUUAUAUCUUAUCAUAAUGCAUUCCAUUAUGUCGUAUCAUAAACUAUAAUUGCUAAUUAACCUUUUAUAGGCUUUUAUUUUGUAACGCACUAUAUAGUAUUCAAACUCCCAAAUUGUGUUAUUGCAUGUUGUGGUAUCAUGUCAUAUCAUUUGUUAUUGCAUGUUGUGGUAUCAUGUCAUAUCAUUUAGUUAUUUUCCCUGUAUGUGUAAACCGCCUGUGAAAAAAAUAUAAUCUAGACUUCCUCGUUUGCCCCAACAUAAUAAUCCUAUCAAUCAAAGUCUGAGAUUGAUGGAUCGGCCUUGAGAAACGGUUACGGAAACGGUUUCUUUCUUCUGUCUGGGAGAAGGAAAUAUGUUGUGUGGAUACGAAGAAUCCGUUCUCGUGUUGCCGUACAAUGAACAGAGAUAUCCACAGAUACAGCUUUUAUUUAGAGGGAAGGUCAAAUGCUAAGAAUAGGCACACCAACGCUGCUUCCCUUGUCUGUCCUGCCUCAUCCUGUGCCUUUAACCAAUGACCAUGAGAGCAAACCACACACACACGCACACACACUCACACACACACGCAGAGGCUGGAGGUCAAAACAAAGUAGUAACGCCAGAGGAAAAGAUUAGAAUGACAAAGGAGAAUGGCACUGAGUCGGCAGAGCUGUGGGGAGGAGGACAGCAGAGAUGGAGAUGCUGAAUAAUAGCUCUCUUGUGGGUAAAAUAUAACCUCUGCUGAAACAGGGGAAAGCAGUAGGAGAGGAGGAAGGAGGAGGAGGAGGAGGAGGAGGAGGUAACCACAACAUUUACAAGUCAGAAAAAAACACAUUUAUCUUUAAUCAACAUUUGAUUUCCUCUUGGAGACACGCCACUUUUUAAACGCCGCUCCUUAAUCACAUUUCCCGUCAACGUUAUUCUAUAUUCAUGCAAUCAUAAUACUCACUGUCGCUGUUUUAUGUAAACAUUUUAAGAUAAAUAAUAAUUAGGAGCCGUGCUAACAUAGAUGAAUACCCGGCAGCCUGCCUCUUCAUAAGCGAGCUCCUACAUUCAUGCCAGCAAUUAUUUUGUCAGAGCGAGAGUCACGCAUUUAUUUAAGAGGGAUUCAUCAUUUUGGAUUGAAUAUGCAGGUUUAACACUCCAGGCUGAGAGGAUCCAGCACCUUUCAUCAUCAUAAGCCCCAUAUUGCACCUUGUACUUAGGGAACACAAAUGAAUUGGUGCCCACACAAAAAGCGGGACUAUUUUUACGACUAGCUGGGGAUCUUGUAACAUUUACAGCGAGGCAAAAGUAAACGCGAGGGCCCCGCGUGCAUUGAAGCCCCUUUUUUAUAUUCAAUUAAUGGACAACCUCCACCCAUUGCUGACGACAGGUUAAAAGAAGGUCAGGCCUCUAUUUUAUGCAUGUCCAAUAUGAGUAAUAAGGUUAUUAAUCCUCUCACGUGACCCACCCCGAGUAAUGAGUGUUCGGUUGCUCUGCUUUCAAAUGAGAGGAGGAGUGUUGUGCUGUGAACCGCAAGUCCGCCGCUGCCGGCAGAGAGGAGAAGUCAAAGAGAGAGAGAGAAAGAGAGAAAGAGAGAGAGAGAGCGAAGAUAAGACGAGGAGGACAGAAUCCUGCAGUUGGAGAGAUGAAGCCAGAGACCGACAGGGAGUGGUCGGAGAGUAGAGCUUUGUUUAUUAUUCAUAAGUUAAAAGUGAUAUAUAUUUAUCAUAUAUGUGAAAGACUGCCGUUUUGCUGACAUGGUUAGACACCCCCUUGAGAGAUGAAUGUUGCCGACUUGUUUGUAGACGAGCCCUGAUGAGUCGAUCACAGAGUGCUGCGGAGUUCUGCAGCUCAAGGAAGAACAUUUAUGAUUGUUAGUUCAUGGAAAUGAUCUUUUGCACUCGGUGAUCGACUCGUCAGGGAUCCCCACAAACAAGCAGCUGCUGGAAGAGAGUGGAUGAGUUGUGUUUAGUCUCUUUGCUAAAGAAAUGAAUCAAAGCUAAAUAGAUGUUUGGUGUCUAGUACUAUGUCUGUGACCCUAUAUGUCCUGUUGAUGAAGUUAGGUGCUGUUCUGAGCAUUAUUCAUCUCUGGAGGGGGUGUCUAACUCUGUGUUAUGGUGUGUUUGACCUUAACCUAAAUGUGGGAAUAUCCCUUUAAGUAGCAUCCCGGUCAUUACCUUGCCCUGUUUGCUGCUGCCCAUUUACUAUCAUUAUGCACAAUAUCACAUGCUGGUCUAUUCUGAUUGGUUGCAGGUCUCUGCAUUUGCUUCCUGAAAGUUUCUAACACUUAAAAUGAAUUUAACAUUUUUAGACUCGUUCACUCGGGUCGUUGGGUCUGGUGAUGGCAGAGUAGUGAAGUAGUAAGAGGUUCUGGAAAGAUGAUUCAAAGAUGGAGAUUCUUGCAUUAAUUACUCGGGACAGUAAGGCACAGUUUGGGGUGUUACUUUUUACACAGCUCUGUGGGAAUAACCCAAAAGUUAUAACUUUACAGACAAGGACUGGGGCUGGUCUCCUUGUUAUAGCUCAGUGUUUACUACUUUUAAGUUACCCAGUGUUAUAAUGUUACUCACAGAUAGAACAGGCCCAGGUUUCAGUAACAGCUGAGACCCAAAUCCAGCUUGUACUGACCUCUGUUCUCAAAGGUGUCAUCAGUGACGUGGCGAACACAAGCAGCUUCAUUACAGCUGUUGUUGUCCCAAACUAAUUAACGCCCCCACCCUGCUGUCUUCUUCCACCUCUGUCUUUAAGAAUAGAACUUUCUUCCUAUAUUAUCUUCACAUAUUUAAAUAUUGAUCUCGUCUCCUUCUCAUAAACUGAUCAGAUUGCACGGUUUAUUUUUGGUUUAAUGUAAAUGUUGAAACUUUCUUUGAAGCACUUUGAGUCCCUGUUGGCUUCAAGGUUGUGCCGAAGGACGACGGAGUGGAAAUUUUUCCGUCAACUGUUGUUCACAAGGUCGGGAAUAAACUGUCAAACUUCAUCAUGCUUAUGAUUCGCUUUUUGGAGAAUUCCCAAUACUGGCAAUGUUAGGGCUCUACCGCAAGGUUAAAGUGUGACUUGAUAGGAUGUUGUCAUGGUAACAGGUGGUUGAAAUGACUCGGAAGUGUCUGGGGGUCUUCUUUGGGUAUCAUCAACAUUGCAUUUAUUAACCAUUUGCAUUAUAUUCAGUAUAUAACUUAGCAUGGAGAGUUCAUUAGCACUACUAGUUUAGUCUGAGACCAAAGACAGAAGGGGGGUGCAGCUCGCCCUUUAACGCCUGAAACCACAAAUUAUGACCAGAAAAUUCAAAACUUUUUGGAUCCAAAAUGUUUAUUUCACCUCCUACUAAAAAAAAAAAAUUAAAUCAAAAAAUCAAAAAAUCAAACUGUACUUACCCACCAAACAUCGGGCGUCGAAGAGACGUGCAGAUUAUGUCAGUAUUGGGUCGGUCCAUCAGAGACCACAUCUAGAUGUCACUGCGAUGUGCAAAAUAGGUUAGAAAUUUCAACAUCUAUGUUGUGUUUAGAACUUGGACGUCAUCUGAAGACCAAAUCUAGAUGUCGGUGUGACGUGCAGAAAGGAUCUAAGAUUUAGACGUCAUUAUUGGACCUCUGUUAGACGUUGAAAUGACGUCCACAUUUGUACCUCAUUGUUUAAAAAAUAUGUUAAAUAGAUGUCAUUUUGACGUCGCAAUGCACAGUGGGUAAAAUUUGACAAAUACAUAUAUUGAUCUGGUUUGAUACAUUAGAUGUUUUUGGAAACUGAUAAACCACAAGAGGACUUUUUUUUAUCAUUUAUUGGACUGUAUUCAGUUGUUUUAUUUAGUAAUUUAUUGAUCAUAUUGAUUUGAUAAAAGUAUCAUAAAAGUAUGUAUCAAUGGUUAAGGUUUUCAGAUCAUGAGCAGUUGUAUAGUCAAAGUCCAACUAAAAUCCUUAUUAUCACCAAAUUUAAGUGAAUUAUCUAUUAAUGAGGAAGAAUUGAAUGUGAAAAGUGAUAUUUCUUGACUUUAACUGUGACCCUUGAGUAUUUUUCUCCCCUCUUCUGUCCCCCUGUGAGAACUUGGUCACCUGGGAUCAUGCUGUUCCUGCACCACACCUCCUAAAUCCUCCCCCUCCGGUGUUGACAUAUCUGUCAGAGCCAAAGCAACAUGAUUACCCGAUGACCUAACACAUGACCUCCCAUAAUUGCCUGUAUUAGCCACCCGGGCAAAGGCUCUUGACACGGCCAUGUGGACAUCAUUGAGGGGGGGUGGGUUCACUACAAGCUCUGACCAGUGGGCGAAUUAAUAAUAUUUUAAUCAAGCGUCAAAAGUGUGACAUUAUGCAUGCACAGUGGGAGCCCAUCCCCUAUCAUGGCUGAGCAGCAUGUCAGCUCCUCCCUCAGAGGAGCUCCGCGGUGGGAACGGGAGCGGCUGCCUGUCAGGAUACAACAACAAGGUCAACUGCCGUUUAGCGGCACGGCGUUCCUCGAAUGCCAGUAAAGCAGAUCCCUCUGCCCGGGCCGCUGACCUUGUCUUGUUUAAUGAAAUGUAGUGACCAUGCGUAACUUUGCAGCCUGUUAAACAGCCUGUGGGCUCGCCUGCAUGGGAGCAAUACUGACUGUGAUUCCUGCCCACCGGUCUGUGAUACUGAACUGUAUCAUGGCGAGACCUGUGCAUGAGUAAUGUCCCUGAAUUACAGCGCCGGCUGAUUGGCAAGUUUUGAAAUGUGGUGUUGAUAAUAGAUGUUGAAAUAUUACCUAAAUGUGAGCGAUGCUUGCGGCGGCGAGAAGGGGCAAUUUCCAUUCUUCUGCAGCGCUAACCGACUUAAUCAGAUAUGCUGACGGUGUUAAAGGCCACCAAAACAUUGCUGCUUGGCUUGCAUAAUAACACAGAUAAGGGCCUGAUAAUAACAUAAUAACACACUGAAAUCUCCCGUCCCGCUGCCCUCUUACUCGUCUUACUCACUCACGUCGCAUCGACUCUUUUAACACCUCGCCGCACUUAAAACUGAACCGCCGCUGAAAACGAGUCGACUUUGGCUCUGAAGAGAAGGAGAGAAAAUGAGAGUGAUGACAGUCAGGUGAUUCAGGAGCCAUUUUAGACAAAAGAGCAAAUUAAUGCGCUGCUAUAGAGUGACUUUGAGUCUGUUCACUUCUUAAACCUGUGAUUUACAUCCAUUUUUAGUUUCAUCCUUUUUCUUAUUUUACUGUAAAAGCCAGAAUCACUCUGUGGUUUUAUAUUAAGCAGCUUUUAAAUGAGGUUUUUCCACGAUUUAUAAAUGGUUCUCACAGGAAUGGUCACAUAUUUUUUUAUUGUUUAAGGAGCUCACCCUGUUGAACCACAACUUGACCUUUUACGAGCGUAAAAUAUGUUGAAUUACGACCGAGGAGGUGUCUGUGCAGAUUUUUUUUUUUUACAUUUCUCACUCAGAUUUAAUCUUAAUCUGUCUUUUCAAACCUCCCAAUACUGACAUUUUACCUCAGCAGCCAGUACGAGGUGCCUUGUCCCUGGAGUUUGUCUACCUUCUGAAGGACGCUGUAAAGCUCCUAGAACUCUCUGGAAAUUCAGACGUCCUCGCUCGCUUACCUGCAGGUCCUGUCAGUAUGAUUACCUAAGGAUGACAUAGAAUAGAUCCCCCUCUAUAGAAGCUGCCGUGUUUCUACAGGAGCACAGAAAGGACAAAGUAGUAUUUUUUUAGUGGCAUUGUCAAAUACACUAAUUGAGGUUGUUGUGUGCAAAAGAGAGUCUGUUUUAUCAUGCAUUAUGGAAGCUUUUUGUCCUUAAAGGCCACCGUUGUGAGGGGUAAGCAGGGGAGCCUAGAUAUCCAAACAAAGUCCCAUUUAGCAACAUUUUGCAGCACAAAAUUGAAAGUAAUGGGACAUAAAAAUCUAAAGGAUGUUAACUUAAGCGUAUAAAAACGUACUUUUCUUGACUUAAAAUGGGCUUUUUAUGUCUUCAUAAGAUAUAGAUCCCCUUUUAUAUGAGUUGUUAUGUUUCUACAGGGGCACAGAAGGGACAAACUAGUAACAAAUCCAUUGUGUGGCAUUGCCAAAUACACUAAUUGAGGUUGUAUUGUGCAAAAGAGAGACGCUUGAGGCCCAAACUUAUCAUGCAUCUUGGGAGAUUUUUGUCCUUAAAGGCCACCAUUGUGAGGGGUGAGCAGGGGAGCCUAGAUAUUGGAACCAUAGACUGUUUAUACUAUGGACAACUUGGUUCCGCCUCCCGUCUGUAUACAGAUAUAAAGCCGAAAAGCUCUCGGUAAUUACUCAUUUUUUCUACACUUCCUGUGCAGUAGCAUUGUGCGCAUACGGUGGGAGAUUUGCUGAGAGUUGCUGUGAUGACGCUCGGCUCAAACUAUGCAAUGUUCAUACGCCAAUAGGCUGCAUCAAGUGUCAAUCAUAUAAAACAUGAACCCCAAAUAACUUUUAAAAACUGAGCUGCACAGAAAAAAGAGGACUUGAGCACAAACCAGUCUGACAGUAACUACAUGUCAACAUCGUAACCAGGGGGGAGAAACAUUUGUAUUCUGUGUAAUAAAUCCACAUAGGGCUCCAUAGGGAUUGCUGGAGGAGGCGGAUUUAUGACCUAUACUGCAGCCUGUCACCAGAGGGUGCUGUUCUCAGAGUGGCUUCAGGUCUAUGAUUGGAGCAUAGUCCAGUUUUUACACACGGUGCCUUUAACUCAUCUGGGUAAUAAUGAUCCUCGAUAAUAUCUGAUUAAUAAAUAUGAUUUGCUUCUUCUUACAGCAUGAUGCACUUUCAGAUUGUAUCAGUGUCAAAAUACUGUUUUACAGCAGUCUUCAUUUUCACGGUAUUACCACAUAAAUUAUAUUCCCGCUUGACCUUUGCUCAGUAAAAUGAGAUAAAUUUGCUUCUUUUUUCGAACCUCUCCGCUCCAUCUUUGCAUAAAACUUUGAAACAACUUAACUGAUCUUCUCAAGUUUGCUCCAUUUUAGUGUUUUUGAUCAUUAGAUGUGCGCUAUCUGAAUUUCUUAAUGGUGUUAGAGCUCAAAUGCACCCUGCGACGCAUCAAAACAAGCUGCCUUAAAUUCUUCUUCGAGAGAGACGGAGUCUGCGCUCACAGGGGGGCUAAUAUUCCCCGGGGUGAUCAGGUGUUUUGUAACAACACUGAGAGUUGAUAGAAAAUAAUCCCAUGAGGAGCUGCCAUGCUUGUAAUUUGUAAAUCCAGCAUGUUUGGUGUCGAGGACAGAUGUCUGCUGAUUAUUUUAAUCCCAUGCAAAUCAAGUCCUCCAUCAUCUGCUCCGUCUUUUUUGUUGUCCUUUUUCUUCUCGGUGCAUCUUAAUGCAUCUCAGCUGUAGGCAGGGGAGGGCUCUGUAUGAUAUUCUGUUUAAUACCGGCUUUUACUCUGUUGAGUCAGGAUGAGGCAAUAGUCCUGAGGCGAUUUCAUAACAUUUUUCUCUAUAGAUGUUUGUGUCAAAGAAAACUAGAAAACACUCUCUUAUAGCUGGACGAUAAUGCUGCAUUAUUGUACAUGAAUGUGAUAAACACGACACACAAGAAGCUGCUGAGUGACUGGUUGUAGAGACGCAGCGGUGCGAUGGUUUUACCACCCUCUAAUUGCAUGUUUUUUGAAAUUGCUAACCUCCACAUGAUGAAAGGUAGACAGCAGUCUUUGAUGCUCUCUUAUCUUUUUUUUUUUUAAAGCUGGUUUUUCUACUUGAAGUUGGAGGUUGGAGGGAAAAGUCGCAGACAUCACUCAGCGUUUCAGAUUCUUCUCUGAAAUGCCCCAACCUGCCUUUAUCUGAUGCUAAUGAGCCGCGCUAAUGAAAUAUGAUAAAAUCACCUCCCACUGAAUACCAGGCCGCUUAGCCGUUACCUAGCUUAAAUGUCAACAGUAAACAAAGCGCAAACAGACCUUUAUUUGCUGUUUCACUGAUAAGGGGACGCUCAAUCUGCCUUUGACACGUGACGUCCAAACUUAUGCGUCUUUGUGUAGGUUUCUUUUUUAAUCGCGUGUCGGUAUCAGUGCCGUUCCCGGUCAGAAAGAUGUCCCUCUGUUGGAAAUAAGCAGGGCAUGGUGUUCCCUGCCACUUUCACUCAGCCUCGUCUCCUCCUCCCCGCAAUGAUUUCAGACACCUGAGAGAGACAUUCACAAUUCAAGCAUCCUCCGGCAAAACCUUGAGGCUCGCUCUGAUGUAGCCUUUGUUGACAAUGAUGGAUGCAGCAGUCAAGGAGACUGACAUGCUGGGCUAAAUUACAUUACAUUCAAACUAUUUUUUAGUCCUUUUCAAGGCUAAUGUUGCAAUGAGAUGAGGCACAUGUCGUGGGAAUAGUCGCAUCUCGGAGACGGGAGGCGACAGCAGCUCCAGGAGAGGCACGCCGCAGUUUGUCAUUCAGCUCCGGGAAACUGAUUUAUUUGAUAAUUGACUGUUAAUAUUGUUGCUCCAGUUUCUGAUGGAGUUGAGGCCUGGAGCUGCUGAUAGCUGACAUUUUGUAUUCAAUCCCUCUGUGUCGUUGCCAAGAUGACAGAAAAUAUCCACUGACUCGCUCUGAUUUCCAGCUUUGCCUCCAAAGGUCAGACUUGUUCCGUUGUACAGUACAUGUAAUGCAUCUCUAUAUUGGAACAAUCCAGGGGUCAUAUUCAUCGGGUUCAUUUGGUGCAGUCACCAUCUUCUUUAAGCCAAGAAAAACAGCAUGAUUUAGUGAUGAUUUAAAAGGGUGGAUUAUAGCGAAGGCCAAAAGAGGCCGAAGCCCAGGGGUGUCUGACCUGAAGGUGAAACCUCAGGGGGAAAAAAACACCCCAGGAUAGACGGCGAGGAUGUUAAUGACGCAAAUAUGUCGAUUUACUAAAAUAAGUGAACUGCAGACUUGGUGGAAAUGGAUCGUAAAAUCCAUAAGUAUGUUGACAUCAGUGUAAAACAACAAUUAGUCUGUUUUCGUCAACUUAGAUUGAACCGUUAAAGCGAGGUCCUGCAUCGCCAUGUUAGUUCAGAAUAGACAAACCAAUAACAUGUUUAUUUUGUAUUUAAUGAGUCGCAGAGUGAGAAGUACUGCCUGAAAGAGAAAGAGGACGAGGUUGUGGGUGAAAGAAUUCCUACUGCCCUGCAAAAACUCGUCAUGGUAAAUGUUUUUGCAGAUUUCAAAGUCUAUUUUUCUCCUGACAAGUCCAGAAAAAAGCCAAUGCAUAAGAAAAAUGAUGCAUUCUGUUUUCUCAUAUCAUGGAUUAUCAUACUUAUCCUGCACCACAGGAGCUGUUUGUCCUUCACCAUAAACAGGGGUUACCAAGGGAUCAUAUCGAUCGAGAAGCUUAACGCCUCAUACUGCUGGAUGUUCCCAUUUUUUAAAGUUUUAUCCUAUUUUUCUUUUGAAGCAAUAUUAAAAAAUGUCCUUGAGGUUGUUAAAAUGUCCAACCCAAGAUAAUGUUUUGCCACAGUGUCAACAGGUAGAGUGAAACUUGGCUGUUUGGGGAAUUUUGUCCAAUCAUAAUCAAGUAUCAGGAUUGUGAACAGGCAGAGGGGAAACAUGUCAGACCCUCCAGCAACUUGUUAUCCUUGGAGAAUCUUGGUUGUCCCAGGGUGACUAUAUGUCCUCUUUUACCCAGACAUGUCCUCUUUUUUCGGGGCUUUUCGGCCUUGUCCAGGAGAGUUUAUAAAGUCCCCCAAAUGUCUGGGGUUUUGUAUGGAAGUUUUGAGAUUGUGUACCGUGGAUUAACUGAGUAAGAAACGUGUAAAAAACCCUCGACCUGACCCGAAAAACCGUCAAAAUUUACUAUGCGACUCUGCCCCACGUAGUGUCCUCUUCAGAGGGAUUCAGAGUUUGGUCACUCUAGUUGUCCUUUUGUGUCAUCGACCAAAACAAUCGACAAACACAUUAGCAAGAGGCUAUAAGCUUUGCAUCUUUCGUAUGUUUCAACAGCUGCGUGUUUUUUUAUUUAGGUUUUAUGCCUGCCUGCCUUCUUGAAUGCAUUUAUGCUGUGUGGUCAGAUUGAUAACCAAUUCCCGACAUGUCAGCCAAUAAUAAGAAAUGUUUGAUAAAGUGAGUUUCUGUCGGACCAGUUUGGUUCUUGGUAUUUCAAAAGUCUAGUUUCAGUCUAACUGAUCUAGUUUUUGAACAUCAUGUAAAUGUGCGGUGGAUUUGAACCCCGACAGAGUGGGCAGAACCAGCUGGAGCUCCACCUUUCUUUUCUCACCGUUGUCGUCCUCCCUUAAAGCUUAUUUGGGUCAUACCAUCUGCAGAUUCAUGAAUUCCACCGGCUUUGGUCUUAUACCGGUUCCUCCUUGAACUGGUUCCUCGGCCCACUCUAAGACAGCGGGGCAGAUUGACGCCACUCCUUUGAAAUCUCAGUCACUGAGCGUCAAGACACCAGGAAUAUAAAUCCACGGUUCGCCAUCUGUCACCACGUUGACUAAUAUCUGGGUCCUGAAUCUGGCCUUGAUUUUUACCCAAACUGAAGGGAGGAAGAACAUAGAGAGAUCAGAGCUGGCUGAUGUUAUCCCUCUGCUACAAGCGUGGCCAAUCUCAACAUAUCUGAUGGGUUGCUGCCUGAACUUUUAUUUAGAUGCUUCAAGUCAAAGAAAACAGAGUUCAACUAACCAGGAAGGAGGAGAUUCAAGUCAAGUCUUUUUACGUAAAGACAAGUCGAAUUAAUGCUCGAGUAGAGAGUGAUUCAAAGUCCAGAUUCCCUCUAAUACAUGAUGUUUGUUUCACUCGAAUCAAACAAAUGUAUUCAUAUGAAAUCAAUAAGCUCCAGGCAUAGGCUUGUUUUCCAGGAGAGUGUGUUCCUGAGAGACCGGAGGAUAUUAUUAGAUUCCCCAUUCCUAUAUUUGGCGAUGUAUAUGCAUUAAUGAUUCAAAUGAAUGUGUUCUGACUGGGGUGCUUCAUGACUAAUGCCAUUAAAGCGUAUUAAUUACCAUGAGAGACAUGGAGAACACUUUGCAGAUGGGCGCUCUUUCUGUUAAAUGCUAAAUGGAUGGUUUUCAGUUGUUCCACCAGCCACUGACCAUAUGGACGUUUUCAUGAAUAUCUGAAUGUUAAUAUUAAUUGCUGUAAUUUUACUCGUCUGACAUUGAAGCCUCAUCUUCAGGCUUUUAUCGAGAGAGAGUAUUUUCCAUCUUUGCUAUCCGGUUAAACUUCCACUCUUGUCUGACGUAACAUCGUGCCAGAACAAUAAUCCACGUGGCGGUUUCCUCCAAACUUGGCUGUGGUGGUGGCGCCUUUUUCCUUCAUCUUCCAAGUUGUGUAGAUAGAGGCUUCUGCAAAAUGCCGUCGGGAGGAUCUUGACAAACACAAAUAAUAUUCACUACCCUCUGUUGCAGACUGUCCCUUCCAAUCUGAAAACGGGUCCAUUCAAAAAAAAUUUUAGGGAUUAUUUGGAAAGAUGCAAGCGCCACAUGACUAAAAAAAUGAUUGAUUUCAUAUUCAUCUAAAUUAGGUACAUCAAAAACAGUGGGAUCAUCUUCUAUCCAAGGUCAACAUACUUGGAUGUCAGGGUUUGUUUACCAACAAACCUUUUGAGACAUCGUUCACAACUGCAGCAACAGGGGGAUAAAAGUUGGAGAGACACAGUGAUCAUCUGCAAAAGUCACAAACAGCUAAUUGGUGGAAAGAGUCGUUAGUUAUUCAAAAGUAAGGGGUUAUGACUGUCACAGAGGAUGAUCGAUAUCUGAGGGUGACAGAGACCUGCAAACAGUCAGAAAAUCUUACCGUAGUCCUUAUAACGGCUGCAGCAUCAACAGGAGAGUGAGUACAAGUCUGUCUUUGGAAACCAGAUCAAAUGUCUUGGAUUUCUUCGAUAUGUAGCAAUUUGAAUUUAUAAGAAAUGUCACCGUCAUUCUCUUCUGCUUAUCCGGGUCCGGGUUGUGGGGGCAGAAGCUUCAGGAGGGAAGCCCAAACGGCCCUCACCCCAGCCACUUCCACCAGCUCCUCCAGUGCCCCCAGGCCAGGGGAGAGAUAUAAUCCCUCCACCUGGUCCUGGGCCGGCCAUCAGGUCUCCUCCCGGUGGGACAUGUCUGGAACACCUCUAACGGGAGACGUCCAGAAGGCAUCCUAACCAGAUGCCCGAGCCACCUCAGCUGACUCCUCUCGACGUGUAGGAGCAGCGGACACCUUGCAAAGGAAACCCAUUUUGGCCGCUUGUAUCUGCGAUCUUGUUCUUUCAGUCAUUACUUAAAGUUCAUGACUAUAGAAAUGUCCGAAAUAUAUUAUUUGGUGCCCCGUGUGAGGCAUUUAUGAUUAUUUAGAUGGUCAGUGGUGGAGUCAGUUUGAAAGGUAAUAAAAACUCUGUCUCUGUUCUCCAAAUUGACCAAUCGUGAAAGGCCAGAGGUUUAGGUCAAUCUCCGGUCGGUAAACAAGUCUGUAAAGAUUUAUAUGAUCCUGUGUCCUGGGACCAGAUCAGGGAUCUUUCCUGUGAGGAAUGUGUGAGUUUCACACAUAGGGUUGUCUUGAUGCUACAGAUAACUGAACUUUUUUUUGGUCAUCUGAUCCAAAACACAGCGUCUGAUUGGACUAAGAUGGCAGCCUCCAUUUAGGAUAGUCAGCGAACAACAGAAAUGACACUCUCACUAAAGUUUAACAGCACGGUCUCACGAAGCGAGUGGAUUUUAAUGUCAGUUUCUAUUUCGACUGUUCUUUUCGAGCUCAUAAAUGACAGUGUGAGGGGAGUUCUCUGCUAAACUGUGAAUAUUUGAUGAUCCCAUUUCUUUCAGGUGUAUUUUAGACAGAAAACAACAUUAUACUCAGACUUUUGGUUCAUUUAUUUUGUCAGACCUGAGAGUGAAAUCUGUUGAAAAAGAAGACCUUGAAGAAGUUUAGACUGAAGUUGCACAAAAAUGCAUUAGCAAUCAUUUUUCUUAAGUUUCAGUUUAAUAAUUUCCAAUUUUCAGAGCGUCUCUGAGCUCAAUAACACAUCUCAAUGAAAUCAUUUAAAACUAAAUAAUAAAAAUGAAUUUUCUCUUCUAAUCAAACUCAAUACUGACAAGAGAACAUUCGCUCAGAAGGGCAACAACAGCAUGAGAAAUUACUUUUAUUUUAUUGAACGUUUGUUGCUCAACUUUUUAAAAUACUUUCUGCUCAUUUUAUUUAACAUAUUAAAUAAAUUUAGAACAAAAUGAAGAGGGUUUAAUUUAUCCUGGUUGACUGAAUAAGUUGAUAUAUUCAAGAUGAACUAUCCUUACAGCCUGCAGACCAAACUUUACUUUCACACUGACGUCUUUAUCGUGCUGCUUUAUUGGAUUACUCUAAUUUUAUUCAACCAUCCUUGUGUCAUUGAUUUCAGUUCCUAUAGUUGUUUGACUUUAAACUGCAGCCCUAUAAUUUAAUUUACUCUCAUCUCGCGGCCCGGUUUGCUCACAGUAAGUGUGUCUCAUAGAAUCUUCUACCUGUAAGGAGCAUGAGGCGCAUAGUGGUGGUUCUGCACCCUAAAUGCACUUGAUGGAUGGUGAUUGAGUAAGAAAGUGUUUAAAAAGUCCUACAUAUGUUUACUUUUUCUGCCAGCUGUCUGUUUCAUAAACAUGAUGAAAUGCAAAUUGAGGAAGUCACAAAUAAUCAACUGCAGCGGGGAGACAUCAGAGAGUUAUAUAAGGAAGGUGCUCUUGCCUCCAUAUGUUUCAGGAGCUUAAAAUGAGAGCAGAAUUUGUGUCCAGCUGCUUGCUUUGGUUACUUCCAAGAUGCAUGAUGAGAUCGCACUUACAGAGAGAGAGAGAGAGAGAGAGAGAGAGAGUGGGGGUCUUUAUUUCACUGCUGCGGAUACACAUUAGAAAGCAGAGGAAAGCCGGGCGCUGACAGUUUUAUGGCAUCAUGUGAAGGUUCCCUGCAGACCGAGGCAAAGGAAAGUUUAUUCUCCCUUUGAAAUCAACGUCCUUCUAAAACUGAGAUUUUCAGCCUGUGUACCGUGGCACACUAGGGUGCCGUGAGAGAUCGUCAGGUGUGCCGUGGGAAAUUCUCCAAUUUGCAAAUACAAUGUCAUUGUCGAGCGUCUGUGUGGUAAUAUAGUGAGCGUUGGAGCAGUACUCUUCUAUGUCAAUGGGGGGCAGCAGACGGCUAAUUGCCUGGAAAAAAACUAAAAACAGAGAGAGGCGGGAAGUUGUUGAGGAAGAGCUUAGUGUGUUUCUUUCUUCCAUUCCUGCCAGGAUAUCAGCUCUGUGUUCAUCUAAACGGCCAGGACUCACACUGAGUGAGUAUGAAUACAUUUAGAAACUAUAUUUUAGGGAUGCACCGAAAAGGCCCAAAAGUGCAUUUUCGUUUUUCGGUCGAAACACUUUUCUCGCCGAAACAAAUGUUGUGAUGAUGCAGGCAAAAACCGUGACCAUUACGAGCUUGUCUGGAUAAGAGCCAAGAUGUCUGUGAUGUGGACGUACUUCUAUGUAUCUGAGAACUACGAAUAGCGAUUAGCAUAGCGUGUAAUCCUAAAGUUUCAAAGAGGGGUGCAUCUGCAGAGUUUCUUUGCAUCGCGUUUAAUUUAUCAUCUGAUAUCCAAACAUCCCGAUCACCGUUCUGAAUAUGAGAUGAACGCGGCACGAAACAGGAAAAACAUUCUGACGCUACUUCUUCUUCUAGCCGCGUCUCUACCGUUUGAGUUGUUUUUGUCACUGACUCACUGGCGCCAUCUAAAGAUGUAAACCACUCAGACAUGCAGCAACAUGCUGACUCAAAAACUCUAAAAUCACACUGCAAUUGCAUAAAUUAAUAUCAAUUUAAUAUUUAACAUAAAUCAAUAUUGAUUUAUACAAUUACAACGCUUUGAGUUUAGUGAGAUUGGUAGACAGUUAUAACCAUAAAUGUAACGGUACUAAUAAUUGGCGUAAUCAUUUCUUUCAGGUUUCGGCCGUGGUUUCCUCAUUUUCAGUUUUAGCCAAGAAUUUUCAUUUCAGUGCAUCCCUGCAUUCUAUAACAUAUACUGUGUUAGGCUACAGAGUUUCAUUUUGGUUGGUGGUGUGCCCCAGGAUUUUGUAAAAAAUGUGCCGUUUAAAAAAAGGUUGAAAAACUUUGCUCUAAAACGUACGUGAUGUUUGUCUGGAAACAACUGAGACGCUUCUGAGCUCAAACCAGAGAGAAAGAAAACAUGUUACCCAGCUGUUUGUCAUACAUGAUAAAAACCCACACUGGUAUGGUAAUGUGUCAUAUGUGAUAAUGACUUUGCUGCAUGUGUGAGUGUGUGCGUUUGUCUGCGAAGAUGCACAAGCAUUUAGAGCGUCUUGCACACUCUCAUUUGCACACAGCUGGGGUGUUGUGGAGUAUUAUGUUGCAUGUGAUGUGGCUAUUUACGCAAACAAAUCCACACAUAUUACCCCUGCAAGGAGCAGAGCUUUUAAUUAUUAAAGAGGGAACAUUGAUUUCAUGAAUUGGCAAACAAAGGCGAGGCGUUAAAAGUAGCAGCGGUGUUAGGUUCCUGUGCUUGUCGAGGGCAGGAACUGACUGUAUAAAUAGUCAUAACACUACACCUGCGAGGUGUAGCUUUCCAGUAAGCUUUGUUAUCAGUUGGAGAGGUAUUAAAGGUAAUUAAAUGCCUCUCAAAAGCUCCCAAUGUUGCGCUGUUGAAAUGUAAACUCCUUUUUCUGGGCUUAUUUUGGGAGAAAUCGAUGCAGCAGUUCUUGUUUCUUGAGAUACUGUGAGAUUGCUCGCUAUCAGAAAGCUAUCAGAGCAAUUUUAGAUCCAGGAGUAAAAUUGAGCUCUUGGAGCCGUGUGCCUGUGUCAGACCUGAUUUAAAGUAACCCUGCCCACACAUUCAGAGCUGCCUUUUCAUACAAACACAUCAGAAUCUGCUGUAGGAGUUAUAAUUCUUUAAUAAGCCCUGCUGUUUUUAAGCACUUAAUGCAUAGAUAAAGCCUCGAGUGUCUCUAUGGAGAGUCCUCCCACUGAACAAAUGGUGCAAAAAGUACCAGCAGAAAAAAAAGUGCAUGAAUAAAUACCCGCCAACAUGUCAGCGCACGCUUAAGCCCUAAAAACUCCAGCUCUUGUAGGUUUAGAGAGACAUUAGCGAGCAUACUAUGACAGGCUCAGGAAUUACAUGAGUGAUUACAGAGACUUUAUUUAGUCAAAUUUCACACAUGUGAGUAUUUCUGAAGUGUCGUCUCAAAGUAGCCUCGGGGACCAGAUGGUGAACACCAUUUUAAGUUUGUGGAGAAAAGGAAAAUAAGCUCGCAGCGGUCCUGGUUUGCUGUAAUUUAAUUUGGAGUGUCGCGCGAAUCGCCUUUAGUUCCGUAGUCGAGCUGGUUAAUGGAAACAGGGGGACGUUUUUGGACACUGUUUGUUUCAAAUCAAAUGUAUGAAAUUAAAAUAAAAGUGCCAUGGCGUUUGUUUUUGAGGAUGAAGCUUCUGCAAUUAUUGGUAAAUACGACAUCGAGCCGAGUGUGAAAUCCACAUCAGUGGGAUGGAUCAGGGAAAAUGAAAGUCAGAGUCUCCUUUUCUGCAGGUUUAAUGUUUCAGUGGGUGAGUCUGGACCGCAGUCAGGCCAGUUUGGCACGGGGACUCUUCUACUUCAGAGCCAUGAUGUUGUCAUACAUGUGGUUAUGAGGGUUUCCCCAGUAGAGGGCGCUCUCUUAUUAGCAGCAUAUGUUUCUCCAAACCUGUAGAUUGUUUAGCAUGAAUGGAGCCUUCCAGACGUGAAGGAUGUGAUGUGCAUGACUUCCAGUAGGGGUGUCCCGAUAAAACUUUUUUUACCUCCAAUACUAUACCGAUAUUGUCGCCUUCAGUAUCGUCCAAUACCGAUAUUAAUCCGAUUUUACCGACAUCACUCCUGCUCUUUGCUACUUUGUUGGUACCUUAGUACACACUGUUGUUGUGAUCACAUGGGCUCUACAUACUGGAUCCGGGUACUGCUGGAUAGAGGUGCCAGAGUGGGGUCUGGAAUGGACUGCUUGUAUCGGAGAGCUGAUAUCGAUGAGUUUAGGUACAGGAUAUUUGUUUUUUGUUGAUAUCGGACCAAUAUCACUAACGUAUCGGGACACCACUAAUCUCAUGUUGAUAUGAUUUUGACCUGGAUUUGUGAAUUGGCCGGACGAUCGAUCUGCACCGAUUUCCUCAAAUUCGGGGGUGAUCAGCUGAUCCUUACAUAUGAAACCAAUUUUUUCCACCAAUCUUAUUUACCUCAGCAAAGGUCUGAAAGUCAGCUGUUUUAGCUUUUGGCUUUGCCAGAAUAACAGGCCAGCCCACCAGGUCGUGUGCCAAGAUCAGUGAUCGGCUAGAAAAUUGUGAUCGGUGCACCCCAAGUCAUAAUCCAAGAUGGCAGCACAGUGCAUCAACAGUACAGAGUAACAGUGAAAGCUCUUGUAAUGUUUUACUUAUUAGCACUUCUGUUUUGUUUUAGUGAAAUUAACUAAGUGUUUUUUGUCGUACUGCCCAACGUCUAACUCUGAACACGGUGCUAUGGUGUUUGUUGGAGUAAAAUACUGUGUUAUGCAUUGUUUACGACAGGUAUAGCUAACAACUGCUAACAACACGUAAAAGUAGACGUCCAUCUUGGUUUUCCGACUUGUUUACUGGAACGCCGUCAACUCAGGUGUGAUGUCAUUCCCAGCUCCGACAUCCAACUUCCGAGGUAACUGGAUCGCAGCAUUAGUCCAGCGCCAGGAGGAGAUCAUGGUCAUCCAGUUAAUAAUUAUCAGUAUUUCCAUUAUUUUGUUCACAUGCGUCUGCAGAAAAUGUCACUUCACAAUGAUAAACUGAUCCUCCUCCCAUCUUUACGGCUGAGGGACCUGGCCUUAGUUGUGAGAUGUUCCUCGAGGUCUUUCCUUUUAGCAUCACACAAAUCUGACAGUGCACAUUUGCUCUUUAUUUGUUACCUUUAAACUUUUAUUUCAAAGUCGAUUCUCGAUGUUUUAGCUGGCAGAUAAUAUUCAGCUGUCUUUUUUUGUCAAGAUUUAGAGACUUUAGCUCAGUGGGACCUUUUUUGUUGCUACUAAAAGUCGUCAAUAACAGCUUUUCUACUUUGUCACAUAAACUCACGAACAGGCCCACAUUGGCGUACAACCAUAUGGGUUAUAUGACUUAUGGUGCCGCUAUUUUCGUCAAUGAGGAAAUUCUCAUCUUGGUUUUACAAUUCCCUAAAGUAAUGUUGUAAAAUGAGAAGUUUCUUAAGUGAUUAAACUCACACAGCAGUCUCCAGAUGUCACAUAUCCUACAGCCUCAUAACUGUUUCCUGCAGGGUCGUCUAUGACACUCGGGUGUAUAAACACCUAAUGAGUUAACGCAGGUGAGAGGAUGUUGGCGUUCGAGACAUAAGCUCAGAUAAAUCCAAGGACGACUUUGCAAUCAAGCGCCGAGAGGCAAUUUACCAUAUGUACGCUGCGUGAAUGAUAGCGCUUGAUCCCCAUAUGUAAUAUCACAGGUAUGUCAGAUUUCGACUGUUACGCACCUGAGAAAUUGGAUCCAUGGCAGUUGGAUUUGACAUUAACAGAUGGCGGCGUUAUUUAAUACUCGACUUCUUUUUUCUAUUUACAUGCAAAGACAAAGGAAAGUCACUUUGGUUGUCAAAUGGAGCCACUUUGAAUUUCAAAAGGAUGCAUGAGGACAUCUGCAAUUACUCUAAUGUCCGCGUUUAAGGAAUUGUGAAUUCUACCUGUCCAUAAACUCAACCGGAUUAAUCUUGUCUGACAUGCAGCAGGAGGUAUUUUUGCACCAUUUUCCACCUGCCCAUGUGAUGGCCUGCUGACUCAAAGCCUUCCCCCGCGACACCAUUCAUCAUCCGCGGGUGUGAAGGUUAAGGACCUGCUUACCUGACCACCACGUUUCAUUGAUUGCACUGUGACGCGGUGAGACCGUGUGAGAAUGCAUGUCACUCCCCGGCCUCACACCGCUGGUUGGGUCGGCGUUGUGUGAAAACAUUUACAGUCUGAGGGGCCAGCUGGAGCCUGGCUUUACAGUGCUGGCUUCAUUUCCUCCUUAUUUUGAAUAGAACAGGAGGACUUGUUGUCGCUUUGCAAAAGAGAGAGACAGAGAGAGCGAGAUUCUCAGACUGCGAGCAAAUGCAAUUUGUUUUGUGGAAUGUGAUAUUUAUGGAUGACUAUCCACAUUGUGUUUUACAAGUGACCAGAUUGGGUUUGCGUGUUCCAACAGUAUAUUUUGCUGUCGUUGUCACAAUAACAAUGCAAAUGUGCAGAUACAUUAAGAGUUUGACAGUCUGCUCUGCCUGCAAAAUAACAGCAACAACAGAGCGGUGCUAUAGCUGCUGUUUUGGAGGUUUUUAUGAUUCUAUUUCCUGGUUUUGAAAGUGAGGAAAAACUCAUAAUAAUCAUAUUGACUGUCCGUAAGUGUCCUUUCAUUUUGUUCUCCUGACAUCAAAUAAACUCAGCUGACAGUUUAACAGGUACGCAUUAAGGCUUUAAUGGGAAAGUGCUGUUAGACGUCAUCUCAGAUGCACCAAUCUGACGAGUCCACAAAAGUGUCUUAACCAAUAAAACACUGCCUAUCAGACACAAAACAUGGGAAAUGAACCAACUCCCUUCAGCUCAAUUAUGACGAACCAGGUCCAAAUCAUUCAAUAAAACCCCCCAAACCUCUCUCAUGCCAACCUCCAACAUCAAGUAAAUAAAAAUAAACAUACAGAAAUAGAAUAUAUUAUUUUUUAUGAAACAAGACCUUUAUCUGGGUUUGUCCGGUCCUGGUGGUUUAGAUUAAGUCUUAUUUGACUUUUUUUUCUACCUGAAGAGAAGAUAAAACAUCUACGUAGUUUUAAUUUUUGCUGUGCAGAUGUAGAAAUAUGUCACAAAUCCAUUCGACCUCCCAAAUCAGCUCGUAAUCAUUUCACAAAGAGGAAAACAGGCAUGAGUCGGUUUUCCUUCUUGUUUAGACUCUGCACCCCAAACUCCAGCUCACGCUUCUGGAGAAGAGUGCCUGCUAGCGCUUGACCUGCCUCUAACCUUCGCUGCUAGAGGCUGUAACUUCAGCGUUAGCCAAAACUCUGCUACGAUUCCCUGUUUGGUUCCACCCCGCUUAAGCCUCAUAACCCCCAACCCCCUUGGCAGAAAGCUCUUGUACAAAUUGGAGGUGCAAACACAGACUCUCUUCGGGACUGAGACCUUCCAGUGUGCGAAGAGUAAACUAACAGGCCUGCAGGCUGAGAGGCUCACUGAGCGAGUCUUCACAAACAGACCAGCAGAGGCUCCUUUUGCAAACUUAUCUCCAACCGUGUCUCCAUGAAAUAUGAUCCAAUUAAACCACAUGAGCAAAAGUCCUGACACCACAUGACCUCUGCGGAGACUUUGAGGUCAUCAAGUGUGAAUAAAGAUCACGAGAGCUCUGCUGAAGUUGGGCUCAGUGUUGUUUGAUCUCAGGUAGUGUUGGGCGGUAUGAGUAAAAUCUUAUAUCAUGAGUAAUUUCAUAUCACAGUAACAGUUUAUAUCACGGUGUGUUUUACCCACUUUAAAUUCAAUUAAUGUCUUGAAAAUAAUCAAACUGUCAAAUUUGUUCAUUUUACUUUUAUUUUUAACCUUGGAUUUGUUUCUAUCAUAUGGCGUACCUUUGGCGAAAGACUCUGCCGAGCUCUUUUAUAUGAGAGGAGCUGCUGCAGUUUUAGUUUUCGGCGCAGGUGCGUCGCGUCAUUUGGCGCUCAUAAUAGAGCUUGGCGUGUUUCAUCUUUAGGUGGUGGAGGAGGUUCCUGGUGUUUCCUCCUUCUGUAACGACAGCUACACCACACUCUUUGAAUAGUUUUGUUUUUUGAUCUUUGACAGAUUUUCUAAAUCUGAAGAAUCUCCAGAAAACUGAUGUUGCGACCCGCGCCUUUUUUCGGGCUGCCUCCAUUUGCUCGGUACCGCCACUAAUCUCUGUGUCUACCAUGAAGCUGUUUCUUCUUUGUCUAAACUUUGCUAAGCAGUCUGCUGGACAUGCUGCUGGUAAUACAGAGCGCACCCAAACCUGACCAAUCAAACGGUGCAACAAACUUCACACAACACGCUGGUGAACAUACGGAAACGCACCCAAAUGAAUGCACUCCGGCUUUCCUGUUAGCGAGCGCAGACAACUACACACUGACUCAGAGAGAUGCAACAGACAUCCUCUCUCUCUCUCCGGUAUAAACGAUAGAGCAAAAUUUCUACCAGUGGACACUUUUAUACCGUCAUACCACCCAACACUUGUCUCAGGUGGUCUUAAAACACGAUCAGGACUUGUUCAGGGGCAGUCUUUUCCUUUUUCCAGUCUCACUGAUGUAUCUGCAGAGUCUUCGCCUUGGUGUUGCUAAAACAACUCUUUAACAUUUCCAAAACAUUCCUGUAAACACACUCCUCAAUCAUCCGCUCAUGUGUACCAAAAAUCCUCUGAGUCAAGUCGAGUUAAGUGCUUUUAAUGUUGUCAGCAAUCAUUGGCACCCUUCAGUAAAACUGGAGCAAACGGAGUUUGUGAUGAUUUCCAGAACAAACACUCAGAGUUUGAGUCUUUGUCGAAAUCUUUCAGAGGGUUAUUUUUAAAGUUAUCCUUUCUAGUGUGGUUGACUUCUUCAGUUGUUUGAAAUAUUCUCUAAUUAUAUUCUCAUUUAAAUCGAUGAAAGGACGACAAAAAAAGUGUCUUGAAUUUUAAUGCUGCAUUGAGCUCCCGGACUUGUUUUAUUCAUGAACUCCAUUUCCUCUGUCUCAACAUCUGGAUGAAGAAUCUUUCUUCACGAAGCAACAACAUCAGAGCCACCUGUCUUAACAUACGAAGGAGUGUCAGUCAUCCCUCGGAGCUGAGCAUGACUGAUGAAUUAAGUGUCAUAUACCGGGAGAUGAAACAAGGGAGAAUCUCAAAUAUUAGUUAAAGUGCGGCAUACUUCACAUUGGAUCCUUAGGGUCGCUUAGCAACAACCAGAGCCAUCAGCAGCAGCACUUCCCGCAUAUAACCUAUCAGCACCGCCGUCUAAAAAGUGGCACCCCGUGAACACAGCUGUUCCAGGAGUGGCUAGUAUAGGUCAAGGCCAUAUUUAGCAGUGCAAUUAAUAUGGAUCCUCUAAACUGUGUGAAAAUGAAAGGGUGAGGGAGAGGAGAGAGUGGGAGGGGGGAGAGCAGACGGAUGGUUUUCAUGGUUUGCCGUGUGCUCUGUAUUAUCCUCUUCAUCAUCAUGCUUUUCAUUCAGCGCCACAUUACCAUGGCACACACCCUACAGGCUGUCUGAUUUCUCAAAGGGCCUUUGCAUAUUGAAUCAAAUCAAGUGAAACAGAGCCAGCACCAACCUAAUGGGAAAUGUUGCUCCUCCCGACAGGCAGAAAGACGCCGUCAUCACUUUUUUAGCACACCGCCGCCGUCUUUCCGUGUGACCACAGAAUUCAUUCAAUCACUCGUCUCCAAAUUGACUAAACAUGCGGACAAAUGUUCCCGCUGAUUUGAAUAUAAAAGCAGGAAAAUUGAUUAUGAAAUGGUAUUCAUAGCAGCCUUUUUAUAACCCGGGUAUUAGAGUUAUCAGUAUCCUUCAGAUUCUUUGUGAUCUUCGUUAGAUGUUGCUGCAAAUACUGAGAGGGAGGAGUGGAUAUGAAGGCCAAACUGGGACAAGAGCAGCUUUGUUCUACUUUCUCCAACUAUUGUUAUCUAACUAUGGGGUCAUUGGAAUAACAAACCGUCGGCUGCCAACUCUUGUUUUUAUUACCUCUUGAUUGUGAUCUCCUACAUUUCCCAGAAUAACUUGAUUAAUAACAGCCCCUUGUGAUUUUUUUUCCCCAGUAGAGCACCACCAUAGAAAUAGAAGGCAGAGCACACCGGCCAAACCAAGCAGCAUCCUCUAUUGUUCAAAUAUGAGGUUAUUCCAGAACUGCAGUUCCUCAAGUGUCCUCUAGGGGACUGUCUGAAAGCUCAGGAGGCCUCAUUAACACCAGUGUUACAAGUGCCUAAUCAAAGAUGUUUGGACUAUUUCUCUGUUUUGGUCAUUUGAAGGUAAAUAAUGAUGUCUCUUCACUCUCUGGCUGAACUUGGUUCAUUAAACUGGUGUUCCUCAGGGUUACGUCCUCGGUCCCCUUCUGUUUAUCCUCUAUCUACUUCCUUUUAGCUAUAUGCUCCAUAAAUUUAACAUCUAAUUCCAUUGAUGACAACCAGAGCUAAAUGUCCAUCAAAUCUACCUACUUUCAGUCACGGCCACCGUGAGUUAGCCCAAAAAAAGACGUUGAAAACUGGGCUUUAUCUAGACGUUGUUUAGACGUAUGGUGAUGACAUCUCUUUAAUGUCUUUUUAACCACUUUUUGCCGAGAUGGUUAACCUUAUCAACUAAAACCAAGCUUCACCUCACUGGCGCAAAAUCUACUUCAACAAACUCACUUUUUCCCUCUCUGUUUAUGACUCCUUAGUUUCUCUCUUCCCCUAAGUUAAGAGUCAAGGUGUCAACAUGUCGGGUACCUCUCUCGGUCCCUCACUCCUAAAAGUACCACCCUUCCUCUCCUCUGUGAACUACCUCAAGGACUUUAGGUCUUCCGCCUAAAAGGUUAAGGGUUAAGGUCAUUACACAUCGGCGAAUUAUCAAAGUGACCCAAAAAAGCGAUGCAAAAAUGUAAAAUGUUCGUCUUACGCCUUUUCCUAUACACACCUGGUGCGAAAAUUAGCGUACCGUGUUUUUGGCACUAUAAGGCGCACCAUCAAUGAACGCGUGUACUCAUGUCUAUUUUCAUACAUAAGGUGCACCAGAUUAAGGGGCGCAUUAAGCCAAACAAAACAGUCAGAUAAGUCAAACUUCAAAUUUUUCGCUUCGCCAAUUGACCCCGGUGUGUAACGACCUUUAGGGUCAGAAUUAGGAGGUUAGGGUUCAAAUCUGAGGAAAUGGUGGUCAGGGGAUCGGUCAAAGACAGGAGCCUCAUGUGGUUUACUUCUUUGCCUCCUAAAAACAACAAUGUAAAAUAACAAUCAGAGCACAGAUGGAUUUGAGUGUCUGAGGAAAAAGAAAAUCACUCAGACCUCUUUGACUGACACGCAUUCAGCUCUUGUCAGAGAACGAGUUUUGUUGUUUUCAGGCGUUGUGUGGAGGAUUUUGACACAAUGACAAGAGAACAUAAUUGACGUGAAGAUUGAAUCUCAUUCACUCAAUAUGUUCCAGCUCCUCUGAUAUGCAUAUUCGUAUUAUACAGAGAAUGUAUGGAUUACCACAGUCUUGUCGCAAAGCCCAGUUUUUAGGACAUGAAUACAAAUCAGUGCGAUAUGAAAUAAGCAGUUUCUGUUUAUUCUGAUAUUUUCUCUUCACAGUCAAUACUCAUGUUGCUUUCCAAACAGAAAAAAAGACAAGCACGCAGAAGCUGUGACCAUAAUUGUUCGGCUGAAAUCAAAUUAAUCAAGCAAUUAAUCAAGUAACUGAAUCAUUUUGUGGGUAGAGUAAUAACAUUAAAUCGACACAGCGAGAAAGAUGGUAAUUUUGUAGUAAACAGCGCUACAAAAUCAAUGUGAGGGAGGCGUUUAAUGUGGGUAAGACUGCUCAAAUUAUUAGUAUCUCAUUUAGUAAUACCAGAUCAAUAUUUGAAAUUAAAGAAUAAACAGAUAAUCUUCAAUACAUAAAACGCCAGUUAGAAAAAUAAAAGUUGAGAGAAAACACUGUUUGAUCCUGAGACUGUUAAAGACAGACUGAAUAUUGACCACGGCGUACAACAAGAAGAGGUCUACGUUUAUCUUCAGGAGGACGGGGAUGUUUAGAUACCACUCCAGGGAGUUACAUACCAUAAUAAUACAGCUGAAAAUGUUCCAUAACAGUAAAUACGCUGUCAUUACCGAGGGCCAUUAGCAUCGCAGUGAUCACUCCAGAAUAAACAAGCAAACAUGUCGUGACGCGGGGCAAUUAUACGUUAUAAUAAUGUGACUUCCUCCUGUAACUCAGAACACACCGUCCUGAAACGACAUCCGAACACACUCCAACUUCAGUCACGCAGAUAUCAACUAAUCAUGGUCUACCAGGGCGCUGAACCUUCAUUUUUAUUCCUGGUAUUUAGUUUUGACUCUUUCACAGUCAAUGUGUUUACAUGCACAGUUGAAUCGGACUAAGCUCAUAAUUUGAUUUUUCUACUGAAUCAGACUUCUCUUCUUGUCCGCGUAUACACGCAGCUGAGAAAAUCGAAUUAGUGAUGCGAACGUGUCCUCCUCCCCAAAGCUAGGGGGCGAUAUGGGUCUGUUUCUGGACCUUUUUUAAAGACAUAUCCGUUCCUCGUUUUGCGAUCAUCCAUAUAUUUUAAAAUGCCAAUUUCUGUCAGGUCAGAAAGCAUAAUGGCGCUCUCCUUGUUGUUUUAAAAGUGGACAUUCUUUCGUGCUUCAGCCAUGAUGCAGUUACUUCUGAGUCAAAAGUUCUUAAAAUGAUAGCGCCACUUCUUCUCUGGUGUUUUUGUUCCAGGGUUACGAAGGCGUGGUGCACAUGCAUUGUCCGAUCAUACUCCGACUACGCUGGUUACAUGGUAGAGAAAAUCGAAUUCCAAUCGCAUUUCGGAGUUCUCUGAAAACUCCUCAAACUCCGAUUAUAGUCAGACGAAGGUGUUAACAUGCACUUCAGUUGUCCAGUCUUCGGCAAUAAUUCAGUUUUCUCGAGUUUCAUGUAAACGUACUGACUAUUUCAAGUUUUUAAAGCGUCUAUUCUCACUGACAAACCAGAGUCGAACAUAUUUCAUGUAAAAUACUUUAAAUGUCUGUCAGCUGCUGUUCUAUUGGGGAGUAUUUCGAUGAUUCUUCAUGCAUGCUCGAGUUUCUUUCUCCGUGACUCACCUGCAACUUCUUUUUCACUCACUGAAAUUAAACAUACAGUAUGUUUGCAUGUGGGGGAGUCAGUGCAGCUUUCAUUUUGUAUGAAAAGGUUAAAUCCCGUAUGACCUUUCCUGUGUUUGAGCUACUAUAGCGGUAAAAGUUUGGUCUUUUUGGAGGUUUCUCUCUCCCUCUCUGUUUGAAGUGACUGCUGUCUCUUUCUAAAUUCAAAUUCUGCAGAGAGAGAAUUAAAAGUUCGCUCUCCUUGUGUCCUCUCUUUAACUCUUUGGCUGUAGUUUAUACCCCUCCCCCCCUCCGUCCUGCUCCCUGCUGUGUUCUUAAACGUGGGCAUCUGUGUCUCUGCAGCAGGCCGGGUGGAUCGGCUCUGGCCGCCGCGGUGGCGGUCACGGCAAAGCUGCGUGCUCCAUGUCAAUAAGACCUCAGCUCGGUUUCGAGGCCCCGGGCGGUCAGAGCGCGAGCCUCAUCAGACCACACUGGGGCCAGAGAAAACCUCAGCAGCUCAUGCAAAUGUGGCCUGGUUUGGAUUCCCUCUGCAGGCAUGUGGUUUCAGAAGAUUCUCAAUUCUCAGAGCAUCAGGGUGGUCCUGCAGAAAGAGAUUAUUUCACACUGUAAGAAGAUUUACAGGGUUGUUGUUUCUCGACAAUAAUCAGAAACACACAGUCUUCUUUCUUGUUUUUACCUUACAGACCUGUUCAUGGUGCACACACGGCUCAGAAAGGAGCAAAUCGAUGCAGAGCUACUCAGCGACUCCUAUUACCCUAACAGGAGAAUGAUGAUGGGGAUCAUCUACUGUGCCACACAACCCCGGUGAGGGUCGCGCUCGCAGGCCACUCCGGUCACUCAUUUUCUCAUUUUUCACUCAGCAUCUCAUGGGCUCCAAAUUGCUAUGGAAGCUGAGUAAUCCUACCUCUCCAGUGUGAGGCAGACCGCUGUGGCCUGAGCCGAUAUGCAAACAGAAGCUGUUUCUCUUGUUUGGCUGGUUUGAGUUUGUUGUGCAUAAAAAGAGUGUUUGGAAACAAAACGGCCACAAAUCCAUGAAAAAUAUGACUGUUUCGAAGUGUAAGCUAACUCUUAGGAUCUGAGGAAGUUCCAGUUUUUAGGAGAAAUCUUGAAUGCAAACUCGACCCCUCCCAACCAGUUUUCCCCUCAGCUCCUCCCUCUCUGCUCCAGCAAGCCCCGCCCACAAACAGACGCUCCUGCUCGCUCAUAUCGUUUCAAUAAAUUCAGAUAUAAUGCAGAUAAAUACUUCAGAUCAUUACUUCUGUUAGAGACACUUAGCUUACUUUGUUAAAGUGGUUUACCUGUCCAACAGAAAGGCUGUAGGGUCCGUAAGAUCCUGAAGCGUCUCCUAACGUUUUAUGUUGACCCGACAUUUUAGCUCUUGUCCGGUCUACCUCCAUCUUUAGCGCCCGUUAUCCCGCCAGAGUCUCCUUCUCUCUCUAAGUCGUCCUCAGACGAGCCUUCCAUCGUUGUUUCCAGUCAUCCCGAUUCUCCAUACAUCUCUCCAGUUCGUUGGUACUCUGAGCUCCUGCGUCCUUCUUGAGUAAGUCCACGUAUGUUAGUGUAGGACGUCCUCUUGACCGAUACCCAUGUGUUGGUUCCCACAGCACCAAUUUGCUGGCUUUCAGUUCCCGUUGUCUCUGGUAUUUACUUUGUUUUCUUGCUUGUGUCGUCAGUCGUGGCCAAAGGAGGAUUCAGACAGUUUUCCGAACUUUCUGGUUGGUUUCUACUGUCUGAUAUUGUAGCAGGCUAACUUUGUUUGGACUUGUGAUAGUUAUUGGAGGAAGUAGAGCGUGCCUCACAACAAGAGGGAGCAGCGUUCGCCGGGGUUGGGGAGGUUUAACUGAUUCCUGCCUACCCCACCUUUGAUAGCUGCACAUCUUUUGGUCCAUCUAUUCUUGUUUCAGUUUCUGCUCGGCUCUCCUUCUGUGUUUUUCAGGACAUCCAAUCGUGUCACCCAUUGGUUUCUAAAGGGUUAAUAGUUCAUAUAACAAUGUGUGUAAUUUUGAAUCAAUGCUGCCGAUCAGAUACCUCGCACCACAAUGAAGUCAGGCGAGAUAAUCUCCAGCAGCAUCAGCGAAUCAACACUCUGCUAACUUUUGUCAUAAUGGGCCCAAACUUGGACUAAUUAUCAUGUCGGCUGUACACGACUCUCGAGUCGUGAUGAGCUUUUCCUCCCAAAGUUUUUGUCACAUUUAAGGAGAAAAGAGUGAUUGUUUUAAUCCUCAGUUGCAGCCCUGUGGCAGAAAACGAAGUGCAGCGAAAACGAUAACCCAGCUAACUCUUUUUUGUUUACAUUGCAAAGACAUAAUGAAGGUACCUCUAAGCUCAGAUGUGACUUAAAAAGGUGACUUUUAGAUGUCGGAUCGUAUACUGCUGUCAUACAAAGCUUUGAUUUUGAUCGAGCACGAAACAAUGCCUCUAAUAACGUCUUACAAAGCUUUCCUUUUCCCCCGACUGAUAACAACAGAAGAGUCACCCUGCAAAGACAAAACACGACUAUGAUACCAGCCUUCAAACUCAGCGAAAGCAAGAAAAUCAGACUGGAGUUCAAAGGUUUAGUCUGAAAAACACAAAGUCUUAAACGUCCUUUUUCUGUGGACGUCUUUAAAGCCGCAGAAGGAGAAGAGGGACGGAUCUUGAGACCGGGUAACAGUAAAGCCAUUAGCGGGGCUGGAGUGGGACUGGAGCCUCUUUUAGUGAGGAGACCUCUUGAUUGAACAAACUGUAAACACAGCAGCUGGUGGCGUCUGUGUUGUGGCAUGAGAUGACAUCUAUCAGUAGGAGAUGAAUUAAUGGAACAAUCCCAAAGCGCAACUGCUCUCAUUUAGAGCCGCCCUACUGGGUUCAUAGCAUGCAUCUCUGCAGCACAAAACAAUCCCCCAAAACCCUUGUUCUCCCUCACACACACACUCACACUUACACACACACACUCACACUUACACACACACACUCACAAUUACACUCUCACAUACAAGCAAACAGUAAUUUUCUGAGUGCUAGCUCUGUCGUAGGUCCCGGGGCUAAGAAGCUUUCUGAUUUACUUUGGUAAUCCCAGCUGUAAGUCCCCUUAUGACUGUCAGUGUGCUCUGCUGAUGCUAAAUAAGAGAACGGAGCGGUACAAACGUAAUUACUCUGAAUCAUUAUUUCGUUUGGAGGUAAUUAGUGGUGUUACUUUGCAACCUGAGGAAGAUUUGUGUUUAUGUCACCGAUCCAGAGAGGAGAAAUAUUUACUGUACGCUAAAGACGUCGCUGCUGUAAGAGAUCAUCUUCGCCUUUAGAGACGCUGAAUAGAAAAAAGAAGAGAGAGAUGGUGCCCUGAACACAUUUGAAGGUGUGGAGUAUCAUCAAAUACCUGUAUGCCUAUUAAAACCUCAUCCAUAUCAUGGGUCAUGGAUAAUGUAGUUUUUUUUAGAUCAAUUAUGUCACAGACUAUCUUGAGAUGAGAAAUCACGAUAAGCAUCAAUAUGCUUUUUAAUUUACAGCUAUCAAAUAACUGCUUCAUCAUGAUAUUAAAAUGAUCACCAGUAAUAAGGAUUAAAUACAGUAUUAUACUGUAUUCAUUGUAUUAUAUCGUAUCCUGUCCAGUCAUACUGUUUUGUAUCAUACUGUAUUGCUUCAUAUCCUACUGUAUGCAGUGUGUUAUAUAGAUACGUAUUGUGUCCUAAAGUACAAUAGCAUAUCAUUUAAUAUCAUAUCACAUAAUAUCAUUUCAUAACAUACAUCAAAUGAUAUAUCAUAUCAAAUCAAAUUAUAUCACAUCCUAUAUCAUAUCAUAUACAUCAUAUCGUACAAAAUAUUAUAUCAUAUAUAAUAUCUCAUAUCACAUCAAAUCAUGUCAUAUCAUCACAUCACAUCGCAGCACAUUGUAUCAUAUCAAAAUAUUUCAUAUCAUAUCGUAUGUACAAUACAGUGUCAUAUCCAGUUGUUAUGUAUUGCAUUAUAUCCUAUCCUACUGCAUUAUAUUGUGUUGUUACGUAUUAUAUAAUAUCAUAAUGUGCCCUAUCACAUAUGAUAUGAUAUCCUAUUGUAUGGUAUUGUAUCAUAUUGUCAUAUCAUAUCAUUUAAUAUUAAAUCGCAUAAUAUCAUAUAUAAAAUCAAAUCAUAUAUCAUAUCAAAUAAUACAUCAGAUCAUAUCAUAUGAUAUAUAUCUCAUAUCACAUCGCGUCACAUGACUUGCAUCGUAUAGUAUCAUAUCAUAUCAUAUCAUAUGUACAAUACAGUGUCAUAUCCAGUUGUAGUGUAUUGCAUUAUAUCCUAUCCUACUGUUUCAUUCGUAUUGUUAUGUAUUGUGUAAUAUCCUAAUGUGCCCUGUCACAUAUGAUAUGAUAUGAUAUAAUAUGAUAUGAUAUCCUUUGGUAUUGUAUCAUCAUAUCACAUCAUAUUAUGUCAUAUCAUAUCAUAUAUCAUAUUAUAUUUAAUAUCAUAUCAUGUCAUAAUAUCUCAUAUUAUAUUAAAUCAUAUCAUGGCAUAUCACAUCAUUUGUACAAUAUAGUGUCCUAUCUAGUUGUAGUGUAUUGCAUUAUAUUCUAUCCAUAUCAUAUCAUAUCAUAUCAUAUCAUAUCAUAUCAUAUCAUAUCAUAUGUCAUGUCAUGUCAUGUCAUGUCAUGUCAUGUCAUGUGUUAUUCCAUCAGAUCAUGAGUCCCCCUGUAUCUUUUACAGAAGUCUUGGUUUUUGUGGACAGUGAAUAAAACAGAGUUUAACACUCAGAAGACAGUAAGUUUGUCUUUAAUUACAGUUUCCUGUCACAAGGCUUAUAAAGCAGCUGAAAUAUAACUUUGAACAUCAUUAGUCUCCCAUCCAAGAACUCACCAGGCUUCACAUCAUUAGUAAUGGAUGGUGACUGGUAAUUGUAUGCAGUAGAAAAGUUAAAUAAUCUACUACCAAACACAACUCUUACAUUAUUAUAAAUUUUUAAGAAUGUUUCAUUUUGGUUCCAUUUUAUCGAGGUCUGGACUCGGGUCUAUUUUCAUAAGUGGAAUCAGAAAUGAUCAUGUUUUUUUGUGUGUUUGGAUCACAAAGAGAAGUCCACUGUCUCACAGAUCAUGUAUACCAGGAGGCGAUGUGCUACUCUGAAGAAAAGUACACUCUGUUUCUCACUGAGUGGCUGCUCCCACCUGAAGGAGACAGCCAUGCUUUCAUGCGGAAAAAUAUGCUUUCAAGAUUACAUUGAACAUAACGCUCAAGAGUUAAACGCUGCGCCGUACGGCAAAGGAGAAAAAAUUCACUUUCAUUAGCUUACACUGAAGUUUAUACAUCAUUGAUGAUAAGCUCUCAGAGGGGACAGCCGUCUCUCCAGCUGCAGGACUGAAGUGUCCCAUCUGCAGCCAUGCGGGGAAGAAAUGAAAUAUUCCAUUCAUUUUCUGCAGAUGCAUGAUGAGAGAGAUGGGGAAAGGUGAGGAUGUGCAGAGUUGAAAGAAGCAACGAGCGUGUAUCAUGCAGUACAGAGAUAUGUAACAGCAGUAUUGCAGGUGCAUGAACAGUCUGCCAAUCCCUGUGCAGUGGGGCUUAAUAAUAAGCGUUAUUACAAAGACCAGAUGCUCGGCUUGUAAUCCAUCCUCUAAUUUGAUUAGUCAAUUGUCAACACAAAGUCAGGCUCUUUAGGGAGGCUGGACCCAGUUGAAUUUAGGUCUAAUUUAGCCGUCUGCUUACCAACACGGCGGGAGCAGCAGGUCACUUGAAUCCCCCAGCUCGCUCGCCCCUUUUACUGCAAAUUUCAAACAUAUGCCAACCAGCAGCGCGCUUGUCAUGCAAAUGUUAGACGAGAGGUGUCAUUACCUCUGUGUUCAGCAUGCAAGGGAUUACCCAGAAUGCACGUGACGGGGGGACUGUCCCACGAUCAAUUUAAUCGCUAUUGAGAGGAAGAAAUGCCGCAAUUAGAUCCGGCGCCGCCAUGAGAUGCAGGUUCCUCAGUUAAUUCUUCAGCAAUUAAAUCCAAUUGACUUUGCUUUGGUUUGAUUGUCAGCUACACAGCCUGCAUCGGAUCUUCAUCAGCAUUAAUUGCACUUCGAAGAAAAGGUGGAGGAGUGACGGACAGGAGGAGCGGACAUGUAUCCAAACAAACAUGGAAGCAAGAUGAGGCUCGAAAUCUGCUUCUACUCACCCUCAAAUUUAUAUCGGAGAAGAAAUAAGCAACGUAUGACGGUGGUUAAAGUAAUCUUGAGAAGGCAGGCUUGAGGAAAACGACACCAGAAGAUGAGGAGAAGAUGGAUGGCUGCAUCCUAAAGCUUUACGACCGAGGUUUUUGCAGUGUGUAAAGGGAUGACAAUGGAGUUCUUUGCCUGUCAGGAAAACAAACUCUUUCCAAGUUUGUUGUUCCCAUAGCUACACAUAAACCACGCCUGACUGGCGAAGGCUGAGCGGGAAAUUGAUAAAGCCAAUGGUAUUCACCUGUCACGAUUCACGACCUGCCAUCAGUAGAUCACCUCUCAGGGUGACGGUGUUGUCACUUUGUCUGGACCGGGCUGCUUUAAUUUACACAGCAUGGGGAUCCGCUGUGGUGCAGAAGGAAAAUGUGACCAAUAAUCCAGAGGCGCCGUAAAUCCUGAAGGUUCCUGAAGUGCGUGGUCUUCAAGGCCGUAACAAUGCGACAUAAAUCAAAACUUAACCUGACCAAAAAAUAUAAAUAAAACCACGUUAGGGCUACUGGCUCUCCAGUGAUUAAGGUUUCGAUAAACAGGAUGUGCCGAUUAGCCUUAACCCAGGCAUUAAAGGUAGGGCUGGUAAUCACGGCAAACUAGCAUGAAUUUGAAUGUAGCGUCUCCUCAGGACUUUGUCUGGGACUUUUCAGAAAAUGGGGUUCAUCCCAUUUCAGCAGCAGACACGACUCUUGGCCUUUGUUAUGUGUGUCUGAUAGAGAUGAAUUUACGCCACCUUUAUCUUAGACCAAGGGUUAGCUAAAAGCUAAUGAGCUGGCGGUAUUAUUUGUGUCGUUUGCUUGAUUCACGUGGACAAACUCGACGAGCUGUUCUUCAUGUAUACUGACCUUUGUAUAAGGGACACUAGGAUUGCCCACCUGCCCGCCCGCCCUAUACAAUACCAGAGCAAAAUGAUGAAGUACAUCCGAGUAACCAGAGGAGUCAUCUCAGGUAUCAGUAAAGGGAUUAUAGCGAGCAGCGUGGGGACCAUACUGAAGCCAUCAAGAUUGACCCAAGGUUUGCAGUUUGAUUCCCCCUAUCCUUAGUCUGUCCGUUGUGUCCUUGGGUAAGACACUUAACCCACCUUGCUCCCAGUGUGUGUCCUCCACUGGUGUAUGAUUGUGAGUGUUGUGUGGUGGUGGUUGAAGAGGCUGUAGGCGCAAACUGGGCAGCCAUGUUUCCAUCAGCUGUGACUACUAAAGUAGUUUACCACCACCAGGUUGUGACUGUGGGAGCGGAUGAAUGAUGUAUCCUGUGUAAAGCACCAAAUGAAAUCUGAUGCAUUAUUAUUAUUCUUAUUAGCCCCUCCCCCUCCCCAUGGAGUUCGCCCCCGCUCACAUGCACGAGCGCUGCUGUCCGCUGAUUCAGAACCACAGACUCCAAACUUUGGGACUUUAGAUUGGGAAGUCUUUGCACAGCAGGGACAAAGACAGUAACGUUAGCAUCAGGAUGACCACAUAACUAGCAACAUGGCUAAGUACUUGAUCAAGAUUAAAAAUCGCCAUCAAACAAACCUUUAACGUACCUUUCCAACAGAAAAUGAGUGACCAUGGCAUCACUUUUAAAUCCCUUGACCUCUUUCAGUUCUCUCCCUCGCAGGAAAGCUGUCCCAAUGUUGACUUUCGUUUUCACCUUUGCUUUCUCUAAACCCUGUCAUGCUUCGGCCUUCUCUGCCUCCGUCAGCACUUGAUUUGAUUGGUUUAAAAAUGUGGGGUCCACACGAUGUGAUUGGUUGGUGUUUUUCCAGUUUUACUCCUGCUGUAGAUCGUGGCUAUGUUUCGCUCUUUUUUAAGAACACACCAUGUAUUGAUCAGGACAUAAAGAUCAUUUUAACCAGAAUAACAUAAAAGUGUAUCUAAAUCAGAUUAUUUAAAUCCACAUUUUAAUCCUAAUUAACCCAGAAUGGCUGUUUGGUCAGUAGCUCCAUGUUUCCAAAGUUGACAGUCCAGGUCCAGUCCUGGUUUCAGUCUACUCUUCAAGUGUCAUCUCGUGUUAGCGAACGCGACUGACAGCAUCAUGAGCAUGAUCGGUAAUAGUCCGAGUCGAUGAUAUCUCCAGAGAGCUCAGGACGUGUGCAACUACCGUCCAGAUUUGGGAGAUACAAACAAGAGAGAUGACAGGACUCACUGGGGUUAUGUUAACUCUGAGUUUAGUUGGCCUGCUAAGUGACAGAUUCUUGAUUUCCAGACAUCUCAGCCUCAGACUUGUUCGGUUUCUACCGUGACAAGUUUGUGUUAUUUCGACAGGCAUGUUGCAUAGAUGUGGAUUACUGUGGACUUCACGUUGUCAUUUUGAUAAACAACGUCCGAACGGUGUCCAGACUCUACACACUCUACCUCUACGUCAAACUAAUACGUCUACAUCAAGAAAUAACGCUUCAUAGCUUCCAGAAAAAUGGCCGCUGCUGAAAAAUAAGACAGCAAACACAGAAUGUGACUCUUCAAACAUCCGUCCUGGUGUCGGCUGAGCUCAUACCUGUAAUGUACCAGUUUGAGGAGGGAUUAGUUUACCGUGCGCCAAUAUUUGAUAACGUGCAAGAGUUCACAAAGGGGGUAAUUUAUUUUUCAGGGAAUCCAUAAGAAAGGCUUCAUAUGGGAUUGAGUGAAUAUGGAUUAGAAAAAUCUUUAUUCCCAUUUACCUAGCAGGCUGGAAAAGACUGUUAAUGUGGGAAAUGACUUUGUUGAGCUUGACAGCUCUGAUCACUAAUGAGCAUUUGGCUUUGUUCUGGUUCAGCCGCCCCCCUUUCAGAUUCAAACAAUCGCAGAUCAAAUGCGGGAUGUUGUUUGCAUUUGUCGCUUUCCUUGAUGAGGGGGCAGGAGGAACAACAGGCUCUGUUUGUGUCGGAGUUUAUUAAAAGCCAAUUAGUCUUUUAGUUUUAGCACGAUUCAAACGGACAAUAUCAGAGCUCACCGUCCUCCAUGACAGGAGGCCUUAAUGAGCGCUCUGACUUCUUAGGCUAAAACAACAUCCGCAUAAUCAGUCGUAUACAUACUGAAACCAGCAUGGCUGUCAGUCGACUGUAGGAUGAUCAGUUUGCCGUCAUUUAUCAGGCCGUCUCUGAUUCAGUUUCUAUUUCAGAGUAAACGUGGCACGACUUAGACUCCGUCGUCAUCUCCGUGCAGGGAUUACAUGCUAUGGCUGUCACAGCAAUUUGCUGCUCCGUAGAGAGAAAAGAAACAUGAGCAACGCUGAGACGAUAGAGAGAAAUUACUCAGUUCAACUCGCUCCUCUGGCAGGAACAGUCUUUGUACAACUUAAGAUGACGUUGCUCAAACAGCUGCAUCUGUUUACCCGGCCGCCUGACGCUGAGAGCAGGAAAUUCAACAAACAUGAGCAAACAUAGAUGCAUGUGAAGGGCUGGAGUUGGGAUAUUUGACAACAGUUUGGGAACAAACGGUUCUACAAAAAGUACAAUUGGAUUUUUAGAUUUUUGAUUUUUUAAUGUUUCUGUUGUUUUGUUAGAGCCAAGAGAGCAGGCGACUUUUCUGACUGUGACAAGUUAAAGGGAUAUUUUGCAUAGAUCUUCAUGUGUUCUUGAUAAUUUUAUACAGCAACCCAUCCAUCCAUCCAUCCAUCUUCAGCUGCUUAUCCAGGGUCGGGUCAUGGGGGCAGCAGCGUUAGCAGAGAGCCUGAGCUCUUCCCGGGGGACCCUGAGGUGUUCCCAGGCCCGCUCGGAGACAUAGUCUCUCCAGUGUGUCUAGGGUCUUCCCCAUGGUCUCCUACCAGUGGGACUUGCCCUGAAUGCCGCAGCAGCGAGGCGUCCAGGAGGCAUCCUGAUUCGAUGCCAAAGCCACCUCAUCUGACUCCUCUAAACGCGGAGGAGCAGUGGAUCUACUCCGAGCCCCUCCUGAAUGACCGAGCUUCUCACCCUUUCUCUAAGGGGGAGCCCAGCCACCCUCAUUUCGGCCGUUUGUACUCACGAUCUUGUUCUUUCGGUCACUGCCCACAGUUCGUGACCAUUGGUGAGGGUAGGAACGUAGAUGGACCGGUAUAUUGAGAGCUUUGCCUUUCAGCUCCCUCUUCACCAUGAAAGAUCUGUGCAGCGUCCAUAUCCCUGCUGACGCCACACCGAUCCGCCUGUCGAUCUCCCGCUCCAUUCUUCCCUCACUCAUGAACAAAACCCCGAGAUACUUGAACUCCUCCAUCUCCGACCUCGGGAGGGCACUCCACCUUCUUCUGGUGCCGAUUCUCAUCCCAGCUGCUUCACACUCAGCUGCGAACCAAUCCAGCUAGAGCGAUCAUUAUUUUAAAUUCAUUUUUAACUUUGUGCCUUUUUACAGCAGCCUACUGUUUUUGUGAACCUCUUAUUUUGCCCUAAAACGCACCUUUGUCGCGGACUAAUCCUCAAUGAGAGACAAAAUUGAAUAAAUUUAAGAACAUCGUUAGGAAAGUGGUGGCAGAGAUGAGAUUGUUAUUCCGCCGUAAAGCUGCACACCUUCUUUAGGGUUGUUGUGAUUUCCCAUGCUGAGUUGUUAUUUUUUACGUCUUGGCCUGGUCCCUCUUCUAAGUGACAGCUUUAAUCUCUGCAGGGUCUUGUGGUUGGAUUAAGGCUGAAUAAAAUAAUACAAAAUAAAGCAUAUUUGAUUCUGCCUCCUCGCCGUCCCUAACACCACUUGACAGUUGUUAAUAUGAAGCUGAAAAGCGUGCUACAGCGGCCGUAGUGGAUGAUGACGCCGAUCAUUGUUUUUAUCAUUACUCACUUUUUUUUUGCGACACAGAUGUUCGCAGGGGAAGCGAAAGGGUGAGUGCGAAUCCUUCUGAGUGUGAUUCAACGCCGCUCCAUAAUUGCAAGGCCAAACACAGGGGCCGUUCAGAGGUAACCUUGGUGUAAUGUGCAGUAAUUUUACAGCCCCCCUCUCUGUGACAUCCUGGCGCAAAGUUCCUGCUUUCAUUAAAAAUGCUGCCAUUUUCAUCACAGCAGAUGCCCCUGCGCUCAGCAUAUGUGCAAGGUCAUAAAUCCAGAUUACCUACUUCUUGUGUCGCUUCUUGAGCCAUCUGGUGUGAUUUAAGCAGUGGGCGAUUUUUUUUUUUUUUACAACAGCGGCUCCUCCCCGACCGCUGAAAAGGAUGGCAACAGCUCAGGGACGACUUGGCCAACACUAUAGUCAAUUAAAAAAGAGCAAAACACCAUUAGUCACUUAAUAUGCUCCCUUGAUUUUUCCUUUUAUUACUGUUUGGAGUGUGCAUUGUGGAUUGCAACCCAAAAAAAAAAUGCUCCAAGGCUGUUUUCAAAGCUCUUCAGAUUUUCUCCUUUUUUCCCAGUUUUUAAUAAGAUUCAUGAUUUUUAAUGUUUUCGCUGCAGUUGAUCUGCUGUGUUUUUACUGUUCCACAUGCGCUCAUUAAACAAAGGUGGGGCUUUGCUUUGGCUCUGGUGAGAUCCAGUUUCCCAGAUUUUUUCAUUAUAACAUCCAACUCGGUCAAAUUAAAUCUCCACCUGCUGUGACUCUUUUUGCCUGUAGAUGGCGGGGUUUCGAGGUGUGUAGCCUGCCGAGAUUAAAGGAGGGGGUUUAAUUCACAGAAGAUUGACUAUAUUUACUUCAUAAAGCACAUGCUGGGGUGAAAUGCCUCAGCUGUCCUGUAUUGGCUUCAGAAUCAAGUGGUAAAUUCAAUCACAUAUCUGAGGAUAUAACAUCAGGAUUAGAGUGCACAGCGCAGCUCUGCACUGAAAACCAUCCAGUUUAUUUGGACCACAGUUUAAUGCAAAACUGAUAUAAGACGCUCAGAGCUUUAAAAGCCUUUUCCUUCUGAAUAUUAUUACACACCAGCAAAUUUGCGAAGCGAAUAAUUUGCUUUUUUUAAAAACCUCAUAAAGUCAAUGCAAGCUUCCACACUGCCUAUGAACUUCUGCGGUGCAAAAAAACGACGGUAAUUUUUUCGCCCCUGCAGCGAAUUUUGUGAACAUCUGCAGGUGAACUUCUAUAUAAAUCUAUAGCCUGGAUUUAUAUAUAAAUCAAAUGCAUUUCAACCUCACUUAAAUGCAAAACUGAGUUAAGAUGCUCAGACCUGCAGAACUUUAUCGGCCUUUUCCUCCUGAAUUUUAUUGACUUAAGUAGCCUUGUGAAUAAAGGUCGUUACAGAUCGGCGAAAUAGCGAAGCGAAUCAUUUUCUUUUUUUAAACCCUCAUAAAAUCAACACAAGCUUCCACACCGCCUAUGAACUCCCGCAGCACGAAAAUUUAUUCAUUACAUUAUUUAUCAUUUUUUAUUAUUUAUUACAUUUAUUUACUGUAAAUUUUUCGCCCCUGUAGCGAAUUUUGCGAACAUUCGCAGGUGAACUUCUAUGUAAAUUAACAGCCUGAUAUAAAUCUCACCUCGCACAUGUGGCGAGUCGUUGCUCUUGAUCAAUCAAUAUAAUUUGGCCUCUCCUUCUGCAAGCGUGGAGUCAGCUGAUUUUCACAUUUCACGUCACGUUUUUUGCGUCACUUUUUCAUGUUGCUUUGCUAAUUCACCGGUGUGUAACAACCUUAAGACCUCAAGCAGAUAUCUGGAUAAAUGGUGCAAAACUCUUAGUGUUAUUAGCGGCUAUAAUCUAGAAGAACCUCUCCAUAAGUUUGCUCAUUUACAACUUGGUAUCAAAACCAAAGGAUUUGCUCCAGUGAAGUUUAACCUCUAACCUCAAAGUCAAACCUCCAUGUAAACUUAGUGCUGGGCUUUAAUCACAGGCAAAUAAAAAUGUGAGCUUGAGGUAAAAUCCCUCAAAUCUCUUAAACUUUAAUGAGCAUAUGCUCCGUCCCUCAUGAGAUGGACCAACUUUUCCUUUUAAAGUUUAUUUCAGGGGUUGUUUGUGCCUUUAUUUAGAGGAUCGGACCGGAGCGGACCAGGAAACUGGAGGGGAAAAAGAGAGAGGAAAAUGGGAUGCAGUUAAGGGGCAGCAGGUUGGACUCAAUGAUCUAACCACCAGGCCAGGCCGGCACCCCAGGAUCAACUAAAUUUGACGCUCUGUUGGCGUUUGGCGAGGGUUUCUGCUCAUGCGUUGAAUCUGACAUUUGAAACUUUUUGAUUCUGGGUCACACUGGGACAGGUCUGUCACUUAUCCUCUCGUGACUCCCCCCCUCUCCUAACGUGAGGCUUGUUUCCCAUCCAGAUUCAGAGGAGACAGAAGAUUAAACAGCAGUUUGUGUGGAGCCAGCAUUACAGCGCUGUUUGAUUUAGAGCCAUUGUUUCUCUUUUUGAAAUCACUGGCUCAAUAUCAGACCAAGUGUACCACAGCCAGGGGCCACAUUUCAAUACAGGCACGACUGCAACUUUUCCCAACCUCGCCUUUGAAAUACUCCCCUUCAAGAUUGUCCUAAUUGAACACAAUGACAGCGGACAAGAGGUAAUCGUGACAUCUUUGUGAGUAAAACAACAGCACAGUGUCCCGAGACCAUCAGGACGCAAUAUCAGGAAGUCAAUUACAGUAAAUCCUUCCCUCUGUCAUUUCUGUUAGUACAGCAAACAUCUUUUUAACUUUGACUCAUUUCUUUAGCAAAAAGACUAAACACAACUCACCUACUCUCUUCCAGCAGCCGCUUGUUUAAUAACAAUAAUAAUAAUUAUACAUUUUAUUUAUAAUGCACUUUUACAGGCGCUCAAAGACACCUUACGAAGAAAAAAAUAUAUAAUAAAAUACAAAAACGCAGUUUAGAAUACAGAAAAUUUUGAGAAAUAAAACCAACAAUGCAAAAGGUUGAAAAAGACACAAAAUGAAAAGAGCAGUUCACAGGUAAAAAGCCAAGCCAGACCUCAGGCCAGUCCAUUACAGACCACAGCGGGGUGCCGCAGCUCAAGGAAGAACAUUUAUGAUCAUUUCUUUAUCAUUUCCUUGAAGUAAUAAUCACCAUAUUAAUCAUUUUGCAGACGCGGUAGUUCUUUUGUCUUAGCAUCUCGGUCUGAUUGUAUUUCCAUGAAGAAAUGAUCAUAAAUGUUCUUCCUUGAGCUGUGAAACUCCGCUGACUCAUCAGUGCUCCCCCACAAACAAGCUGGAAGAGAGUAGGUGAGUUGUGUUUAGUCUCUUUGCUAAAGAAAUGAGUCAAAGUUAAAAAGAUGUUUGGUGUCUAGUACUAUGUCUGUGACCCUAUAUGUACUGUUGAUGAAGUUAGGUGCUGUUCUGAGCAUUAUUUGUGGCUAUAGAGUGGCGUUUUGGUUGAGGUUUGAUUAUGCUAUCAUACAGUCGUUACUACAGUUGGUGUAACUAGAGAAGCAAGUGGUCAGCAACAUUAAUCUCUCGAGGGGCUGUCUACCUCAGUGUUUGACCCUAAAUGAAUUUUAUGCCGGAAUAUCCCUUUAAUGUAAAAUGUGAUUGGUGAAUUUCCAACCAGGACAUAAAUAGAUUCAACACCCUCGCUCAAAAAUAUCCACUCCUGGAGUCCUCAAACUACAAAACUCAAGGCUCCAACAGAGUAUCCACACAUGGUAACUGAUUCCACGGUGAACAGAUCCACUCGGUUUGUACUCUCUAAAGUCCAGACUUGGUAUUUUUUCAGUCCACAAGCACUGCAGCUCUCUUGGGUCUACUUUCAGGUGCUUCACAUCGUGACACCCCGUCCUUGUUACAUAACAUUCUCGCUGAGUGCAGCUUUAAUUUUAGACACCGAGUUUAGUAUAAAAUCAGACGUUGCAGCCAGCAGAGACGGCGUUUAUGCCAGGAGGUCUUCUGUAUCUGCCAGGGACCAUUGAGGAUAUGGCUCUUCUUCAAUGCAGCACACCGGGAGAGCUACUGACACCUCUGUAACCCAGGGCCCCGUGAUGGAGCAUCUCGCCUUGCCAGGUGGACGUGCUCAUUGUCCGGCUGCCUUAUCUCUUCAGGGCCAUUCCUCCUGAAGAUCACUGAGACUGACAGAGCAGAAGCGUAGGCAUUUCUACAGGAAUUUCUGGAGCAGGCGAAGCCCCCUGGGGAAAAGCGUUGGCGAUGCAAGCGGGGAAAAAUCUGAGGCAGUCUUGAGCACUCUAAACAGUCUCUGAGAUUCAGAACCUGGUUUUUAAUUACCAUCAGAGGGGUGUAUUAACGAUGCGCCGCAGAUAAGGACAGUGAAUGGACUCAGUCUCUCACUCUCGCUGCUGGAACAGCUAUAAUGUAUAGAGGUAGAGGAGCAAUUUAAAGCACCCUUGGGACUCGAUCGAUGAGACGGCCCGUUUGUGUCCUAAUGCAUUAUAUUUGACAGGUGAUUCCAUAUCUCAGGAUGGAUGGUUAUUGUACAACUAACGCAGAACUGGAGUUUGAUGGGAUGGGAGAAUCUUUCUGUUCAGGAGGGGAAAAAACGUCUUAAAUGACUCCUGACAUUGUGGCAUCCUCGGGGAAUUUGGCACAAUGUCAGAUGUAAAAACUAUAACGUGAGGAUGCAGAUACAUGGAGUCGACUGUGUGGACUAUAAAUACUUAAAAAGCCAAAAUGAUAAUAAACAAAUCAAUCAGAAUAAAGUGCGUCAAGUGAUCGAAAUCUAAAGUGGUUAUAGAAGACAGAAGUGGGUUCUCCAAUGUGCAUGUGUUUAAAAUAACGCAUAAAAACAUUAUAAUCGAAGAAAAUGCAUGCACGUAUGUUCCUGUGCUGGAGAAACAUCUUAAAUGCAGCCCUGUUAAGUGCAGCUGCAGCAAGUAUGUUAUUUAUGCGGAUCAAUACUGUCAGGAGCGAGUGAUUGAAAACAUGGGAGAAAAGGCAGCGUUUGGCUGAGAAAAAACUUCAGUUAUCGGAAACACUUUGACUUCAGAUUGACGGAGGUCGAGCAAAAGGAAAUUGUUAGCAAAGUUUGUCACGCUGUCGUGUCUGUCGUGACCAACUUCCAGGUUUUCCCCAAUGUGCAAUGGACCGUGGUGCACUGCCACGGUUAAAUGAAAGCCGCCGCAUGUUAAAAAAGAUUUUUUUUUUAUUUACGUGUCUCUAACUCAUACUUAUAUGUACAAGUAAGAGUACACGCAUGGGCGCUGCACCUUGGAGAGCUGAUGAUUUCUUAUUUUUUUACUUGUUACUAAUUUAUUUCUGCCUGUUGUUUUGAGUAAUAUUUAAAGUUAGGUUUUGUUUGUUCAAUAAGUACUCAAUUUUUGAAACCAAUAAAUAAUCGUGUAUAUUGAUCGUGAUUUCAAUAUCAGUCAAAAUGGGGACAGUCCCUGAUUCGAUGAGCUGUCCUCAGAAAUGUCCCCCGUUUUAAGCGUUUCAUGAUGUUUCUAGAACAACGGUUUUUACGGUAGCCGAGUAGGUCGGCAGCACGAGUAAGCAUGUUGAGCACAGUCCUGAACAACAGUUUUUAUGGGGGGUUAUGAUGAGGGGGGCGAUAUUUUUUAGGGGAAAGUCCCUCCUCCUUCGCCUCUGAUUGGCUAGAAAAGCUUGAAACGUCAUCACACACUCAAGCCGAACGCAGGCUGUCGGCUCUGUACAUCGAACAGAACAUUAGAGAACAUUAUCACACUCCUGAAUCUCCUAACCUGACAGACGAUGACGUUUCACAGCCAAAAGGAAUAACCAAUUGGAGACCAGCACUUCUAGCCAAUCAGAGGUGGAGGGCGGGACCUAUCCCUACCACCUACAAAAUUCGCUUACAGGGGGCACUUGCUGCUACUAAGUAGUACCGAGUUGUUGUCUGAGGAUGUCCCUGGAUUUCAUGACAGAAAUCAUGUCACCCUAAAAUAAUCCUGAUUAUUAUUUUUGUCAUCAUCGUCCAGCUCUGGUUUAAAGUGUCUGAUUUAUUUUACAUCUUUUAGCAGCUCCAUGAUUUAACACUUUACAUUAUGCAUUUUCUUAAACACUCAACGUGCGUGUUGCAAACUGCAGGUGAAGUUUGUCCCAGUUAAGAGGGUCAGUCCUUGUGUUAUUAAUGAGAAACAUAUAAGAGAAAAGUAAUCUCCUCAAGUGUUUAUCCCCCGGCAUCGAUAAGGAGGGAUUAUUCAGGAAUUACCAUAAAGUUCUGGUUAAAAAUGCAUCAUCUUUUACAGUCGGGAUGUCUGUUUUUCACAUAACAAGCCUGCUGCCGCUCAUGUGGGAUUUUACUAUCACUGAUUCUGGCAGCAGACGAACACUGGACUCUGAAGUCAACACUCUCCUCUUCUGUGCCAGGCAUGAGUCUUUUUAUUGCAUAUUACACAGCUUAAUGAGGUAAGAGAUUAAGAUGUUGCCCUCACAUUGCGAAGGCUUUAUUAGCACAUUGGAUUGAGAAUGACUCGGCUCCGCUCGGCGGCUGCCUCUCCUGGCAUUGUUUGGGGUGAGAGUGAUGGAGUGCUUGAUGAGUAUUCUGCAAAUCUUUAAUUCGGAUGUAAUUUCUAACCGUGGAAUUUGCAGUUAGCACACGGGGAUUUCAUACGGCCUUGAAGGUUGGCCAGACGGUUUUUCAUUUGAUUUAAGUCAGAGGUUAUUGCCUGUUGUAAUUAUACCAUGAUGAUGCGCCUCGGCUUUAAAAAGAAACCAUAUUUAACAUUCCUGCUAAACCCUGCCGGGGAAAACGCGUGAACUCAAAACCUGCUCUUGUUAAUAUUUGUGGUCAAAUCAUCUGCAAUAGCCGUUUAACGUGUGUACAUGCAACGAUUACCGCUCAGUUUAUUAGAAGUGGUGGCGUUUGCAGUUUCCCACAUGAUUCCCAUCACCUGUACGUAUAGGAUGAGUCACUUUUGGUGCAGUUACCAAGUACCAGCUCAUGAGUAUUAAAUAACCUCACUGUUAUUAUUCAUUAUUAAGUAUUUCUCAGCUCGAGAAACUCUUGAACCACUUUAAAAGUCCUCCUCGCGCCUCAUAAGGGUUUUUCUCACCUUUAGAGCUCUCUUAAGGGCUGAAAUGCUUCAUGAAUAACUCUAGUUUUGCAAAGAUCUUGUCUGAACUUGCAGGAAAUCUUGCAGGAAACACAAUCAUACAUCAACACUGGACCUCAAACUGCUUUUGGGCAUUCAAAGGUGGAAAAGGCCGUAUUUGAGGAGUAAACGUUGCAUAUUUCCUUUGUAAUUUUGUAAUUUCCCAGCAGACAAACAUGUUGCUCGGGUUUUGAAACAAUCGUAAUGCUUCUAAUGCUUCUAUUACAGACAUGACUGACUCUGGGACGGCACCAGCAGGGAGGGCGCUGACAUUAUGAGGCUGGAAUGAAGGAGCUGCAUGGUGCGCAAGGUAGGAAAGAGGCUUUACAUGAGGACGGUGUAAAGAUACAGAUAUUUUACAUUUGAAUGCAUGGUUAAAACAGCAGAUUUUUGCAAAUUUAGUGGUGUGAAAGCGAGAUAUGAAGGCUGUGUUUGCAUUUACAGUCCGAGCAUGAGUCUCUAAAAUCAACCUUGGUUUGAAAUUGGAGCAUUUUAUUAUGCAAAUCAUACUGAAUACCAACUUCAGUAAUGGUGCUACAUCUUUCUUUAUAUAUAUAUAUUUAGCCUUUUGGAUUAAAAGGUACACUUGCAGGACUCAGAGGAGUCAGGAUGAGCAGAGAAGACAUUUCUCCGAGCUAAAGAAAAGGAUUGACUUCAGCUUCUAUAUUAACCCAGGAGGUGAAGGCCUCUGCCUCCUCAGGUCAGGAUGCUCCCUGGUAUCUGUGGUGCAUCACAGCCCUGCAGGGCCGCUAUGGGUGGGUAGUAUCGAUCGGGUGGGGUGUAAAGGCAACUGGCAUGGGAGUUCACAACCGAGAUAGUGUAAUUCUCCAAUCUUGAUCUGGAUGCUUCCUGUCGUGAGCCACACUUUUUUUUUUUUGAGGUGUGAUGUCUGGAGUUUAGCGGAUGGGGAGUAGAGCGUGACUCUUCCACUACAUCCCGGGGUGAGAAGUGGACCCACCGUGACAGACAGCGUGACCUUAUAGCUUUAUUGGAACCAGCGUUUAAAGGAGCAGCUCUGUGGGGAGACGGAGCAGCAGGGCCGACGUUUGACCUCAUAAACUCUGGCAUUGAUUACAUGUUAUUAAAUCUUUACGGCUCUUGUGAGGCGAACACUUACGCUGGGAUUUAUGAAAUUCCCAAAGGCCUGAGUGAAAAUGUAAAGGUUUGCAGAGGAGAGCGCUAUAAGGGGGGCACAUUGUGUUUGCUUUGGAUCAGGGGACACCCUUAACGCCCCGUGGUUUUUGCCUAAAGGUUAAGACUUUUCUUUUUCUUUGCUGUGGUUGAAUAAGAAUAUUUUCCUCUUAUUUAUGAGGAAAAAAACAGCAGCAACAGCUAAGGCCGAAAAAGAAAAUUGCCAGAGCAGAAUCUGAGUCAAACGGCCCUGGUGAGAAUACAGCAGAUGUUAGCGUAAUUGGUGGCGCCAUGGUUGCUAACAGCAACAGAGAUAAAGCUGCACCGGCUCCUGUUGACCACCUUUUACUGAUGAAACAUGAACAAAUCAGACCACCAGCAGGCACUCACAGCUACUCUGCAUACUUUAUUUCAAGUUUGUUUGACAUCAGUGUGUUCGACACAAACUUCAGUUAUUUAUCUGAAAGUUUUGCAAAGUUAUGAAGUUGGAAAUGCAACUUAGAUUUAAGUCAAAACCACAGAAACAGCAGCCCUUCAAAUACAGAGAAUAACGUCCUGUCUGCGGUAGUUAGGUCGAUUUAUGAACCAAUAACCCCAAACAAACAAUAAUCAUCAUUUAGGAGUCCUGAGAAAGGCUAUAAUGUGACUCUUAGAGGUCAAAUAUUAAAAUAAAUAAAGUCAUGAUAAAGUUUUUUUAAUUGGUUGAAGUUUAUUUUGAGCAUAUAAAAAAUAAAAAUAAUACAAAAGUAAAGAACAAAACAACAAAUGAUAAAAAGUUAUUUAUGUUCAAAAAGGGAAUGGGAAGGAGUCAAAACUUAUCUAGUCCCUCCUCUUCUUCUACACUAUUGAUUUAUAUGAUAUUAUAUAAUAAUAGUAAUAACCAUAAUCAUCAUAAUAAUAGCAAUAAGAAUAAAAACCAUAAUGAAAGUUAUAAUCAAACAAAAAUAAUGCCGUCUUGUUGUGAGGUUAUGAUGUUGUGAUAAUUUCCAGCUGUCUUGUGAAAUUGUCCCUAAUGUUUUGGCCUCUCAGCACCACACUGUAAUAAGUCUGUGACGUGACGCUCAAAACAGCGCUAUGCUAAUAACUGAUUCAAUUAACAACUUUAAAAAGGAUUUAACUUUAUUCAGGUGAGGAUAAUUUUUAUAAUAAUUCACCUUUUUUGUCUUUUCGUGUGGCUCUGAUACUCUAGUGUUCAAACCAACAUUCGUAUCUCGACCUAAAAUCCUUCUGGGAAGACAGAAGGUCAAAAAUACAUACAUAUAUUUUAAAUCAUCAUAACUUUAGUCAGAUUCUAUCACAACAAAUUAAAGGAUAAACUGCUGCUGUCUGCUAAUAAAGCAGUAUAAGUGGUGCGUGCCCGCUCUGUUUAUAUGUGGUUUUGCUGUCCAUGUGUUACAUGCCGUUUCCAUGGUGACUCUCACAGUGACUCUGGCAUCAUUGGACAUAUUAGUCAUGAAGUAUUAGUCAUAUUAGAUAUAGAAAAGUACCUGCUGCUGCUCUAAUUAUGAUUCAGUUUGUUAGAUUUCAAACUUCACGUAUAGAUGCUUCAGGACGUCUUCAAACUUGGUGUUCUGUGCGAGUGGAUUGACUCAUAAACGCCGCUCGCUUCGUCCGGUGAGAAGCUUAUCUCGACGGCCUCUCGCCGUCAUUCUGCAGAACUCCGGCUGGACGCCACAUUUAGCAGCAGACGCUGACACGCUUGACCUCUGCCAGUGAGACACACAAGCUGGAUUACCUGGUUAUACGUUCCUGAUUCUCUAAUCCCUGAUCUGUCUCGCAAAGAUUAGCACUCAGGAAAUCAACCACAUGCAAGGCGGAGAAGUGACACGCCUUAACUCCCCGGCACCUCCCACCAAACUGUCCAACUAUCAUCUAUUCCUCGAACGGCACUGAGGCUAACUGUUAGUAAGCAGCUGUGUGAGCCGGUGGCUUUAAAAUAUUCAGUGAGCUAUUUCCAGCUUCUCCAAACAUUGCUCUCAUUAGAUAAUGAUUUUCCCACCAGCAUGCUAAGGAGAGCGGUUGUUUGCUGGGCUUCAUAAGAGCGAAAACACCACGGACGUGCUCUUUGUGUUCAGAUUUAUACACUCCUCCAAUCCUUUAGGACUCUGACUGUGAGUUUCAUGAUUUUAUUGGACAGGAAGCAUGCAGCUGCACAUUAGAAAUCUACAUCUACACACUCAGACUGCACGUUUGUUUUUCUUACAGACUCUUAUUACAGAAACAAAUAAUUCCUUUAUCAUCCUGAUGAAAAUAAAAACACGCGUCCCCUGAAAAACCUUGGAUGCACGCUGCAGGUGUAUCCAGGACACAGUAGCUCAGUGUAAUCAGCUGACAGACCGCUGAUUGACUCAUUGAUUCUCAUCAGUCGGACACCAAUCAGAGCCCAUUCCAACAACAAGGCCGCCGCAGGUCCCUCUGGGCUGAUCCCUGCUAGCAUGCUUCUGCUGGGAUAAUCCGGGGAGCACCUUCAGAGCAGAGCCGGCGCAGCAGCGGGCGCGAUGACUGGAGUAUUACUAAAUAAAUAUUUUUAUUGCAUCACGGGUCCUUAUCUUGUUUUUGUAGUAAACAUCCUUCCGGACUUUCAUGAGGUGGUCCUGGGCCAUGAGAUCUCCAUGUAUAAACAGGAGGAAUACAUCAGCAUAUCAACAUGUUUACUUCAGCAGCCUUGGAGAGCUUAUAGAGGAUGAGGGGAUGUUCAAGAUUACCCCUUUAAUGAGAAGAAACCACUUUAUUUAUUUAUCUGCAUACAUAAAAACAUCGCUCCACCAUCCUGACUUGACUCAUGUGAUAUACAUCUCUCUAUAGGCCGGUGCUUCUAACUCUGUUUCCUCGUUUUUGCUCAAACACAGUCUCAUAAAAUUACUGAGAUGAACCGAGACGCUGAUGACUCAGAUUGGGACUAAAGUAUUGACUGCAACCAGAUCUGCAAAAUAAUAGGGGUGGGAGAAGAAAUGGAUUCACAGAAGAAUUGCGAUUUUUUUGUUUUACAAUUUUUAAAUUUUUACUUUUUUUUUUUUUAGGUAUAAAUCUUAAAAACUGACGUACAUGUGAUGUUUAUUUUGGGGGAAAUUUGGUUCCUGGAAUAGUCAAUAGUCAAUCAUGAUCAUGUAACUGUUUCACUCAGGUAAAAAAAUGGAGACUGAAAAUCGAGAAAAUCCACAAUAUCGUAGAAUUUAAAUCGAAUCGACAUCCAAAAAAAUGUAGAAGAAUCGAAUUUAGGAGAAAAGCACAUGGUCCCAGCCUGACAAAACAGAGAAGAGGACAUGAACUUGUUGAUUGAGAAAGACUGUUUUAUUAAUGCAGGUGCAAAAAGAAUUGCAGUUCCCUUAGUGUCCACUUGAGGCUGGUCCCAAAAGCCAAGGGAUCUCCAUUAGGUUUCAUGUUUAACAAUGAUUUGGAGGAUUUAGUUCAUUUAAUUAUCUAUAACCACGAACUGGUCCAAUCAGCAGUCCAAAGGGUUAACUAUGUCAGCGAACUUUUAUAGUUUUAAACUUUUAGAGUUAAAUGAAGCCAAUGCUGAAGUGCAAAAAGAAUUACAGUUCCUGUAGUGUCCACUUGAG
Molecule: non-coding RNA, 91437 nt
Organism: Xyrichtys novacula (pearly razorfish)
Lineage: Eukaryota; Metazoa; Chordata; Actinopteri; Labriformes; Labridae
Source: the annotation of a GenBank genome assembly